GAGGGAGAGGAGGUGAGGGUGAUAUGAUCCUACUUGGUAGUCAAUAUGCAAUAUUUUACCCAUUAAAGUAAAAAAAAAUGUCACUUGAGAGUUGAGACAUCUACAUGGAGUUCCGUUUAAUGCCAAGAAAGAGAAAAUGAAAAAAAUGAAAUUUACAAUGAUUGGAAUACAAAAUAAAGCAUAUUAAGGAAAAAAAAAAACUCAUUUAAGCCUACAAAGUACAAAGAAUAAGUGGGUGAAAAUGUUAUCAAAGAAAAAGAAGAAAAGCAAAGGGACCUACAAUGUCGACUUGUUUUGUUGUGGUUGAUAUGAAAGUUUAUGGGCGGAGGAGCAAGAUACCAAAAGAUAUUGACACCACAUAUUAAUCAAAAAUCUUAAGACAUUAGGUUUAUGAGUCACAUUUCUUAUAAAGUUUUAUUCUCAUCCAAACUUAAUAGCCCGCCGCCAAGCCACAGGCUCUAAUACCACUUCGUUAUCAUAGUCUCACAAACCAUCGGCUCUAAUACCACUUGUUGGAGGAGACAAGGAGCCUAUGGGUUGAGGAGUAAGACAGAUAUCGACACCACAUCUUAACCAAAAACCUUAAGACAUUAGAUUUAUGGGUAAAAUCUCUUAUAAAGUCUUCUCUUCACCUAAACGACCCAGUUUGGAAGAGUUUAUUUAAGCUUAUCUGACAGCAUAAGCUCUUAUGCCAGUGUUUGAGAGGGCUUAUGCAAACAGCUUAUGACCUGCCAUAAGCUAUUUUCAGCUUAUUUUCUUAAGCUACUCAGGAUAGCUUAUGAGAAACAGCUUAUGCUUAUGUACAACUUAUUUUCAAUUUAUUUUAAUAAAUUUUUAAAAAUAGCUUAUGAAUAAGCGCUUAUGCCAUAAGCGUUUAUGAUCAUAAGCGCUUAAUUAAGCUGUUUUUCUAAACAGAGCCUUAACCGGUGUGAAACUCUAACUCUGCACUUGAAUUCUUAACAAUAUUAAAUUAAUGUGUUUUUCAAGUCUAAAAAAAUUUGCAUUGUGGUUGCCGACUAGGUGAUAUCAAAGAAAGUGUCAAAACCACCACACAAAAUAUCAGAGAAACACGUUGACAACCACACCCAAUUAUUAGCGUCAUAGCCUCAUAGGCAUAGUUACAAAGCUUCCAUGAAGGUUUAUAAUCAUUGAUCAAUAGAAAGCACCUCCAUCUUCCCCUCAGUACAAGCUUCCGUAUAAUCCAUAAUCCAUGGCUGAGGCAGCUCCCAAGAACCGCCACCCAAAAACCUCCACCACCAACCCUGUUACCAACAAGAAGGAAACCACAAACAUUCUCCUGGGACGGUUCGAGCUAGGGAAGCUCCUCGGCCAUGGAACCUUCGCCAAAGUCCACCAUGCCCGGAACAUCAAAACCGGCGAAGGCGUCGCCAUAAAGAUCAUCAACAAAGAGAAGAUUCUCAAGAGUGGCCUAGUCUCACAUAUCAAGCGAGAGAUCUCCAUCCUCCGCCGUGUCCGCCACCCAAACAUUGUGGAGCUCUUCGAAGUCAUGGCGACCAAGACCAAGAUCUACUUCGUGAUGGAGUUCGUCCGCGGCGGCGAGCUCUUCAAGAAGGUUGCCAAAGGAAGACUUAAGGAAGAAGUCGCCAGAAAAUACUUCCAGCAGUUAAUCUGCGCGGUGGAGUUUUGCCACAGCAGAGGAGUUUUCCACCGUGAUUUGAAGCCUGAGAAUUUGUUGUUAGACUUGGAUGGAAACCUUAAGGUUGCUGACUUUGGACUCUCUGCGGUGUCUGAUCAAAUCAGGCAAGAUGGGUUGUUUCACACGUUUUGUGGGACACCUGCUUAUGUUGCUCCUGAGGUUCUUGGUAGAAAAGGCUAUGAUGGUGCUAAGGUUGAUAUUUGGUCUUGUGGGAUUGUUCUGUUUGUGUUAAUGGCUGGUUAUUUGCCAUUUCAUGAUCUUAAUGUCAUGGCAAUGUACAAGAAGAUUUACAAGGGUGAAUUUCGUUGUCCUAGGUGGUUUUCCCCUGAACUCACCAAGCUUCUUAUUAGGCUUCUUGAUACAAACCCUGAAACCAGAAUUUCAAUUCCUGAGAUUAUGAUGAAUCCCUGGUUCAAGGAAGAUUUCAAGCAAAUCAAAUUCUAUGUGGAGGAUGAUAAAGUUUGUAACAUUGAUCAUGAUGAUGAGGGAUUGCCAUUGUUUAAUUCAGAGUUCUCAGUUUCAGAAUCUGACUCUGAGCUUGAGAGUAUUAGAAGGAGGACGAGUCACAAUAGUGCUAGUGGUUCUUCAUUGCCAAGACCUGCGAGUUUGAAUGCAUUUGACAUAAUUUCAUUUUCUCAAGGGUUUGAUCUUUCUGGGUUGUUUGAGGCAAAGGAAGAUAAGGUGAGGAUUGUUACCGGCGCUUCGGUGUCGAAGAUUAUAUCGAAACUGGAGGAAAUUGCUGAGCUUGUUAGAUUUACAGUGAGGAAGAAAGAUUGCAGGGUGAGCUUGGAGGGUUCUAGAGAAGGGGUGAAGGGGAAAUUGACAAUUGCUGUGGAGGUUUUUGAGCUGACACAUUCGUUGGUGGUGGCGGAGGUGAAGAGAAAAGCAGGGGAUAAAACAGAGUAUGAGGAGUUUCUUAACUCUGAAUUGAAGCCUGCAUUGCAGGGUUUGAUGAUGGAGGAAACUGCAACUUCUAGUUCAUUUAGUUCUGCACCUGCUGAACCUGAACCUUCUCAACAACGUUCACUUUCUGAUUCUGCUAUUGACAUACCUUCAGAUGCUGAAUCUUUGCAGUGAAAUACCUGAAAAAAUGACAGAGAAUAAGAGACAAGAGUAUCACAUUCUUUUUUUGUUCUGUUUUUUCUAUUUGUAGGUUCUCUAUGGGGUUUCUAUUUCUAUCUUUCUUUUGUUUUUUACCUAGGACUGUUCUGUUUUUUCUAAUAUAUGCAAUUGUACUUCUAUGAUCCAAAUGCUGUAAGAAGAAGACUAAUUUAAUUAAAAUGGAAUAAAUUUGCACACAUGUCUUGGCACAUUGCUGUGUUACUAUUUUUUACAUAUUUUCAUUCUGGAUUGCAAGUAGUGAGAAAAUAAUUUUAUGGCGUCAGAUCUUUGUUUUAAGAGGGUUUGUUUUGAAAUUGAUUUUCUUUGGUUGUUUAAGUCUUGGAAGUGCUUUUCUAGGGUAAUUCUUAUUUUGCGUUGGUUGUUGGCGGCGGUAGAGACUUAGCUUCUAGUUUUGAUGUUUUUGAGUUUUUGUUUCUUCAUCAUGUUUGUAAUUUUGUUGUUGAUUUCUUACCUAGCUUUCUUUUCAAUCGAAUAAUGUAGUUUGAAUUGAGGAAGUUCCUCCAGAACUCUCUUCUUUGAUUCAUCGUGAUGCAUUGGCUUCUAUGCCUGUUUCUUCUUAAUAAAUGAUGUAGGUUUCGAGAAAAAAAAAACCAUAUAGCAAUUACUUUUGAUUAAUUCAUGAGGAUUUCAAUGACUUUAGUCCUCAACUGGUUCCUAUUACCUAUAUGCAUAAGCAAGCCAUUCUAGGAGAAACUUAGUGCAUGUUUAUAUAAAAGUUGAGUACAAUUAGAACAAGUUUUUAUCCUAAGCCCUAAAAAGAGUUGGAUUCACUCUGUAUCUCAAAAUUAAAAGUGAGAGGCAAAGAUAGAUUAAUAUUCCAUGCCCUUCUAAAUUGGUCUGAAAAUGUGAGGAUUUAUUUCCGAGCAUUCAUCGUGGCACAACUACAACCUGUUAGUAUCAGAAAUUAGAUGCUUCUUCUGAAUCUUCUCCAACCAGUUACAGAUUGUAAAGGGUAACAAAUACAUUUCUCUAGCGUGAUGCCUAGGGCUGCUGAUUCACGAGUAUGUUUUCCAUAUUUCACUUUGACAUAUUCCAAAGCAAGGACUAAUCAACCCAAGCAGUAUAUAAGAUAAGUCAACAAGAACAUUGGUUGACGAUAAUAAUCACAUGUGAUCUCAAUAUUGAAGGCUAUAUAGUGUCAAUUAGCAAAAGAAAUAAUAAACACUAAUGUUUUACUCACAUCCUACCUCUACUUCUAAGUUCUAAGUGUUUAAGGAUAUAAGCAAUUCAUACCAAGCUUCUCAAAGGAGAAGCUAGCACUACCAUAUGUUAGAUAAAAUACCUGAUAUCCACUAAUUAUAAAGCCCCGAGCAUGCAAUAUUGAAAAGGUCAUUCAUAGGUUGUAAUGUGCCCAAGAGAAAAAGAUAACAUUUCUUGUGGCAAACUAGAGCCUUUUUUUUCAUAUUGAUUUCUCAAACUCCAUGUGAUUAAGGUGAUUUUUCUUAACUUUUGUCAUAACAUCUAAAAUGAAUUUAUAUAUUUCAAAAUAAGAAAUCAUCCCAUGCAAGGAUCAAAAUAAAAGAUACCUAAUAGAUAUAUUGCAUACUAAUGGAUAAACACACGAUGACAAAUUAUGUUUCAUUCCUAUGAACGAUAAUGGAGCAUUUUAUCUCACAUAGAAAAUGAGUUGAGUAAUGAAGAAACUUAUGAAUUGUAAUAUCUGAAAAAUUCAUCCAGAUUCAUGCAAUUAAAAAUAUCAAGACUAAUAAUGAAUAAAAAAAUGAAGUGGAAAAAAUGGAAUAAUACAUGUGGUGCAGACGUGAAGGCAUGUUAAUGGUAUGAGAGAUUGACUCAGCAGAAACAAAUGGCGCGUCCUAGUUACUACAACGAAUUAUAGAAAACAUAUUCGGAAAAAUUAAAGUUUCUGUUGUUGUGAGAGCGGAAAAUGUGGGUGUGUGAUGAUGACAGAGAAAGUGAGACAAGAGAGAAAACAACCCAACAUUCUGAGACAGAGAGAGGAAGAGAGAGAGAGAGGGGAAGGGGAAAGAGAAAGGAAAAAACAGAGAGAAAAAGAGACCUGAAUCUGAUGAAGAUGAUCGAAGGGAGAUUCCUCUAAGAUCAUCCUGAAAAAGGCAGCAAUUCACGUAAAGAAUAAAAGGCUUCAAAGAAAUUAUACCAAACAGUUUCUUUCUUUGAACAUUUUGCUGCUUUUUUCUGAUUCCGGGUCUCAAUUUUUACCCCUUCCCCCCCCCCCCCCCCCACUGCAUUGCAUCAUCAUCAUCAUCAUUGCCCAUUGUUGAUUGUUACAGUUUCAACAAAAGGACCAUUUGCAUGGUAAUUCAAUGCUUUCUCACCUUUUUGCACCUUUUUACCCUCAAAUAUAUGCUUAUUAUAUAUAUAUAAUAUAUACAUAGAAAGUUUGCUUGCUAAUGGGGUUAUUCCUUGUUUCUUCAUUCUUAUGGUUUUGGUUGGUUUUCAACUUUCAUUGAUUUUGAAUUUGAUGAUUGGUUUUCUGUGUGGAAUAUUUUGUUUCAGCUCCCCCACAUUGCUGGGAAUCAUUUGACAGGAAGAUAUUGAGCUUAGUUAUGUCUUUGUGGAGCAAAAGGUUGUAAUGAAGAGAUUAAAUUAUACAAAAAUGAGGGACCCUAAUGUGAUCUUUGGACCUAAGAGCUACAAAUAUUUUUGCUUUCCACUGUAGCAUCCAAGUUUAGCCUCGGUUGUGCAUUUCUGCAGCUGCUAAAGACAUAUCAUACUGAUACAGCUUAAAGAGAUAUAGAUUGUCUCUAACAAGGUGACACUCACUGCCUUCAAACUACUAUGGAAAGUAAGUGGGAUCCGUUUGGAAUAUGGCUCAGAGUUUAUGUUGGAUUGAUUUCUCUUUCAGGAAUUCGACAGUGUUGGUCUCUGAAUGAUGAAGGUGAUUUUCAUGGAUUGCCCCUUUCAUUUACUCACCCUUUGCAGUGAAUAAUUAUGGAAUGCAUUUCUUGUAUCUUGAUGUGUGGUUUUUUUGCUGUUGCAUGUGGAAUGGAACUUGCAGGAUUGGCUUUGUUGGAAUUUCGGUCAAGGAUAACUUCUGAUCCUUAUGGUGCUCUGGCAAAUUGGAAUCCAAAUGAUUGCAACCCUUGCAAGUGGUUGGGUGUUCUUUGUGUUGAUGGUAAAGUGCAAAUGCUGUAAGUUUCUUUGCUUUCCUCCUUUUAAGUUUUCCACUAAGACAAUAUAUAUUCAUCUGAAGACAGUGCUGAUUUGCUUAUAAGAUUUUGUGUCUUACUGCUACUUCUUGUAGAGACUUAACUGGGCUAUCAUUGGAAGGAACAUUGACUCCUCAUCUUGGGAAACUUAAUCACCUAAAAUAUCUGUAAGGAUUCUUCUCAAUGUUCCUGUGCCUCCCCCAACCCUCCAAACAAAAAAAAGAUAUUCUUUAUCUACCUUUAUGUCCAAAGUAAAACACCUUAUGGUGAAGCUUAUAAACUAACUGUCCUAAUUGGAAAAUAGUUUAAAGUUGAAACAUGAAAAGCUCUGAUUGAAUUCUUUGUCAUAUUGAAACAAAAAAAGCAGUUUAGUUGAAUUAUAAUAGUAAUUUAUAUUCCAUUACAUUUCUAAUUCAGAUAUGCUCCCAUUUAUUACUGUGAAAUAGUGUGUUAUGCAAGAACAAUUUUGUGGGCAACAUUCCCAAAGAACUUGGAGACCUGGACAAGCUUGAGCUAUUGGAUUUAAGGGAAAAUAACUUGACUGGAAGUGUCCCUGGAGAAAUCAGAAGGAAAAUAUUGUUGAAACAAUUGUAAGUUAGGCCUAUAUUAAUUUUUGUAUUUUGUUAGGCUUCGGGGUUUAUAUUCAGUGAAAUAUUGUUUUAACUCAGGUUGGUUCGUAACAAUAAAAUUGAAGGCAGUGUUCCCCAAGAACCCGGAAAUAUCAGAUUGCCCUCCAAAUCUCUAUUUGUUGACAAUUAUUCAUCACCUCUAGCAAGUUUAUUUCUCCGCAAGAAUCGAAAGUUUGCUCACUAGUAAGCACAUCUUUAUAUUCCCCCCUGGCUGUGUGGCUGUAUCAAACUUGUAACUUGUAAUGGCAUCAUCCACUGGGAUUGUCUUAAUUUCUUGUAUCUUUUAUGGUUUACAAUAGUGAUUGAGUUUCCAAUUUUUGACCUUUUGAUCCAUGGUGUGAACAGUGUGUGGUAUAGUGGUUUCAAGCAAUGGAACAAGAUAGAUUCAUUGGCUAUUCCAAUUAAAGGAGCAGUUAUAAAAUACCUCAACGCCUUGGCACUGCCACUGUGUGUAUAUAACUUUCUGCCCCAUCUCAAUCUUAAUAUGUAAAUAUGUUUUGUUUGCUUGUUGUGUUUAACUGACUAAAAUUUUCUGCUUCUAUUUGAAGGUUCAAGCGAGGACAGGCUACAUAUGAAGAGAAUUUGUAUGACAAUCUGCCUAGUGAGUGGAGAACCUUGAUUGAUUUUGCGGUCUGAGAAAUUGAAAAAUAUGCUUUUAAUUGACUUUCAAAACAUCCCUUGAAUCUUGUAGGUUCUGAAAAGUCAGAGAUUGUCCCCAACAUAUCAAAUCUAGUCAAUUCUGCACGUCGUAAGUUACUCGACCAGUCCAGUAACCUUGCUGCUGCACCUUAUACCGGUGGGCCUGCAGUACCGAUAAGUGCUGUUCCAGUUACCCUGAGUAGUGGAGCUUUCCCAGCUGUGCCAGAUGCCAGUAAGAAACAAAUUGAGUCACCUGCAUCACUGCCUCCACCUUCUCAUUCUCCACAUGAUACUUUUAAUCAGAGAAGUCAACAAAAUUCAGCUAAUGGUGCACCAGGAGAGUUAUGGAAGUAUAUUAUUAUUAUCUCUGGUGUGUUAUUGUUAAUCAUUGUUAUUGUGGUCAUACUUUGCGUUUGGAGAAAACGAGCAAAAGUAAUAAAGCCUUGGAAGACAGGAAUCAGUGGGCAGCUGCAGAAAGCGUUUGUAACAGGUAAUAUUCCAAUAAGUGAAUCAAAACUACAUGCUGAGUUGAAGAUUUGAUUUGAAAAAAGUGGACCUGCUAUUGAACAUUUAUGUCCUGUCUAUUGAACUUAUUAGCUGAUGUAUAUUUUGUUCAAAGAUAUAAAAUGAAAGUCUGUGUUAAACAUACACUCAGUUUUUAACUGAAAUGUGUUUAUGCUACUUAGAAUUUGGAAGAUUAGUUCUUAGUUUACAUUCUUCAAACAUGUUUGUAAGGGAAUAUUUAAUUUGUUGAGCAUAACAAAAAAACUAUUCGAGUUUAGAGCAUCAUUAGCCUCAUUUGGAAGAGCAUAUUUGAGCUUCUUUUAGUAUUAACGUUUUAUGUAAUUGUUUGGAAGAGCUUAUGUAAAUAGCUUAUGACUUAUCCAUAAUCUGUUUUGAGCUUAUUUUCAUAAGCUCCUUAAAUUAGCUUAUCAGUUAGCGCUUAUACCUACCUAAAACCUAUUUUUAGCUUAUUUCAAUAAGCUUCUCAAAUUAGCCUAUGAAUAAGCGCUUAUGCGAUGAGCACGCCAUAAGUGCUUGUUCAAGCUGAUUAGCCAAACACACCCUUGAGAUUUCUGAAAAAAAGAAAUUGAUUGAAAUAAAAUAUUGAUUAAAAGAAAUCAACAGAAUUCCCAUUUUCUUACUGAUUUUUAAAUGCCUUAGUAUUGACCUCCCUCAUUUAUGUUCUUUAGCCUAUAAGAAUGUCAUUGAUUACUUGCAGAAUCAUACCAUAAAUCCAUAAAUCAAUUAUGUCUAAACUCUCUUCUUUAAGUUAUUAUCUCAGUCAAUCACUUUCAUCUAAUGCCACAUGUAUGCUUACUUCAGUUAGAAAUUCCUAUUAACUGCUAUCUGGGCUUGUAUGAAAUCUAGGGGUUCCCAAGUUGAACCGAGCUGAGUUGGAGACAGCCUGCGAAGAUUUCAGCAAUAUCAUUAAUAGUUCUGAUGAAUAUACCAUAUACAAAGGAACACUUUCCAGUGGAGUAGAGAUUGCUGUUGAUUCUACUACCGUUACUUCUUCACAGGAUUGGUCAAAGAACAUGGAGAAGGCCUAUCGGAAAAAGGUGUUCUGCUUCUUAAGUCAAUAUUAAAUUAAGAGUCCCAAUUCGAGGAACUCAAAGUUCUAAAACUUAACUGUUGCUAAUGUUGUUUCUUACAUACUUCAGAUUGCUACUCUGUCACGUGUUAACCAUAAGAACUUUAUCAAUCUUAUUGGGUACUGUGACGAAGAAGAACCAUUCACGAGGAUGAUGGUGUUUGAGUAUGCUCCAAAUGGAAGCUUAUUUGAGCACCUUCAUGGUAACACACUUCAUUUAAUUUAUUACUUUGCACAUAGCUGAUCUGAGUCAAUCAAAGGCUCAAGUUUUCUGUACAAAAAAAAAGAGGCUUCAGUUCUGAAUUUUGUUUUCUUUUCAGUCAAGGAAGUUGAGCAUCUUGAUUGGACUGCAAGAAUGAGGAUUAUUAUGGGCAUGGCUUAUUGUCUUCAGUACAUGCAUCAUGAUCUGAAUCCACCAGUAUCUCAUUCAAACCUUAAUGCAGUUUCUGUAUUAUUAACUGAUGACUUUGCUGCCAAGGUAUGCAGUGCACAUAUCUAUUCUCUUUUGUUUGCUUUUAUUAUGUAUCAGGCACCAUGUGAUAUAUCUCAAUUCUUUUGCACUCUCAGAUUUCAGAGAUCAGUUUCAGCACUGAUUUAUUAUCACCAGUCAACACACCUGAGGACGAAUCAAAGAAAUCCGAGCUGCCGCCCCAAUCCGAUCCUGAUACCGAUGUCUAUAACUUCGGAACACUGUUACUUGAAAUCAUUUCUGCAAAACUACCUUACUCUGAAGAACAAGGCCACCUAGUGAAAUGGGUAUGUUUGAAAUUUGCAUCCCAUCCCCCUCUUGUCCCCGAUCAAGAUACUCUCAAUUGUAAAAAAAAAAUUGAUCAUGUCAGCUUUCACUAUCUUACCAUUGAUUUGAUUUUCUUUUAUUUCUUUAAUUAUUAAACACAUCAAUAUCAGUGGUGAGAUGGUGAAACUUCACAUGAUCAAGUUUUUUUACAAUUAAGAGGAUCUCUUUCCCUCUUGCUCUUGGGUUACUUUGUGUCCCAUCCGCCUCUGACCGGUUCAAUAGCACCGGUUUUGACCCUCGAUUUGACUGGUUCUGAGGUCUACUGUUUUUCCCUUCAAAUGGACCGAUCACUUGACCGAUUACCGAUUCAACCAGUCGGAUCGGCUGGUCCGGUCUGGUUUUCAAAACAUUGAUUUUAACUAUAACUUUAUUGUUGCAUGCCUCAUAAUGAACAAUUCCUCAUCUACUUCAUAGGCUGCUGAGUACCUGAAUGAUAAGAGAAGCAUCGGCUAUCUAAUUGAUCCAACACUGCAGUCCUUCAAAGACAAUGAACUUGAUGUCAUCUGUGAGGUGAUCCAAGAUUGUCUUCAACCUGACCCAAGGUUAAGACCAACAAUGAAGGACAUAACUUCCAAAUUGAGGGAAGUGCUUUGUAUAUCACCUGAGCAAGCAGUUCCAAGGCUUUCUCCACUCUGGUGGGCUGAACUGGAGAUCCUUUCAGGGGAAGCCACUUAAGUUCUAUGUGACUCUUCUUUUAUGUGUUGUAACUUGUAAGUCAAGCCUCUCUCUAACAUAUGUCAAGGUGGCAGAGUAUUAUAUCUUUCUGAUAAUGCUGUGUGGUAUUUGCUACUCAAAUUCUUUACUUCUUUGAUUCUAUUUGUUCUUUUGUGUGAUUAAUACCAUAGGUAUUCUUGUCCCAGUGGAAGAUUGUUAUCAUUUUGCAAGUUGGGGUGUAUUGUAAAUUGUACUUUUGUUGAUGAUGCUUGGGAUGUAAAAUAUCUUCACAUAUUAUUAUUACUGCUAUACUUGUCCCAUAUAACAUGCAACUUAUAUACAGGUCUAUUCAAUUAUCAAUGAAACUAGACAAUCUAUUGUGUUUUCUUUUCUUUUUCAAACCACAAUAAAAGAACAUCUAUUUAAAAUAAUAAUAGUCUUUUAUUGAGUUUUAUUCUGUGCAUAUUAGCAAAAUUGUCCCAUUAUCAAUUAUAAGGCUAAUAUAUUUGAGCAAUGUAAAUUGUAAAGGGUGACAAACUAUUUGAAACCAUUGAGCGAUUUGGAUAAUUUUGACCUAGAAAACAACCAAUAUAGAAAUUAGAAAAGGGAGACAUAAAAAACAACCAAUAUAGAAAAUAGAAAAGGGAGACAUAAAAAACAAUCAGGUUAAGUUUUAAAACAUGUAGUUUAGUCUUAAAUAAUUUAAAAACAACCAAUAAAGAAAAGGGAGACAUAAAAAAGUUUUCAUAAAUAGCUCCUAAAAAUUGGUUACAGUUACCAUCAAGACCAACAAUUGAAUUAAGCAGAGCUCUUGUUGUUCUGGACCACAAAAAGGAACGACCAAUGAAAUAGGUGAAGGAUGAGUUACAAACUUACAAUAUUAGUUCAACCACAACUCCACAAGCCUGCAUUGCAUCAAAUCAAAGAAUUAGAUGCUCAAGAAAUCAGAGAUUUGUGCUGAUAUGUACAUACUGUUACACAUUGGCGUGCAUUUUCUAACAAUUUGAAUUUAGAAAGAAAUUUAUUCAUGAGCUAAACAAAAAACUUAGACUUGUUUUCGGCCAAAUUCUGAUAACCGGCACAGGAUCCAAGGGCCUAAGAUGAGACGUCAACAUUGGGCUGAGUUCGGACCUAAUACUUCAAGGCCCAAAUUUGAAUUCAAGUUGCUAAAAAAAAAUUGAAAUCAUACGACAACAUUGAUUUCUCAACAAAAAAAAUCAACGAUUCUAAUAACUCAAUUUACAUUGUGAAGUGACUUCCUCACUUUAAAAAAGUUAAAUCUCUAAGAUCUACGAAUAGUUAACGUAAUUAAUGGAUUAAAAUAAAAAAUUUAGGUAGACACUUUAUUUGCUAUAGUCUUCCUCAUGUGUUCUCUUGAUAUUCUCUUAAAAUGUCUUCUACAUGCACCCCAGUCGAGAUUUGCCUUACACUUUAGAUCCACUUUGCAUUGUCAUGCUCUGCCUUGCUUUGUCCUGCUAUGUCUUGCCAAACUUUGGUUAAUAUGAGCAUUUGGAUUGAUUUAAAUAAUGGUUUGUUAUAAUAUUAGAGUGAAUAGCUGAGCAAAAUUCAUCUUUUAAGGUAAUUGUCUUUCGCGUCAUGAAACACAAUUGCUUCCUAUUUUUCUCCUUCUUGUGUUUCGUAGAAGUUCACGCAACCAUAUACAUAAAUUCUCUUAGGUCCAUUAGUAUCUUAGAAAUGCUCGUAGGCCACAGAGUGUGCAAUCAGAGCUUGUUUAGUUAGAUUAUAGAUGCACUAUUUUCAGCCUCUAUCGAUAAAUAGUUGCAUUUGGCAAUGCUAUCUUAUUAUCUUAUUACUCUUUACAAAUUUUAGUCAAGGAGUAGGUCGAACACACGUCACUUACAAAGUUCAAAUUCAAUUAUUGUAGCUAGCAGUUUCCCUUUACAUGUGAAUGCAAGUGUAUCAAUGUAAAUUCUCACUAGAUUUGAGUAAAUAUCUCAACCUUGAAAGAGAUAUUCUUUCUUAAUGUUUUAAAAUUCAGAUCAUAUAUUGAUAUAGUGAAAUUUCUAAGUCAAUAGUUUGAUUCAUGAUUAGUUAAUUACAAUUGAAUUGUAGUUGAUCGAGUUAGAUGAUCUUGAAAUUAACUUCAAAUCAAUGCAUAUAGUCUAUCAAUAUUUUAAUUAUUUCAUCCGCACGAUUACAUCUUCUUUUUUUUUUUUUAAAAAAAAUUGUCCAUUGUUUCAAAGUCUUUCAAAAUUCUGAUAGAAUGUGAAUGUUAGAAAAAACACGUCUAAGAUGAUUUUUAAAUCAUUAGAUAUAUUAUAUAAAGAUAAUGUCUUUUUAAUAAAUUAUUAUAUUGGUUUUGUGUUCCUGUUGAAAGAAAAAAUUCUCGCUGAAUAUACAACAUACUUAUCGUAAGGUUUUUGGGCCAUAUCCAAUUAUCCAUCAUUGCCCAAUACUCUCCCACACCUAUAUACAACAUUACAACUAUUUUGGCUUUGCGCUUUUACAACCUAUUAAGCGGUAUCAAAGCCGAAAUAACCUCACAACAAGAUAGAAAAAAGCCUAAGAAAGAAGAGAAAUGAAAAGAAGACAGAGAAAAAUAAAAUGAGUUCAAAAAAAAAAACUAUCAACUAAAAUCAAAUCAUGGAUUUAUGAAACUCAAGUUAAGAUAGAGUGAAUACAAUCUCACUCACAAAUGACAUCUGAUAUUCUGCUUGAGUAGACAAGCCUAACUCGACCAAUCCAGUUUGACUUGAGAGAGAGUGCUGAAACAAAAACAUGUCCCACAUGUAAUAAUAUACUAAGGGGCAUUUUCUCUGGUACAAGCAAAAAAAUUCUGGGUCAAAUACAUGAGUGACAUGUACCAAUAGGAAAAUUACACCUGGAUUAUUUAAUAAUAAUAUCAUGGACUUCUUUAAACUCUAAAUCAACCCUAUAGAUUUAUUGUAAUUAUAUACUAACCCCAGAACCUUAUUGCACACCUCUUCCACUCUCUUCUCCUCCUAGCACCUCCCUUCGAACUCCGGCUACCGACCAACCUCCGGACGUCUUCAUCUCCGUCCAACCACCGCGGCGGCGGAGGGUUAGAAUGUUACAAAAAAUUGCAGAACAGAUCUAAGAAGCCACUCAGGCCUCAGCAUCGCCACUGCCACCGCGGCGGUGGAAUCCGACCCAGAUAAAACGGGUUGUAAGAGAGAUUCAGCAUUUUCAAGGUGGUUAAGAUCCGAGUGAAGGAGGAAUGGUACCUUUUAGAAGGUUUGAGAGUAAGGACAGGACCUCGAUGCUCUGGAACGUUUGGUUGAUGGAGGUGAGGUUAGGGAGGCGGCAGAGGAUCGACGCAAUGAAUGGGCUAGCGAUGUUGGUGUCGGAGAGGUCGACCGCCGUGGCGGAGUCACAUUUGACGCCGUACCAGUUGUUGUUGCAAGGGAUGGUGUCUCGUUAAUUCUUCCAUGCCAGAAAUUUCAGAAAUCUCCUUCAAGGUUGACAUGGCAAAUCUCCCUCUCUGUGUGAAAAAGGGAUUAAAGUAUUGUACGGUGAUGAAGAGGUGGUUUGGCUGGAAUUUGAUUCUUAGUAUUUGGUUAUGGGUGGUUUGGGGAUUACUGUUGAUGAUGGAUUGGGGGUGGAUGGGUCCGGGAAUUGGGAAUCACUGUGUUUUACAUACAUAAUUAUUAAAAAGGGUGAUGACAUAUUUAGUAAGCUAAAAUUUAGGUGGGUGAUAACGUAAAUAGUGUAAAAAAAUCUAGUCAUCACUCGUUAUAUUACAUGUUUAUGUAUUACUGGUACACCUCACUCCUGUAGCCUACACUCAUCUGAAUUUAUGAGUAUCCAAGCUUGCACCAUACUAAGGGGAGUACACAUGUCUAUAACUUUAAAUGUUCUAAAUCCAAUUGCCUUAAUGUUUUUGGGACCAGACACACAACACUCAUCGUCUAGCCCAAAGCGAAAAUUUUGGGCUAGCACUUCCAAAUUCAUCAAUCAUGUACUCUUUUUGUAAAGAAUUUAUGUGAAAAUGUUUGACCCUCGCUAAUGAACUAUCAAGUAUAGAGUACAACUAAUAGCUAUGAGAUUAAUUCUUCGUUUCACGUUUAGUGCACUUAGCGGUAAAAGGUUGACUAGUGAAUUUUUUCUAUUCAUAAGAGUUGAGAUUUGAACGCACAACAAACUUACUUCAGGAACGAAGUGCUGAACCAUUACGACAAUCCAGUUGGUUAAAAGGAUGUUUAUGUCAAUUUAAUAUUUUUUUAAAAAAUAUCUUUGUUAUAAUGGCUAAAUCAAGUGCCAAUAACUCACGUUUUUAAUGAAAAUUAUUGAGGGGCCAUCGUAGUUGAAGUUAAUGCCAACAACUAUGGUUGGGUCUAUUUAAAGUUUAAACACUUUUUUAAGAAAUAAGUUAUAAAAAAUAGAUACAUUUAGAACCUUAUAAAAGUAUUAACGUUAUUUAGUAUUUCUUCGAUACAUCGGAAAACUAGCAAACUAACAAAUUUAACGUAAAAAGAAUAGAUUAUUUAAUAUUGAAGAACUAGUGAGAAUAAUAUAAAAUUAUUAAAAGGACUUCAUAAUAAUGAUUGAUGAGUAUUUUUUUGGUAUAAUGACAGUACUUUAAGAGUAUUGGUUUAAAAACUAAAAAUUAAAAAAAAAAGGCAUCAAACAUAUAUAUGAAAUGUAUAUUUGAAUUAACGUACUUUAAAAGUUUUGUUUUUUCAAAAUUAAUCCUAAACCAAACAUGCGUUAAAAAUUGAAAAAAGUUAAUUUUUACUAUUUAUCUUUUUUUUUGUAACAAGCAUCACAUUUGAUACUAAUAAAACCUAAUUUAAAACAAAUUUUCUAAUAAGAGUUUUAAGAAAAAAUGGAAUAUUUAAUUAAUUUUAUUAUGAAUUAAUAGGAGUAACUUUUAAUUUGAAAUUCUAAGUUCCGUACAAUUUGGUUUCCCAAUUCCUCAGUAUAAUAAUGACAUUAUUUCAGUCGUACAUUCAUUCUUCAGUCAACAUAUGGACUAUGAUUAUCAACAUCAAUACUCUACAACUCUCCAAUGAAACAUCCUAAAAGUACGUCCAAACAGUAUGAAAUUAAACUAAUCCCAUAUGAUAAUGAUGAUAAUGAUAUAUCUCUCACUCAUUGUAUAUAAUAAUUAUGCGAAUAGUAUAAUUUCUGUCCCAAAGAUUUAAGUAAAAUUAAGCAGAUAAUACCCUUGGCAAAUUGAUAUAUAAAAAACACACUUCCUGUGUGCUUGUUAUAAGACAUGAUUCUCCUUUAUGGGUCAUUAGUCAAGUAAUGCUUAAUGUUGCAGUAUUUUAUAGUUAUAGAUCGCUAGGUGUAUGUAUAUAUGUCAGAUUGUCAGUAAUGUAAUGCUAUAUACUAUAUAGGUUGGACGUCGUCGUCAUUCAUGAAAUAAUAAAAAAGAAGCCUAAUUCUUUGAAAGAUUCUUUGGAGUUUAACAUAUUGUGAGAUGUCAACUCUAAUGCAUAUGUCAGGACAAAAUCCACUCCAUAUGUUUAUAGAUUUUAUAAUCUCCAUUUGAUAGGCACCACUGUUUUUCAUUAUUUUUCACGUUAUUUUGUCUAUGCCAAAUUAUAAAAGAUAUACGGAAAAUUCUAUUAGUAGUGCACUAAUACUGGUUUGUAAUUUGUUAAGUUUGGUCCUUAUCAUAGAGUUGUGAACUUAGCUAGAUAUGGAGUGGUCGUCUAUAAAUAUUGAUAAUACUGGGAGAGUUUUGGGUCUUGGAAUAAUAAAAUUCAAAUUAGUGGCUCUUGGUUAAAAUGUCAUGGCCUCCUCGUUGGUGCAACCUACGACCGCUGCCACGACCUCCUUGGUAAGUAUGGUCUAAAGAAAAUUCCAAACGCUCUGUAUUUGGGGUUGGGGGAUUCAUGUCUCCCCAUUUUAAUUGUGAUAUCUCUUUUAAUUGCAUAAAAAAAUUCUUAACAAAGAAUAUUCAAAUGUUGUAUUUGUUACCUCAAAUUUUCACAUUUCUUACUAUUCUUGUUCUAUUCAUUGAGUUCAUUACAAAACUUCAAUUUAAAUCAUAAGUAUUAUCGCUACAAGAAAUGCAAUCAAUAGUGUCGGCUUUUAACUAAGGUCGCUAAUGUACUAAUUAAAAGCCGACACAAAUGAUUAUUUAGCGCCCAUUUUGUGUUGGGGUUGUGGCCAAGUGUAAUUUAAUUUGUUGUAAACUAAAUAGCUAACGCAUCGACUAAAAGCCAACUAUAUGCUAGUCUCGGUUAAAAUAAGUUCACGCUAAUGCGACAAACUCAAUUGAAUAAGAUUGACGCUAAACUGAUUCAAUUAGUUCAUUGGCGCUAAAUAAACAAAAUUUAAUGUUGAGAUUAUGGAUGUAAGUUAUGGGCCGCACACAUUGGCUUCACCGACUCUAAGAUUUAAAUUUUGUAUUGAUGAGUGAACUUAGCCAAACAUCUAUAAGUCAUAUUUCGUGGCUUUGUGUUGGCGUCAAAACCGGCCCUAUUCGUUAUAGUUAAAAACAAACUUUCUUAGUGCAUUACACAAGUUAUAAAUCAAAUUUCAUUUACAAUCGGUACAAGUUAGACAACCUACAUGUAUAUGCAAUCACUUCAUCUCUCACACUCACACUAUCACUAUAUAUGAGCACUGAGCAGAAAUUUGCACAUGCCACGCAAAACGAGCUUUGCUUUGGAGUAUAGCCAACCUACAUGUAUAUAAAUAUAAUUUCUGUGUUGAUUCCAAUUGCUGUCCCAAUCUAUAAGGAGCAGACUCUCUUUGUCCGAUAUGGGACAAAACCAACCCAAAUUCCUCCUUGAGUGUUGUCUUGGAAAGUAAAACCAUUUCGUAUGAUCAGCACAUAUUAUGGGAGAGACAUGUUUUCCUUGUUUGGUUUCUCCACAUUCAGACACCGCCACAUUCCCCAUUGUCACAAAACAUCAAAACUGGUGUCUCUCCCUAGCUUAAUUGGUUUUUCCAUAUUGAACUUUGAUGCACAAUUAAUACUAUAAUAUAUCCACUCACAUGGAGCACAUGAUAUGUGUAUAAUAGCUGGGAUCAACACAACAACAACAACAACAUCGUAAUAGUUACAAUUUCACACUAGCUUCCAAAAAGACUAUUAAUUGCUCGUCAGAAGAUAGAUAAACCAGAAUUGGCAAUGGUACUUUAUCAAGAGUUGUGGUGAUCAUGGGUUGUGACAACCUGAAAAUUGUAGCACUUUUCAACAUUCAACAAAAAACCUCGAGUAGGAAAGAAUGGUAAUAAUAGUAACAACAGGGCUUGACAAAGACAAGUUCAACCACAUAUAUAUACUUUAUAUGGUUGAGGUUAAUUAUUCAACAAAUUAAAAGAGUUGGGUGCAUCGGAAGUCAAUAAAGUUGAUAUAAAUUUCAACUUCCCUUUCUUUCAUUUUAGAUUUCCUUGAGUAAAAGCUUAAAUUGUCAAACUUUUUGAUAAACAAUCUCUCCUUCUAAAAGUCAUGAUUCCAUUUACCAUAAAAACUUGCAUAGAUUAACUAACACAAUGUUAUUUUAGUUUAAGUAGAUAUAUCAAGUUUAAAAUUCUUAUAAAUUAAGUUACGUUAAAUAUUUUAUAGAAAGAACUUUUUUUUAUCAGCAAAUGAAUUAAUGUAAUAAAGGGAAGUAUAAGAGGUACUUCAAUGAGUUCAAUCUCAUUUACAAGAAAUUGCCUUUAGUGCGGUACUAUCAAAUUCAUACAAAAAUUAUCUGAAUCGAGGAUAAAUUAAGUUCAAACCAAAAAGUAAUGGUAGAUCUAUUUUCAGUAAUAACAUGUUUAGGUCAAAAAGUGAAAUCUAAGUUAGUAUAUAGAUAUAAGUGAUCCUAGGCCUAUUGCUAAAAGUUCAGUAAUCCUUUGUUUAUUUUAAUCACAAUACAAAUGUACCUACUUCAAUAAUGUGCCCAAAAAAGUGAAAAACACACCUAGCUAUAUAUAGUCUUUAAUUUUCUUUUCCUUCCACACGCUUGGAUGUCUACAAAAGUUGGAGUCAACAUUCCGGUCAUAUCCUCAUGCAUGCAUGCAAUUAGAAAUUUAAGUAAAUUAUACAAUUUGUCAAAUGUGCAAUUAAGAAAUGAAAAUUUGCAAUCAAUUAAAAUUGACAUUAAUUUUCUUUUACACUACUACUGCUUGAUACCAAGGUCGUCCUAAUCGCUAAUAUUCUACAUAACAUGUAAUCAGACGUCACAAUUACAAACACAGAGAAAAGAAGCCUGUGGAAGCAUAUGGUGUUGAGAAAAGAAAAUUUUAAAAUAAUGUAGGAAAAUAGCGACUGAGAAAUUGCAGAUAGUGACAGCAAAACAGUGGUAUGUGAAAGGAGAACAAAGUCUUGGUUUAGGUUGGAAAUAAUUGGAAGGUUGACCUAGGAAUGGGGUCCACAAUAUAUACACAUGCAUCUAUGACUAUAUGUAUUGAGUUUAUGGAGCUAACUUGGUGAAUUUAACAACCAUUUAAUUAAUAUUCUCAGACUAAAAUUUAUCUACCGUGGAUCAUGCUAAAAUUUAAUCCACCCAUUAACUAUAUUUUAACAUUUAACAUUGAGUAUAUGUUAUUUAAAAUAUGUUUUUUAUGUGUUAAAAUUAAGUUAUAGAGAAGUUAUUUUAACUUGUGAGCUAAUUUUUUUUCAUUUACAGCAGACAAAGUUGUUUUGAGCAGCCCAAAUACUAUAAGGCUCAAUAUAUUGUCAUGGGCGGUUUGAACGUUUCACGGCUAUGUGAACACCAUAAUGGUCGGCCGGGACGGCCAAAGUGAAGUUCAUCCCGUUCAACAGUUAACCGAACGGAGCAAAAUCAACACAUUAACAAAACAUUUGCAACGUUAUCUUAGGGUACCCAUCGUCUCGGGAGUUGCUCAAAUGGCAUCAUUAAGGUGUAACGCCUCAAUUCUCACCAUGCCUAUGAAUAUAUAUUUAAUCGUUCAUUUACAUGAACAUUUCUUAUAUAAUUGCUAACUCAUGGUUCUUCUAAGACUUCGAACUUUUUUCUCUUUGCUUUUCGUAUUGACUUGAGCAUUAAAGUGCUUUGCAUAUAUAACUUCUUUUGUUGUGUUACUACACCUCUAUGCUAAAAUAUCCAUCCAGGGUCGUUCACUAUCACUGAAGAUUGAGAGCAACCUAGUACUCAGAUUCAAGAAGAACAAAAGCAAAAAAAAUAAAGGUGAAAGUGAGAUGGAAAAAAUAUUAGAGAUAUGAUAUGAUAAGUCUUUCUUAUACAAUAAAGGAAUAAAAUUAAAGCCUGAUAAAUAAUAUGGUUUGAAAAUGUUUGUAUCACAACAAAAAUGGGGGAAGUCUCUAGCUAGCAGAGGUCAAACAGUUAAGAUAAUCACGAGCAAGGUAGUAAGAGACAGAUACAGACUUUUACAACUGUCAAGGGAGGGAGAAGGAGGGGAGAAAAAAAGGGUCACAUGAUUUGCAACAGUACAAAAAGGGAGGGACCAGCAACAUCUGUUUCCAUUAUGCAAGUUUAUUACAAUUUAAAGACAACAAGUAAGUAGCCCUGUCCGAAUAUUGUUCAUUCUCCAUUUUCUUAAUUUGUUUUCUUCUUCUCCAUAAAGCUCCAAUUCUAAUACCUUCAACUUAUGACUCUAAUUCUGCUGCUGCUGAGUGAUGUACCAAAAAGGCAGACAAUCCAAAACAACAACCAGGUAUCAACUUCCAUCAUCAUCAUCAUCAUCAUCAUCAUCCCUCUCUCCUCUCUCUUUUCCCCCUUCCACCAGGAUCAAAGAAAAAGCAUGUGAUGAUCAGAGAUGACUGAGAUAUGUUUGGAUAUGCAGAGAGAUGAUCAAUUAGUAGGCACAUAUCAUCAUCUUAAGUGGUGGUUAGUAUAUAUGUAGUUUAGUUUUAAAAGGAGAAGAAGACACACAAACAAAGUGUUUUGAUUUCCUUGCUUUUUGUCCUGAUGAGAAAGUCAUUAAUUGUAUCAGUUUGUUUAUUAGAUAUAUCAUUCCCUAUCUUCAUGAGUUCCUUCUCAAUUCUUCUUUAUAACUACAACAUGAUUCCUUCUCAAUCUCGUUAUCUUAUGUAAGAGCUUGAAUGAAUUCCUAGACAACUUGUUACGGAUUUCUUUUUCAAUUCCUAACUUUUUCUCCAGAGAAAAUUUUCAACUACUAAUAUUUCCUUCUUAAGUGCAUGUCCCUAACCAAGAUGUGUUCUGUGCAUAAUGAUUGGCAAUGUAUUGAAUAUAUAUAUCGUCCAUAAAGUGUGCCUAUGUUAACCUUAAUUACUCUUCUUUUUGAGACUCUUCCGAGUUCAUAAAAUAGUCGUCACUGUGUUUUGCAAAUCACCUGGGUCCAAUUUUUCUGUUUCGUGUUUAGAUUGACUUCUCUUUCAUCAUAAUCAAUUCUGAAACGACUCACAGAUGCUUCUCUUCAGAAUUGAUUUUAACUUCGGAAACAAUUGUAUAAGAUUUUCCAAACAUGUACUAAUUUAUAUGAACCCUUUGGAAUUUUUAUUGUUUGAAUGGUAUGAAAACCUUAUAUUUCUUGUUAAGUUUCCAGAUUAAGAAAUGAAAAUGACCUGAAGUAAUGCACAUGUUCAUAUAAUUUGCAUCAUUUUAUAUAAUAAUAAAUAAGUCCCUCCAACCUUUAGUUAAUUCCUUUCCUCUUAUUCAGGAACGUAACUUCCGUUAGGUAAGUCUCAAAAAGUACUUCAGAGGGACAAAUUCUUUAAGUAUGUAGAUCUGAACCUGACACCCCUCAGAAAUUUUAUUCACAUGUUCAUGGUAGAGAAGUUGGUUGCAUUCUUUUUACUGAAAUUCUUUACUUUAACCUACUACUUCUAUACCAUAUGAAUUUAAUAAAUAUCCUCUACCAUAACUUCUGACAGUCAUUUUUUUUCUUCAGCAGUUAGUACUUAAACAUCCCAACAAUUACACCCCAUUUUUCUAAUUCCCUCUCUUCUUAGUAUCAUAUAUACAUUCUUUACUUCAUUAUUUUCUCUUCUUUUCUUACUUUAAGUGUCUACACUUUGCGGAUAUUCACGAAUAAUUUUCCUUAUUUCUUUGAGACAUGCAUUUAGCCAUUUACUAUUACUUUACCAUGGCCUUGUACAUUUCACUCCAUCUAGCUAAUUAAAAUAUCAUAAAGCGUAGUAAUUGUUGUAGAGAAAUCCCAGCCUGUUCUCAUCUUUAAGUCACUUUGUUGCUAAUUCUACCUUCAAUGCUUUUAAAUAUUUUCUGUUUGUUUCAGACUUGAAAUGCUAACAUAAUUGGAGCCUUUGGAGGGUGAUUUUGAUUGCUGAGCAACAACAACAAAAGAAUAUGUCAGACAGGUAUGAGAUUCAUGAUGAAAACGAGAGGAGUGAGGACCAAGGUGAUGACAAUUCAAUUGGAUCUUCUCAGAAAUUGUCAUCUUUUGACUUGAAUGAAGACGCAUGUAGUGAAGAUAACACUGAUAUUAAUGAUGAUGAGGCCUGUGAUGAUGAGAUCACAGGUGAGGAAUAUGAGAAAGGAAAGGAUGAAGGCACUUCAACCAAUAGAAGUAGCACAUCAAGAGAAGGAAAUGGAAGAAGAGGUGGUGUGAGACAAUAUGUUAGAUCAAAGAUGCCUCGCCUUCGAUGGACUCCUGAUCUUCAUCUUUCCUUUGUGCAUGCUGUUGAAAGGCUUGGUGGUCAAGAGAGUAAGUAAUUAUGUGUACCUUCUUAUGACAUUUUAAUAUCAACUUAUUUUUCAUCAGAACCAAUUUUAGCACUCAAAAAAACUACUUACAAAAGUUUCUUACCAUAAUUAAUUAUGAUUUUAGAAUCAAUUAAGAUUUUCAAACAUGCUACAAAUUAAAUAUAUAUGGUAUAUAUGUUUGUAUUCACAGUUAAACUAAUACAAAAUAGCUUCCGUUCCAUAAAAAAUACUUGUAGUAGCUUCUUCUCAUAACACUUUUUCAUUUAAAAUGGAAAGAUAUUGAUUUUUUUUCAAAGCAAAAACCAGAUUUUAUUUAGGGUUAAAAACUUUAAUUGUCCUUAAACUCUGACCAAGGUUUGAAAACCGUCCCUCGCCGGAAAAUUAUCUGAAAACCGUCCCUAAACUAUUGAAAACAAAUUUGACCCAUCCCUCCGGCCGCCAUAGCUCCGGCAAGAGCCUUUUUUUUAUUUUACCCAUCCCUGAACUUUGAGCGAAAUUUGAAAACCGUUCUUUUUUUAUUUUUAUUUUUUAAAAUUAAAAUUCCCUAAUUUCUAAGAAUUAAAUCUACCUAAUUUGAAAAUUUCCUAAUUUCUAAGAAUUAAAAUUCCCUAAUUUAAAAUCUAAACUUUGAGCAAAAUCUGAAAAUUCCCUAGUUUCUAAGAAUUAAAAUUCCAAAUUUUUUCUAACAACAACAAGAAGAAGAAGAUGUUGUUGUUGGUGGAGGAAAUGAGAUGAAGAUGAAGAUGAAGAAAGAAGAAGAAAAGAGAUAUCUGAAGGAGAGAGAACUUGGGAAUUGUGGUUAAAUUGGGAAUUCAGGCUUAGAUUAAAGGGUAUUAGAUUUAAUUCUUAGAAAUUAGGGAAUUUUAAUUUUUUUUAAAAAAAAGGGAUGGUUUUCAGAUUUCUCUCAAAGUUCAGGGAUGGGUAAAAAUAAAAAAAGGGCUUUUGCCGGAGCUAAGGCGGCCGGAGGGAUGGGUCAAAUUUUUUUUCAAUAGUUCAGGGACGGUUUUCAGAUAAUUUUCCGGCGAGGGAUGGUUUUCAGAUUUCGCUCAAAGUUCAAGGACGGUUAUAUAUUUUAACCCUUUUAUUUAUAUGAAAUAAACUUGAGAACAACCUCUCAUGACUUGAAUCAAACAUUAGACAGCAUUAUCUCCCGAAUGCUAUUGGAUUUCAAAACUCAUCCAGGUGUAGAUGAAAGAACAACCUAUGCCCUAAUUUAAAAUUUGUUUUGGUUGAACUUUUAUGCAUUUUGUUUACCUAUACCAAGAAAAAAUCUGGUUCACAAAUUAAAAGGAAAUGUGUCAAAUAACAUUAACAAAAAUUAAGCAUAUUGUAAAUAACAUAUAUUGAAUGUUAGUUGUAAAAAUAUGGUUCACAGAUUAACUAUUUUUAACAUGAUUCAUAAUAGAAUUCUCCGAACUUUUAAUUUAAUUGGUGCAGGAGCAACACCAAAGUUGGUGCUUCAGCUAAUGAAUGUGAGAGGACUCAGCAUUGCUCAUGUCAAGAGUCACUUGCAGGUAAAAUUGGGGGAUGAUAUAAUGCUCUUUGAAUUAUAUUUUUCCUUGAAUAUAUUGUUGAUGAGUAUAUUACCAAAUAAGUAAUUUUCAUAUAUAGUUAUACAAUUUUCAUUUCAGAUGUAUCGUAGCAAGAAACUUGAUGAGGCUGGGCAAGGUGAGGGCUACAUAUCCUAAAUCUUUUUCAGCGUGCUAAUGCAAAUGAAUCUUUCUGUGUACAAUAUAAGAUAGUGCGCGCAGUUUCAGUCUUUAAUUUGUGUCCUAUUAAUUUAUCCAUAUGAACUAAAAAUUACACACUACUUUGAGUGAGUGCUGUCAAUUCUAUAUUGCAAGCUCGGACUUAGGGUUAGGGUUACCUUGAGUGUUUACCCAAAACUCUUGAUUUUUGACAAUUGAUUGGUAACUACUUUGCAGUACUCAGUCAGCCAUACAGAUCAACCCAAGGAUUUGGUCGUAUUUCUCAAGCCCAUCAACCCAUGAUUCCUCAUCAACAUUUCAAGAUGGGAAACGGUGGAAUCAUUCUUGCAAGUAAUUACAAUGAGCAUAGCUAUUUCCAAGGCCUACGGCCGCAACCCUCCUCCUUAUCACAUUCAGAUUCACAUUCAAAGGCCAUCGAUUCAAGGUAAGUUAUACCUAUGCAUUUCAUCACAUACCGUAGCUAGAAUUGCCCAUUUGGAUGGUUUGGUUAACAGUGCACCAUCAAGAAUAAAAAUGUGGUUCACUUUGAAUAAUUUCAUAAUCACUUUUAUCUCUACAAAAGCUAUUUCCAAUGCUUCUGUGAGUAGUUUAUGAUGUUAGAAUAUAAUAUAAAACCAUUAAAGUGACCCUUACCCAACAGCUUAAGCUUUUGGGAUUAAGUGGUUAUUUGACAUGGUAUCAGAGCAUCUAUGGCCGAGAGGUCUAGAGUUCGAUCCUUGCUCCCCUCACUUUCUAAUUAAAAAGUGGAAUUUAAUUACCCACAUGGUAGGUGGGCCUGUGCAUUUAUCCACGCUUCAAGCCCAAAGGGCUCUUGCGUGAGGGGGCGUGUUAGAAUAUAAUAUAAAACCAUUAAAGUGACCCUUAUCCAACAGCUUAAGCUUUUGGGAUUAAGUGGUUAUUUGACAUAUGAAUGUCAGAAUUGAUUAUGAUGAAAAGAGAAACUAAUCCAAAUAUAUUAUAAGUCUAACAUAGUUUGGAAACACACAUUAAAAUCCUCAUGUUUUCCAUGCUUUUUGUUGUUAGGCAAAUAAUUUUCUAUUUUUCAUGGUUUUACAAGAAAUUUUCAAGAAAAUCAGUCUUUAGUAAUAUCCAGAUUUGCAAUAUCUCUCCCCACAGGCACCAACAAUGGUACUCUAAUCAUCAACCUUUCAGAAGGCCUAGUUUUGAAUUUGUCUCCUCAACCUCAACGGCCCUACAAACACAAGGACGAUCAAUAGCUUCAAACCAAAUUCAACUAAUGGAUACUACAAGACUUGCUCCCAUGAGACCAAGCCAAUUUCUUGAAGAGAAAAAGUGGCCUCCAUUAGAAACUAUGAACAAUCAUCAUCAUUGGAAGAAAAACUAUUCAUCACAAUCUGUUUUACAUCAAUUUGGCACCACUCCAGCAGCUCUAAAACCAGCUGAGUUGAGCAUUGGAACCAACACAAGAAUCAAGGAAUUUCUAUCAAACCCUGAUGAGCACCACAACCCUUCCAACAGUUUAAAGCUAGAAUUUAAUCCCCCAUUCCGGAUUAAGGUAACAUAUAUAAGAUCUUUAUUCUGGUCUGUAUAUUUUUUUUCUUUUUUUUCUUAAUCAUUGAUAGAUCUCUCUUGCUAUUAUAUGCAGUUGAAUCAAGAAAAGUUACAGAUAGACAAGCAAUGUGUGCCUGAUUUGCAACUGAGUUUAAGUCAGAAAAAUAGCAACAACGAUGGUGGCGAGACCGAUCAUUCCAGAGAAACGCAAGAAAUCAACACAAAACUUUCACUUUCUUAGAAUUUAGAUAGCCAUGUCAAUAAUGCAAAUACCACAAACUAGUCAAUCAUAAAGUCUGAGAGAUGAUAUAUUUUGAUUUAAACCAUAGGUAUCACGAGGCAAUCUUGUUCGAGCCGUUAUAUAAGAUUUCUAUGGGCAACAAAGUUCUCUUCCAAGUAUUUAACGCAGAUACAUUCACAAGGACUCAAACUCAAGAUAUUUGCUUAAGUUGUGCUCGUUGAUCUAUGCGUGCUUGGUGGUUGAGAGAUGAUAUAUUGACUCUGAAACAAAGUUACACAGUGACACAUGCCUCCACAUACCAAUUAUGGACUUCCCAAUACAUAGGUUUUUUCUUUCCCCUCCCCACAAAAAAAAAACCUGCAGACAAAAAAAAAGAUUUGAAGUGAGUGUGUUCAUGAUUACUAGUUAGUUUCCAAGAGAGAUUUUACUUGUGCAAGUAUUUGGUCUUACCAGUCACAAAUGUUGGGUUUUAAGAUAGUUGGCAAUUUGGGAAAAUAGUUUGAUAGAAAACUGAAGUGAGAACCGUGUAGUUUAUUGAUUUGAUUCUUGGUAUAUAAGUAGAAGCUAGCAAACUUGUAGUUUGCUGCUCACUUGAUUUCUUUGCCUAAUUGUCUAUUUAUAUGCUUGAAUCGCCUCCUAUAAUGUUUCUAGCUUUUUCUAUUUCUAAAAUUAACAUGACACAUCCUACAUCUUUCUUUCUCUCUUUUUUAACUUAUAAAUUUUCUAAAUUAUUCUGGAAAGUUGCAUCACUUUCUAUCAACAAAUUAAGUAUAUUGAAAAGUUACAAAAAGGAGAAAAAAAAACUCACUUAAGCAAAAUCACUUAAUGUGAAAAAGAACUCAUCUAUCGUGGAAGAAAAGAAUUCCCCAGGGUUUUACUCUCUUUGCUAGGGUUUGCGCAGGAGAGAGACCGGAAUAUCUCAAUGGUAAAGAAUAUGAAUGGCUAGGGUAUGGGCCUGAAGCCCCAGUUGAUCUGUGGGGGUGGAAGUUUAGCCAGCAACUCUAAUUAUUUUUUCUCUGGGCCAAUUCAUUCAAAAAUGAUUAGUGGGCUGGUCCAGGAUGCUGGGAGAGUUUUCUUUAUUGAAAAGUAUGUUGGAGAGGACAUUUUUUACAACUCUAUGCUAAGAGAAGUAAGUAGGCCCAUUCAUCAUUAAAACACCCACUCAGAGCGUGGGACUAACUACUUUAGUGUGUGUAUACAUACAAUAAGAAAAGAAAAAAUAAAGUUUGAAUAUUAACAGCAAUCAUCAAUGUCAGUUUACAUAAAAAGAGAAAAAAAAUAUGCUGAUACUUUUAAUAUUUAGCUUAGAUAAAUACUAGUUUACAGUGUACAUGUCCCUCCUCAUGAGCAAGCUGUAAGAAAUUGGGAAGAUGAUAAUAACAAAGUGAAACAAGCACAUGAGUGGUGUAUAUGUACUUCUCAGGGGGCUGCUUAUGAAUCCUGAGAUUUAUAUAUACAAGCCAGAGUUCCAUCUCUAAGAUUUUGAAUGCUGAGAUUUAUAUAUCACUAGCUCCUGUCAACAAAGAUAAUUGUAAUUUGUAAGUUUUGAUCUUUUAUAUUUGAGACCUCACCAUUGAGAGGAAAAAAAUUACCACUAAAGGGAUUGAUAAGGCUACCUGAGAACUGUGUGCAUGAUCAUGAUGCAUAUUUGAAGUUUUUACUAUUGUUUCCCACUUAGUAAAGCUUGAUGCUCUUCUAUUACCCUGUCUUUUAGCAUGGAGCGGUGUACCUUGAUUCGAAUAAGGGAAUGAAUUCUUCAAAGAAACUAAAGGCAAGGCGCGACAAAGCCAGGACUCAGAAGGUGACUUUGGCAAAGGUGGAGGAAGAGGAUGCAGAACACAGUUUGCUGAAUCAUCAACUAGCACAAUUUGCUGGUUGUUGAUUUCUGUAUGUUUGUUAAAUGAACUUUGCACAAUUUCUUGCUCAGUUUUCAACCUCUCAACUUUGUCUUCUUUGGCCAUGAGAUGUAACAUGCUAGAUAAAUUCAAAGAAUUAGCAUCCACAGAACUCAAUACUUUAGAAUCCAAUUUUUUCUCCAAGGCUUCUAGGUGUUUCAUAUCUUGGAAGGAAUCAUCUUUGGAAAUGUUGUCUUGCCCUUCCAUAGUGUCUUUCCUUUUUGUGUCAUCUAUAAAACUUGAAUUUGAGGAUGGUAAUGUUCCUGUACUUUUAGUAUCUAUGUAAAAUGCCUUUUCCAAUGUAAGGCUUCCUGAUUUUGCACCUUUUUUGGCUCCUUGUGAUGGCAAUUGCUGAAUACUUGUAUUUGAGGAAGAUUGAGGCUUACUUCUAAAAGAAGAUGUGCCAGAAGCAGCAAUAGUUCUUGAAUAACGAAAGGAAGAGAUUCUACCUACCUGCUUCAAUUCACCUGAGUAAGCAUACCUUUUUGAUUCAUUACUUCUAAAAGAAGAUAUACCAUGCAUGUCUGGUGGUGCAGCUCCAGAGCUUGAUUUGCUCUUAUGAAUAGCAUCCCAAGCCUACAUUAAAAAUUCAUGAUUGUUGGUAAAUGAGUUGAAGUUAUGAUUAGUGAAAUACUGAUUUACAAAAGGAGGGUAAGGGUACUAUCACUAAUGUUAUCUUGAUUCUUGACACCUCAUUUCCACUCACACUCAGAGUGAGAUAGAAAGAAAGAAAAGAGAGGAAAAUAAGAGAUAUGAUGAGUAAUGUGAUAGGAAAAGAACAGAGAUUGAACAAAAAAAGAUGGGAAAUAGGGAUGGAAAAAAAGUGUGUGAAUGUAUGAAAGCUAAUGUAUUGAGUAUUGAUUGUUUAAGGGCACAAUGCACUGCAAUAAUUUCAAAUUCAGAUUCUCUGCAGACCCUGCCUCUGCAGCUAAUAUAUAAAACAUCAUAACCUCUUCAAUUUAAUAAGCUGCUUUUUUUUCAAAAAUCAAGAGCCCUUAAUUGUGCAGAAGGAAGAACACUGCUGAAGAAGAUCCAAAUUGAAGAAUUUCAUGCAGAAAAAUGAGUGACAUAGUUCUUACCUUUUUUAUAGCUGGAGCUGGUCUGCUAGAGUGAAUAUGAGAAUUUUCUUUAGAUUUUCCAACUUCAUAGGAAGAAAACAUGGGGAACUGGUUCACCAUUUUUGUACCAGGAACUUGAUUCAACAGGCACAGUGAAUUCCUAAUGCAUGAUCUAGGAAACAAUCCACAACCUUUGGCUGACAUGUGUGCAUAACCUUCAGUUUCAUAUUCACUUUCUUCUUCUUCCUCUUGAUAUUGGCCAGUAUAUGGUACAAUGUCAGUGAUAUGUCUGUUAACAAAUGACUCCUUUUCCACACGAACUAAUUUGGUAAAAUCCCUUGGUUGUUCUACCAGAACAGAUUUCUUUCUUGAAACAUGUUGAGGAGGAUGCAAAGUCAUGGCAUUUGCUGCAGUUAAAAACCGGCUCAUCAUGAAGUCUUGAGCUUCUUUAUCCGUAGAAGAGGUUCCAGUUUCACACUUGUUUGCAUCUAAAUUAUCUAAGCCACUAAUUCCACUUACACUACAUUUCAUAGAAAAUGAUUCCGUAGAUGACAGUGUUUCAAGGGCAUCAGAAUAAGCAUCAUCAUCAUCAUCAUCUUCCACAUUUUUUAUAGAUCCAUCAUUUCCCUUGGGUUUUCCAGGGAUAUGCUCCCAGUUAAAAGGCACUGUGACAGGUUCUGUUACCUGAUCCAAUGUUGUGUCUGACUUGUAGUGUGGAAUUGCUUGUUGCUUCUCUAAUGUGUUUCUCUUUUGUUCAGUUUUGGAUGGUGAUGUACCACUAUAGCGUCUCAUAGACAUAAGAGGAGCAUUAAUAUUCAAUUUUCUCUCAUUCAUCAUGUUCUACAACCUAGCUUUUCUUUGCAGGACUACUCAAUAAUAAGUUCAAUGUUCUUCAAGGCAAUUUCAAAUACUAAUUUCAGCACUGGGGUAAAGAAGAUGAGGUAACAAUCCUUCUGUUAUGAAAAAGAAGAUGGAACAAUCUGAUCAUUAAUAUUUGAAAUUUUAAUUCCAUUACUCUAAGAUAGCAGCAGAUAUUAGAAUUUGGAUUAGGGCUAACUCUAUCACAAAAUAUAACUUAGAUGUGAGAGGUAUUCUGCCUUUUAUAAGGACUACUUUGGUUAUAUGUUUAGUCAAUGUUAUCAACGGAAAUUCUCUGUUUGAAAUUUCAAGAAAAAAGUUAUUAGUAACUUAAAAAACCUUCUAGUUUGUCUGCAAUUAAGCAGAGAAAAAGAGAGGUUUCAUAAUAGUCUGUUUAAAGAGUAGAAAGGGAAAAGUAACUUGUGUUGAUCUGAAAACCAAAUAUUUAAGCAUAGAAAAAGUUUAUUUUCCUCUUCUCAAACAAUCCAAAAAUAGACAAAUAUUGAACAAUUGUAAGGUUUGCUAUAUGUGUGUGUAUGUUAUCUGUACAUAAUGAUAGUACAUAAAGCAAGAGUACCUUCAUCGUCAUGAAUCAUCACCAUUUUCACAAGCUAAAGUACUUGAGGAGACAAUACAAUAGAACAAUGUUACCAAUGCAAUAAAUAAAUAAAUGCUAAUGAGAAAAAGACCAAACCUAGUUAGAAACAGCUUGAAACAUGGGAUAUCAGGAUAUGGCCUCAGAAGCAAAAUGUGAUCCCAGGAAAACACAGUUCAGAAGAAGUGCAGUCCAAAAUAAAGAAAGGAAGAAAGUGGUUUCAGUACCAAGAGUGUGUUUCUUUGUCAUGGUCAUGCAGCAUCUGAAUUGGCCACAGAAAACUCCACAAAGGGCAUGAAGUGAUAAGUGGAUAGUAUAGAAGAAUCAUAUCAGUGGCAAGUGUACAUCACAUGGUAAAAGAGUUCAGUCCCAUAUAUGAAAGGUGAAACAAAACACAAGGAAUGAUUGGUUACUACUGAAUGAUAUGAUGCAGUUGAGUUGAGUUGAGUGUUUGGGGGAAUGAGUAAGAGUCAAGGAAGCUAGAAAAGCAGAGGAGUGAGACAGAGACUGCAAAGCUUUAUAUUUAUUCUUCUUUUGCUUUUUGUGUGUUUUCAGAUUAUACUAAGUGUCUGUUGGAUACGAAACAGAAUGAACAAAAUAUUCAACUACAGAAGUGGACCAUUAUUUUACUCUCCCAACUACACAUUUUUCAAGUUAGUUUGGAUUUUUUUUAAGCCCUCCUCAUUGCUACUAUCUCUCGUAAUUAACUAAUUAGUGAUUAUUUGGUGUAAUAAAUGAUAUGUCAUGAUAAAUAAUACUAGUAAUUAAUGAGUUUUAAAAUUAUCAUUUUAGUAAUCAACAAGAAAAGAAAGAUAACAAAACUGUAUAAAUUAGAGUGUUUAAGAGAGUGAAUAAUGGUCCCAGCACUUAUCCUCAUCCUUGGUGUUACUGUUAUGUAGUGUAAUCUCAUUCCUCCCCUCCCAUCUGAAAUGUAAUGUAAUAGUGGCGAUUCAUAGACCACUAAGCAAUGAUAAACCCUUCUGACAUCCUUUUGUGGCGUUUUUAACGGUUACAAAGUGGAAAAAAAAAUUAACUUUCCAAUUUGUUGUGGUAAAAAACCCUCACAAAAAUAAGUGUUUGGAGUGGUAGCAUGUUUAAUAGUCUACCAAUCUUUUUCGGAUUGGUAAUUGAGUCUAGCAACCUCUCCUAAGCUCACGGUUCUAAUAGCUUGUAUGUCACCAUCAAUCCAAGCAUAGUGUAACUUAGGUUGCUGUAUUAAUAUCUAUAAUAAUCCCAACUAGAAGUCUCCAAAUUCUAUACUCACAAUCUGAGUUAUGGUCAUUCCUUAGGAAAUUUUAUUCGCAUGGAAUCAGUAUAUUGUAAUAAAAGGCAAAAGAAAGAAGCCAAGACGCCGCUUCAUAGCUGGUGAGAUGGCUAAGCAUCUGGAAUAUGUGGAGCAGACUACUUGCAAGCCUCCAAAGCCAUCAGAAAAUGCAGUUUUGACCACCGUUUAUACAUCCACUCUAGGCGUUAAUUUGAUUAUGUAUAUGCAAUUUGUCAUUUUAUUGAAGAGGAUAAUGUUCUAUGUUUGGGAAAUUUCCUUAUCGUGAUUAUUUUGAAUUCCUCAUGCUAAUUUUCAACUCACAAUAUAUAAAAUUAGCAAAAAAAUAUUAAUAAACUGUGGUAGACAGGAGAAUUUUGCAGUUACAAGUGGGAGUUUGGGUUAAUUAUGUCAAUGAAAUUAAACAUGUUGAAUAGCAUACGGAGUUAUCCUAUACUAACAAUUUAAUUUUUAUUUUUCUAAGUUAAUUGAUUAUCUUAUAGUAUUGGUUCGGAUUUGUGACUCCAUAAUUCGGCUUAUCGUCAGUUGGUUAUCAUAGAACACAACCGAUAACCUCCAUUGAUUCAAACAAAUGUAGCCAACACGAUAUGACGACCACAGGUGACUUGACCUAAGUCUACAACCUGAGUCAUACUCCGGGACAGAAGACUCUUGAUGGAUAUUGGAUCUGUAAUCAAUCCUCCACCUCAUUCAUUGAAAAUAUUUCAAGGAGAAUGAUCUAGAGUCUUGUACAUGGUAGAGGAAAAGGGUAAUCAACAACCAAGGAGACCAUAUGGGCCGUCCAAUGAGAUACGAGUGAGGACGUUCAUUGUUACGAUCCAAAGAUCCCCUGCUCCUACGCUGAGUUCAGGAAAUUUUGCCGCUACACGAUAGGAACUGACAAUCAACAUCAUUCUAUAAACAAAACCUGGCAUUAUUCAUCAUGUACACACAAUUUACCAUAACAUUGCUUUGCUAAAACUACAUUUAGCUUGACGACGAAAUACUACGAACUCAACAUCGGACGGACGAGCUAUUAGUUUGACAAUGGACCAGCAACCAACCACCAUGCUACGCAUGAAAUUACUUUUUCUUAAUCUAAUAAUAUUGGAAUCAUUUUAUUUUAAUUUUUCCUAUUUUUCUCCCAAUUUAGUAAACCACAUCUCUUUAACUUUGUAACUCCCCUCAAGUUAUCUUUGGCCUUCCAUGUUCAAGUCUUUAAGCGCCGUCAAGUCCUCCGUCAAAACAUGACGCCGUUGAUUCUACAUUCCCCCUAUAACCGCCAACCUUAAACAACAGAACCAGCCUCUGUUCAUUUUCUUUUCUUUCUUUCUAAGGGACACAAGAAAACUGAGAGUCAUCAGAGCAAAAUGAAACCCUUUUGCAUAUUCUUGAUUCUUCUAACACUGUUUUCUCUCACAGAAUCAUCUUGCAACAGUGCAGGAGACCAGGCCCUGGUGUCAAAGGCUUUCAAAUCUGUCUCCGGCUUCAACAUCUCCACCUUGUUCCAAACCAGAGCUUCAAACUGUUCACACUCUCACAUCACCAAAAUAGUACUUCCAUCCAAGAAUCUAACCGGAACAAUCUCAUGGAGCUAUCUGAGAAACAUGUCCAAUUUGCAGGUCCUUGAUCUCUCUGGAAAUUCACUAGAAGGCCACAUCCCAAGCUGGUUUUGGUCAACUUUAUCCUUGUUCGAAGUAAACCUCUCAAGGAACAAGUUUGGAGGCAGCAUCAUCUCUAACCUGAAACCAAAAUCUUCAUCACAGGUUCAAAUGCUCAACCUCUCACACAACAGAUUCACCAACUGGGUUUUCCUCUCUGGCUUCACAAACGUCAAAACCCUCGACCUCUCUCACAACAACCUACGAACACUCCCCUACGGAUUCCAAAACCUCACCAAGCUUCAACACCUUAACCUCUCAAGCUGCAAUCUCCAAGACAACAUCAAAUCCAUCUCUUCCCUGCAUUCACUUCACUCCUUGGACUUAUCAAACAACACCUUAACCGGUUCCUUCCCUUCUGAUUUCCCUCCACUGAACACGCUCCAAUUCCUCAACAUCUCACUCAACAACUUCAACUCCUCUGUUCCCUUAAACAAGUUCAACAAAUUCAGCAAGUCAGCUUUCAUCCAAGCCGGUAACAACUUCACCUACGAUGUAAACUCUCCAACCCCACCACAAUUCCAAGCCAUUCAUUACAAAAAAUCCAAUCCAAAACGCAAGAGAUUGAUAAUUACAGUGUGCUCUGUUUUAUCAGCACUUGCUCUGUUUGCUCUGUUUAUCUGGGUACUCUGCAUUGUUAGAAAGAGGAGGAAACGUUGCAUGAAGAACAAAUGGGCAAUCUCGUUACCGGUUCGACCGGCCAUGACGAAGGUGGAGAAGAAAUCAGGGCCAUUCGCGUUUGAAACAGAGUCAGGGUCAACGUGGGUGGCUGAGAUCAAAGAACCGUCGUCUGCACCGGUGGUGAUGUUUGAGAAGCCGUUGAUGAGUUUCACAUUCAAGGACCUCAUCGUUGCCACGUCACACUUCGGGAAGGAGUCGCAGCUGGCGGAGGGAAGGGGUGGCGGGCCGGUGUACAGGGCGGUGCUGCCCGGUGACCUCCACGUGGCGAUCAAGGUGCUGGAACAUGCUAGGGACGUUGAUUGUGUUGAUUCUGUGGCAAUGUUCGUUGACCUUGCUCAGCUCAAGCACCCUAACUUGUUACCUCUCUCCGGUUACUGCAUUGCAGGUAAGUGUUUGAUUUGAGUGAAUCGUCAAAUUGGUAUGUAAAAGUGUUAGGCGCCAGCAAGUUCGUCUUUGAAAGAAAGAAAUCUACGCAGUUUGUGAUUGUGUAAAAUGUCGGUCAAAUCAAUUAAGUAAUCAAGUGGGUUCUAAUUGAUAUUUUACACUUUUAAGCAACUGCGAGGUGUAUUUUCUAAAUUUAGUGACAAACUUGUGAAUGCUUAACACUUUGUGGACUAAUUUGAAUCUUGCUUGUUUAAUUUUGAAUGAAGUUCUCUGCUAUCAUUAAUGGCAUUCACGGGUUUUCGUUUUCUAAUGUCGUUACUCUGUUCCAUGACAUGUUGGGUGUGUCACCAUUUCAUUUAUCUGGGAAAUUAAAUACUCCCUCCGGUCCUAUUUAUAAACAUGAAAGAGAAGAAAAAUCUUGGUCCUUUUUAUAAGAACCAAAUGAAAGUUUGAGCUAUAUUAAUUUUUUUUUCCAAUGAUGCCCUUAUUAAUUCUAGCUUGUAAAAUGUGUCUCAUUAAUUAUUCUCUCUCUUUCCCACUUUCCAACACUAAUAACAAAGGGUAAUUUUGGAAGUUUAUUUUGAUUCAAGACAUAUUUAAUGCAUUUUAUCUAGUUUAACUACAUUUCUUAAACUAUGUGAUUUUUUUUUUGCUGCUUAUAAAUAGGAUCGGAGGGAGUAUAAAAUCUACCAUUGCUGGGUAUGAUUGCGCAUGUUUUUUUGUUUUCUAUAUGAAAAGGUUGUGCAGAUUUCAUAGGUUUGGCACUCAACUAGACUGCCAAAUUUCGAAGUUUGAACUUUGGAGUUUGAAUUCAUGUGCUAGUCAUUUGCUCAUAGGGAAUCUUUGUUUGGUUAUAUUGAGAAAAGAGCAUUGCACAAUAGACAAGGGGAUAAACAGAGUUCUUUACUUUUGAUCAAACUUUUUGAUUUUUUAAUUUUAAAUUAUUUUACUUCAUUUUAUUUAUUUUAAGAUAAAGUAAAGUUAAUUAUUACAACUUUUCACAAGGGAAAAACUAAGUUCUUUACUUUGAUAAAACAUUUUAGUUUUUAUUUGUAAACCAAUUUGUUUCAUUUUAUAUUCAUUCACUUUUAGUUCUUUAAUUUUCUUCAAUUAUAAGAUAAAGUAAGGUUGCAUUUUUAUAAGUAUAAAUGAAAAAAAUGAAAGUAUAUAAAUGGGCCUUUAUGGUUCAAAUAGCACUAUAUUAUAUUUAUUUGUUCAUUUGUGCACUAACUACUUUAUUAGCUAGUAUUUAAAAAUAUUUUUCAAAAAUGAACACAAAGUGGCAGAGCUUUAGUAAAUUCAACUUGUGUGUGUGUGUUUUUUUUAAUUUAUAUCUAAAGAUAGAAUUCAACAAAACCCAUAUAACUUUUGUAAUAUACUUCAUUACUAUUGUUUAUUUAUUUUUUAAUAUUUUGGUUAUAUUUUCAGGUAAGAAGAAGCUGGUGCUAUACGAGUUCAUGGCAAACGGCGAUUUAGGGAGGUGGCUCCACGAGCUUCCAACAGGAGACACUAACGUGGAGGAUUGGACUAGCGACACGUGGGAGAUUCAAAAUGGUGUUGUGGAAGAAUCCCCAGAAAAGAUGGGGUGGCUGACACGACACCGCAUCUCGGUGGGGAUAGCGCGUGGCCUCGCAUACCUCCACCACGGGCGAUCGAAGCCCGUGGUGCACGGCCACCUCGUCACCUCCAACAUCUUGCUUGCCGACGACUUUGAGCCCCGAGUUGCAGAUUUCGGGCUUCGGGAUGACUCGAGCCCGAAUGGAGGCACCGAGGCUGACGUAUACUGCUUUGGUGCAGUGUUGAUGGAGCUGCUGACAGGGAGAGUCAGCACGGCGGAGACGGUGGUUGCGGUCAAGAAAGCGGUGAGGGAUGAUGAUGGUGUUAGAGUUCUAGAUGAGAGGCUACAACUCGACGGCGAUGACUCAAUGUUGAGUCAAAUGGUGGAGAGCCUUCGAGUCGCGCUCUUGUGUACGGCUGAGUCACCUUCUAAGAGACCCACCAUGCAGCAGGUUUUGGGUUUGCUUAAAGACAUUCAUCCACCUCAUCAAUGACUCUAACCAAGUUGACUCAUGUUGAGUUUGACUCGUCGAAUACUUCAUAUUAGUAAGAUGAGUGUUAUCAAUAUUCUCUUUCCAAUAUUCUCUUGUUAAUUUGUUUAAAUUCACGUGAGUCUCAUGUUUUUAGUGGUUCUCACUUGAAUUUUAAUCGAUCGAGAGUGUUGUUGUGAGUUAUGUAUAAACUAUAGACUAAUUUUUUUUGGCAAAAUGGGAAAAAGAAAAUAUCAGAAAAGGACGGAAUGAAUAUGCAUGAAAGUAGUUUAGUCUAGUAGUAUUAUUUUGGAGAGCAUAGCAUAGGGCAGAGAAUCCCACUGAGAAGUUUCCAAUAUUUAUUCCUUUUCCCUUUUUCUUUUAUAAGUUUCCUUUACCUUUUUCCUUUAAAAAGAAAAAUCAUUAUCGACUUUUUAAUUUUUGUUUUGCCCUGUUGUUUCUGUUUGUUUCUUUUCUUUUUACUUUAUUCUCUUGUAGAUUUAUUUAUCUUUAGCCAAAGAAUGUGUCAUCUUCACUCUUCAAGUAAGUUCAUAAUAUGCAUGUCCAUUCAUUCGCACGUUACGUGUUUGUUUUAUUGUCUCAAUGGAAGUUUAGGGACCAGCAGGUGCAAAACAUUGGACCCUUUGUACAAGUUUUGAGACGUGCUUUUCAUUCAUAUUGUUCAUUCCUGAUUUGUCAAAAUAGAAGGCUAAUUUGUCUGCAUAGGGGAAUAUUGUUGUUGUGUUGUGGUGGUCAUUGGUCAAUAAUUAGCUUACAAUGGUGUGGGUCUAGUUGUUUAGUAUGAAUAAGAGACUAAGUGUUGAUAUUUUUCAAUGAUUUCCAUGGAAAGUGUGGAGAUAACGAUAUUUCAAACGUAUAUUAUGAGGUGCAAUAAGAAUAAUUCAUCCACAAUUAACGUAGAAUAUUGUUUCACAUGAAAAUGAAAGUGGGCUUGAGAAUUCUAGUGUUAUAAUAAUCUAUCAAACGUGUUUUGGAGUGAUGCUGUGGUAGUUGAUUACGGAAGCGAGUCAACACCAGACUAUGGGAGUAAGUCAACUAUUUUGACAUUUGAUACUACUGUCAAAGGAAGCCAGCCGGUUUUUACAAUCAGAUUCGCUAUUUAGACAUAUGGGUAAAUAGCCAAGUUCGUCCCUGAAUGUGUCCACCGCCUUCAACUUCGUCCCUGAACUUUCAAAAUGACGCUCGUGGUCCCUGGAUGUGUCAAAUCUCCCUCAUCAGCAGUCCCUGGUUUAAAAAAAACUAACACCGUUAACGGAAGUGUGACUUGGAAUUUUUUUUUUGUAUGAACUUUUGAAAGGCUUCAAUUUAGUCCUUCAUCCCUGGGGAAAAAAUAAACUAAAAAUUAAAAAAUUAAAUCCCAGAAACCUUCAUCAGUUAUUCAUCUUCUGCAUCUUCUUCAACAUUUUCAUUUAAAUCAUGAAAAACUUAGAAAAACAAAAAUUUCCUUCAACAAACAUAUUAGACCUUCAUCUUCUUCACACAUCUCAUCUAAAAACUAAGAAAAUACAUACCCAAACCCAGCAGCCCCCUAAAAUUCACUCAAAGAUUUCAGAAAGAGAAAAAUAAUCAGUUUGCACCAUGAAUACACACAGAAGAGCUCACCUCGCCGGAGAUGUUGGCGGCGGCGAUGGUUCUGUCUCAUCACUCUAGAUCUGCUCGGAAACAUGGGCUUUGGAUUUGGCGUAGGCGUCUCUACUGGAAUUGCCGACGAGGAGCGUCAUCUCGCUGUCGACCACCACCGCGACUUAGAGCCCAGAGUUGGGUUUGUGGGCUGUUUGAUUCACACCAGAACGGGUUCUUCAACCCAGAGAAUGGCCUGCUGUUGAGUAUGGAGGUAGGACUCAUCAUGUGUUCAGCUUCGGUGAAACCUUUUGGCGAGAGAUUGAUGAACAACCUUGGAGAAUUGAAGAAAGAAGAACCAGAUUUCUUAUUUUUUUUAGGGGCAUCACAACCCAGAAAUACAAAGGGACAAAUCCCAAAUCGAAACAUGCAGAAGCCAGAGGGGAAACCACCACACUAACUCAACUCUACCACUUUCUACCCACGCACCUAUUGGCAGAACAACACCCAACAAUUCAAACAAAACAAUUCAGAAAGGGGUUUGCUUUUAUUUAUGAAUAAGGAUGGAAGAAGAUUGUGUCUGUGUGAGGGUGUCGACUGUCUCAUUACUCUGUGUAUACCCCUCUUUCUCUUAAUUCCUCUUUUUUUUGUGUUUAUGGUUUAUAGCUUUAUGAGUUCUCCUUGAUUUUUCAUCUGUGUUACUCAGCACCACAAUCUCAGCUGGUGGUUAAAGUUUCCAAUUUUAAGAUACCCAUGUUGUCAAUUUUGCUUUUUACACGCUACUUCUCUCUGGUUUAGUCUUCAUGAGGGAGAGUGUGAGAAGGAGGGGAUGUGGGUGGGAAGAAGACGAAGAAGGAUGAAGAAGAUGGAGAGAGGGUGAUGGUGGUGGGGAGAGGUAGAGGUAGAGGUAGAGGAAGAUUGGGGAGAGAAAUAAUUUUUUUUCAGAUUCAGGGACUGAGUAACACUUCCGUUAACGGUGUUAGUUUUUUUUUAAACCAGGGACUGCUGAUGAGGGAGAUUUGACACAUCCAGGGACCACGAGCGUCAUUUUGAAAGUUCAGGGACGAAGUUGAAGGCGGUGGACACAUUCAGGGACCAACUUGGCUAUUUACCCUUAGACAUAUACACAAACUAAUAUUUGAAAUGUAAUUUCAAGUGGAGUUCUAACUCAUUCAAACUAUACUUUUUUCAUCUCAUUUUCAUUUAUUAUUCCUCUUCUUAUCUCUUAUUUCUUUUCCCAUUAUAUGAUCACUCAUCAUAUCUCUUAUUCACUCUCUUUUGUUAAUCAUAUAUCUAACUAAUUGAUAGAGGUGGAAAUGGUUUGAACAAAAGUUUAUUGUUCAAGUGGUUGGAUAUUGUUGAAGUUCAACUUACAUUUAGCAGGCCCUUUUCAACGCCAUUUCAAAUAUAUUUAUAAGAAAUUAAAACCACUUGUCCCACAUGAUAGGUCUAUUAUUAAUUUUCCUUGAAACAAAAAAAACAUGCUCUAUAUGGGAUAUUGUUCUUUUGGUUACACAAGGGACAUUGCUUGAUUUUGGGUCAUAUAUUACUUUUUAUCAUACAAAAAGGGCCUAUCAAUUAAUUACUUGAACUUAUAUUUUGGGGAAAAAAGGAUGGGUGGGUGUAAUAGUAAUCCCUUUAAUUUCAAUGAAUUGGGACUUAUUUUUGUGUCUAACUUUGGAUUUUUUUUUAUGAAUCACAAGCAGCGCUCAUAUUCACUAGUGAGCCGUUAGGUUGGUUUUAAAUGGCCCGCAUUACAAAUUUUUGUCAAUGAUGUGUGUUUACAUUUUUGUAUAAAUGUAAUGGACCAUGUUUUUGUAAAAGCCUACAAGUGUUGAGUUUUAAAGCAAGAUCAAAAUACAAUAAUGUCUACAGUUAAAUUCGUAUAGAUUAAGCUCCUAGGCCUGGCCCAUUAUGAAUGAAACAACUUUCUUUGACAAAAAAAAAGACCCCGUUUUGAAGAGCUUAUUUGAGCUUAUCUGAUAGCAUAAGCUCUUGUGUCAGUGUUUGAGAGAGCUUAUGCAAACAGCUUAUGCCCUACCAUAAGCUGUUUUGAGCUUAUUUUCACAAGCUAUUCAGGAUAGCUUAUGAAAAAGAGCUUAUGCUUAUAUAUAACUUAUUUUCAAUUUAUUCCAACAAAUAUUUUAAAAAGCUUAUGAAUAAGCUCUUAUGUCAUAAGCGUUUAUGACCAUAAGCAUUUAAUUAAGUUGUAUUUCCAAACGGGGCCUAAUUUUAUAUUGACAAAAAAAAGACUAAUUCUACAUUUCUGUUAAUAAAAUGGGAGUAAUAAUAUAUAAUAAAAAUUAUUAGAACUAAAAUAAGUAACAAAAUACAUGAAAAAUAUCAGUAGAGCAAAAUUUAAAUCAAUGGAACUAUACACAGUUCUACAGCAUAAAAAUAUAAAACUAAAUGGAGUGAACUUAGUCAUCAGAAUUAAACACAUUGCACAGUAACUAUUUACCGCUUAAUGCAAGCAAUCGUGGAUUAAUACCUUAGGAUAAAAAAAAAGUUAGUUAUUAUUAAUUUGAAUCUUAUUUAAAAGAAAACAAAGAACCCCUUUCAUUGGCUUGCUGCUGCAAAUUGGUCAUUCCCUUGCUUUCUUCUUUGUUUAGUCCAACAAAAAGAACAAAAAGCAAAAGCAUGUCCAUGUAAUCUUAUGCUUUUAUUUAUUAUGAAACAAAGCUAGCUCUAGAUUAUAUUCCUCUAAUUGAAUAACUGGUAACUGAUGAUUCUUGGUUGUUUGGUAAUCGUAUAUACGUAGGACUUGUGCCUUUAGGCUUUAGAGAUAACUUAGGAGUAUCAUUUUGCAUCUUUUUAUGCAUCUUUGAGAUCAAUAAAGAAGGCUUACUAAGCUACUAUCCUUUUUCCAGAUAACUUUUCAUUUUCUGACAUGGAAUCGCAUCAUAGUAAUGAGGAUAUGGCUAUGUUUGUUGUUAUUUGAUCAAAUUUUGCUCUCUCAUCUCUUUUCAAAAGCACAUGUGAAUGCAGACUUUACUAAUGUUUUAUUGAGUGUCUUGAUUUUUGAAUAUUAAUAUGGAAGAAGUACCUAGCUUACCAACGGGUGGUUGGUUUAAGUGGUACAUGCUUGAUUUCCCUUAAGCAAGGUUUCAGAUUUGAGUUUUGUGAUGGAAAAAACCCCGCUAGGAGAGUUAGCUCCACCAUGAUGUGGAUGUUCCCGACUCGAACAGGAUUGCCUCUGAAGAAGAAGACUUGUCUAAAAAAAAAUUAAAGCAAAAUUAUUUUCCACUUAAUGAGUCAAUGACCGAUACAAUUAUACAAAGCAGUUUGAACAUGGUUAGUCUCACUUGUCUAAAUAUGGGUCAAUUUGGAAAUUUAAACACACAUAAUCGUGAAGUGAUUUCAAGCGGUCAAAAAAUUCUAAUGGUGUUUGUUAGGUCUUGUGUCAAACAGCUAAAAUUAUUCUCCAUGAUAGGUCAACGAAUGUUUAAAGUAAUGUCUCAUUCCUAUCGUGUACCUCAUUUAUACUAUUAAAUGAUAAUAGUUUCCUUUAGUACCUCAAUUUAUUGACUUCCUUAAUUAUUUUUUGAGAAGUGUUACUAACACCCAUUUUAACAUUCUUUUAUACUCGGAAGCCCUUCACUCACCAUCAUUGCUUAUCAAUUGUUUUCCAAUGCACUAAGUAACUAAGUCAUCAUAUACUAACACAUCAUUACCAUUAGGUUAUCAUGAUUAACUAGGUAAUUAUAGUCAGAAAGAGAAAAGGCUCAAAUCUAAUACUCCUGCUUGAUAGUUUUCUUGACCACUUAAGAUUUGAUCUCAGAAAUUUAAACUUGUUCCUUGAAAGAGUUUUAGUCAUGAUGUUUAUAAUUUGAUUCUUAAAGCUGCUAUUCUCUAAGCUUAAUUCCUUCUUUGGACUUCCCAGCUUAUACAUUGGCAUGAUAUUUUACUUUAAUGUGCUUAAUUUUUUAUAUAUUGGCAUGACAUUUCACUUUAAUGUGCUUAAUUUUUCCAUGCUGCCAAUUAAUAAUAUCAUUUAUCAACUAUUAUUGGCUCAGAUUUGUUCAUAGAACCAUCAAUAUCAUGUUUGGUUCUACAAACUCACUUAACGUCAAUCACCUUUUGAUUACUGGAAGUCUGGAACUGCCUACAAGUUAUUGCCAAAUUUCAUUUUUCCUUGUCAUCCUUUCCAACCAUCUAUGUUUGCAGCUUAUGCGUUACCCAAGGUUCAAGUGUGGGGCCACAUUGCACAUUUUCAUAAAUUUCAGCCAGAGGUUUGGUGCCUCUAACUGAAAAAUCGACAUCAUCAUCCUAAUAUUCUUCUUUAUUUUCAGAGCUUUAGUCUUGAAAAUUAUCUAGUACAAAUGCUUUUUAUUUGAUGAUUCUACUGCACUGCAUUUAGAAAACAAUAAUACAUUACACUUGGAAAAACAUGCAUUGCCUAUGUUUUCACUUAACAUGAAAACAUUUAUCUCUCCUAAUUAGUUUAUUAAACUAAUUCAAUAAAUUGUUAUGGGUGCAACACUUAAAGAUGAUAUAAAUAACAAAAAGAUUCAUUGUUUAAUAUGAUCGAUGUUCUUCAAAGUAGGAGAUAUAAACUAGAAUUUUUCUUCAAAUAGAAUAGUAAAAUUUCUAAAAAUUAUUAUCAACUAUUUUUAUAUAAAAUGAUUAAGGAAAUACAGGUAAAAAAAACUCAUGAAAACAAAACUUCAUCAUGUAAUUCAAAUAUUUCAAUCAAAUACAUGAAAUACUCUGCAAUAUACCCAGAAGACACUCUCACAGUCACCCUGCAACUUACCCAUAAAAUAUUUACCCCUGUUAUACUACCCAUCCUCUUAAACUCAUGUUCAACCAUUAUCAUUAAUUAUCUCAUUGUACAAUCCCACUUUACAACUCAGUUCCCUACAAAAACAAUAGUAAAGUUUAAUAAUGGGAACAGUGAAGCAACGGUAACAUUUGUGUUCAGUUUUUUGGAAGUUCCUUAAGGGGCAUUAUGGGAAUAUUGAAAAGUUAACGGAACCCUUUGAUUUAUACUAUUAUUAAUAUUUGCAUAUAAAUGAAAAAAGCACACAAACAUUGAGAGAAGAACUAGUAACAAAGUUGAACUAAGAAAACAGAGAAAAAACAGAGAGAGCUCACAUCAAUCUUCUAAUCUUCAUUCUGUCUCUGAACAUUAUUGUACUUGUUGUGACUUGUUAGCUUUUUUGUUUCUGCUUUUGAACAUAUCAUACAUUGAAUCAAUCUUAGUUUCUUCACUUUCACUUUCUUCUACCUGGGUGGAUCAUAGUUUCAACCUUUUUUUUCCUCUGGAGCUGUUUCUGUUUCUAGUGAUUCUUCAUAAGCAGUAGGAAUUGGAAGCAAAUAUUAGAAGUUGCAAAUUGGGCAGUGAGUGAUCAUGGCAGCUAUAAAGCCAGAGGAGAUAAGCCACCCACCAAUGGAACAACUUCAGGGCUUAGAGUACUGUAUAGAUUCAAACCCAUCUUUGGGUAUGCAUGCUCAGCUUCAAGCUUUUCCCAGUUUCAUUCUUAGUUUUCAGUUUUUCACAUAUCUGAUUUUUGUGUUUUUGAACUGUUAACAGUGGAGACAAUACUUCUGGGUUUUCAGCAUUACAUUUUGGCCUUAGGAACUGCAGUGAUGAUUCCUUCAUUUCUUGUGCCUUUGAUGGGUGGAAGUGAUGUAAGUUAUUGCUGAUCCCAACUUCAAGUCCUUUUUCUGAUUGAUACUGAUAAAAUUCUGAUAUGGUAUAGGAAAAUCUCUAUUAAGAAAAAAUUCUAUUUUGUUUUGUUUUUGUGUAUUCAAUUUUGUCAUAUGCUAAAGUGAAUUGGGUGUCCCACUGAAAAGGAAAUGUGGGGACCUUAAUUGAGAUGGCCAAGAUAUAGAGAAUUGACUUUCAUACAUUGGCUUAUUGGUUCAGGGUGAUAAAGUGAGGGUGGUACAAACUCUGCUUUUUGUUGGAGGAAUUAAUACACUUUUGCAGACACUAUUUGGAACUAGGUUACCAACUGUAUUAGGAGGAUCAUAUGCCUUCAUGGUCCCCAUUGUAUCGAUAAUCCGCGAUCCAUCUUUCGCAAUGAUAGAGGACCCACAUUUGGUUAGUACACUCCUGUAAUCACUCUUUCAUAUUUUGUCCUGAAUUUAAUUCCAUGUUAGAUAUGGAGUUAUGGACUAUCUAAGCAUGUGAAUAAUUAUCCCUUUAUGGCUUAAACUAAUGCCUCUUCUGUUUAUCUCCAGAGAUUUCUCAGCACUAUGAGAGCAGUCCAAGGUGCACUAAUAGUAGCAUCAAGCAUACAGAUUAUUUUGGGAUUUAGUCAACUAUGGUCAAUUUGCUCUAGGUAAGCUCUAACACCAUGAUUGAUGAUACUUUUAGUCAACUGUGGCCAAUCCGACAUUCUGUGUAGUCUAUUAAGUAAUUGAUGUCCUUUUCAUUUACAUGCAGGUUUUUCAGCCCACUUGGAAUGGUUCCAGUAAUUGCAUUAGUUGGUUUUGGAUUAUUUGACAGAGGGUUCCUUGUGGUAUAGCACUAAACCACAUGUCUCUAUUACCAGUUGUUUUAGAAUAUCAAGAAGAUGAAAUUUUGAAGUAUUUGUUAUUGGUUCAUAUUGUUUAACAAAACUGGUUUGUGUUUUUCUCAGGUUGGGACUUGUGUUGAAAUCGGAAUUCCCAUGCUAAUCCUGUUUAUAGCCUUCUCUCAGGUGCAAAUAAAAUUUACUGUUGUUAAGUAAAAUAGGUGAAUUAGAAAUUCUUGUUUAAAUUAGCUUGUGAACAACAUAAUUAAAAAUACAUAAUAAGAUCAACAUUAGGUUCUCAUGUUAAGUACAAAGUACAAUAGGUGAAUUAGAAAGUUCUUGUUUAAAUGAGCUUGUGAAAUACAUAAUAAGAUCAUCUUAGGUUCUUAUACUAGCUCUGAUAUUUGAUAAUUCCUUUUUUCUGAUCCCAUUAUGUUGAAUCCAACACAUUGCUUAAAGAGAAAAAUCCUAAGCAUAGUGAUUGUAAAGUUUUAAGUGAGGGCCAAACAAAAAGGGAUUUUACAAAUAUGUAGUGUAGGUUGUAGACUUGUAGUUUAACAAUGUGUUUGGAUUCACAGUCAACUUUCAGAAUCAUUUCUCCUAAGACAAAAUUCACUCCUAGCAGCUUCUCUCAAAAUUGCUACAAAUUUCCAAACACACUAAAUACAUUUAUCCUUUGGUUCUCUUGUCUUUCUUUUUGAUUUGUUAAACCCAUAAGGAAUGUAAAGUACACUAAGCAAGUCCUAACUUGAUAUGUUGUUGUAUGCAGUAUUUAAAAAAUCUUCAGACAAGACAAGUACCAAUACUAGAGCGAUUUGCUCUACUCAUAUCAGCCACAGUGAUAUGGGCAUAUGCACAUCUCCUAACAGCAAGUGGAGCUUACAGAGACCGCCCAGAAUUAACGCAACGUAGUUGCAGGACAGACAGGGCUAAUCUCAUUUCUUCUGCUCCAUGGUUGGUACCAAAAGUAUUUUUCUAGUUGAAUGUUUGCAACAUGAUGCAUGUAUAAAGAUGUAAGAUAAAGAUUCCAUACUUCCUCAAUGUUUGUAUCCAAUAAUUGACUCAUGAGUAUGUUGCUGUAGGAUAAAGAUUCCAUACCCUCUUGAGUGGGGUGCUCCUACAUUUGAUGCUGGCCAUGCUUUUGGAAUGAUGGCUGCUGUCUUGGUCUCAUUAAUUGAGGUAUUGCACACAUACAUAAAGAUGAUAUUCAUAACUCAAAAUUAUCUUGAAUCAGAGUAUUUGAUUUUUUGUUAUCCUUCGCCGUAAUAAUAUCUUGGGGUUCUCUUAGGAAUUAAUGAGACCUUUCACUUGAGAGGAAUCUACAAAUGAAUCAAUCCACUAAUAUUAUCAAUUUGUUGACUAGUGAUAAAACAAGUUCCUUGUUUUUGACAGUCAACUGGUGCAUACAAGGCUGCAUCGCGAUUAGCAAGUGCCACACCACCUCCUGCUCAUAUCCUGAGCCGCGGUAUCGGUUGGCAGGGAAUUGGAAUCUUGCUGAAUGGCCUUUUUGGAACACUGACUGGUUCAACAGUUUCUGUGUAAGUACUAUUCUUCUUUUUGUUCAUAUUUUUUACUUUGUAUGGACACAAAUUGAUUCUUUUAGGACCAUCACAGAGAGAAUGUGGGGCUUCUAGGAAGCAACCGUGUUGGCAGCCGAAGGGUCAUUCAAGUUUCAGCUGGGUUUAUGAUAUUCUUCUCAAUGUUAGGUGAGUAGCAAGUGCUGGCUUUGCAUUGUAAUUAAUAUAUGUGUAAACUAAUUCCAAUUUCAUAGUUUUUACUUAAAAUCCUUAAUUUGCUAUUUGUUUUUCAGGAAAAUUUGGAGCUUUAUUUGCAUCAAUACCAUUCCCCAUUUUUGCUGCUGUAUACUGUGUUUUGUUUGGUAUUGUCGGUGAGUACCACUAAAUCAUUGAUUUUGCUUGAACAUUCUUUUUGCUUCCUGUCUCUCUUAUGACAAUUACUAUUUUUGUUUUUUCAGGUUCUGUGGGGCUAUCAUUUAUGCAAUUCACAAACAUGAAUUCAAUGAGGAACCUCUUUAUUAUUGGUGUUUCCCUCUUCUUAGGGUUGUCUGUUCCGGAGUAUUUCAGAGAAUACACCAUCAGGGCACUUCAUGGUCCUGCCCAUACAAAGGCUGGAUGGGUGAGUUUGUUGUUUUAUCCACCUAUACUAAUUUGGAUUGUCUGCACGGCUCAUAUCUUAAGCUAAUCUCUACUGAGUAAUCUUGAUAAAAUAUAUGAACUGACUCUUUGAUCAAACUGUGCAGAUUUCUUGACCACAGGGAACCUAAAUCCUAAAUCCUAUACCUAUAUAAUAUACAAUAUAAUUUAUCAUUGAAGAAAUUAUAAUGAAAUUGUUUUUUCCCCUUUGGUUUUUGCAGUUCAAUGAUUUCCUUAACACUAUCUUCUACUCUCCCCCAACUGUUGCAUUGAUUGUUGCUGUGUUCUUGGACAACACUCUUGACUACAAGGAUAGUGCCAAGGAUAGGGGAAUGCCAUGGUGGGCUAAGUUUAGAGCAUUUAAAGCCGAUAGCCGGAAUGAAGAGUUCUACUCACUCCCUUUCAACCUCAACCGGUUCUUCCCUCCAUCCUAAGAAAAUUCUAAUAUCAUAUACAAGAGGUGUUAGAGGAAAAGCAUCAUUUCCAGAUAAGGAUCAUUCUAUAUGAUGAUCAGUUUGAAGAGUUAGAAAAAUGUUGUCCUCUUAGGUAGAAGGUUCCCUUGUGCUUUCUGUUCAUUUGUUUUUCAUAUAUUUUUAUAGUUUGAAUUGGUUUCUUUAGUUAUUUUCAUACAAUAGAACAAAAAAGUUAUCUGUUCCUUAACUUACAUAUUUCUUAUUUUUUAAUUCAUUUACUAAAAUCAUUAAGUGGUUGGAUUUAGUUUAAAUUGUAAUUAUAUUUGAGCCUAUCUUUAUUCAUUUUAUUUGGCCAAUGAAAUUCAAUGUCCACAUGUGCAAAAUUGGUUCAGGGUGAGAGGAGCAGCUAUUUUUGUUUGCACAUUCACUCUGUGCACCUUGCCAGAAUAAAUGCUUCUGCCAUAUCAAAAUUGUUUGCACAUUCACUUUUAUGACCAUCUUUGAUCAUCAUAUUUAUGUAUUCAAAAUUGUUCCAUCAAGGUAAGGGGCAUGAUCACAUCCAUAGUAGGUUAUACCUCUAGCAUUUGAGACCUUAAAACCAAUAAAAUGAAUCUUGCGUCUUCCUAUUAUUUGGACUUAGAGUUACUUUCAUUGGCUUUGCCUUCAGAAAGCCUAACUUCUCUGUCUAAAUAGAAGAAACCAAUCAAAUUACAAAAAUCUUGCAUUUGAAACCUUAAAACAAAACCAAUAAGCAUUUGGACUACUGAUGAUUUAACACAUACAACUACAAAAAGGAACUACUGAAUGAAAGAACUAAAACCUCAACGACAGGGGCGGGGAAAGUCAUGGGAUGACCUCUUUUUAGCAUUGAAGAUUAGUGUCGGUUAGACGGACGCUUUGGAAUAAAUGGGUUGAUUACAUUUCUAAUAAGCACAAAACUGCCUUUCAAGUUAGAGUUGACCAGACCCCCGCCAUAGUAGCCUCUGCUAAACAUUCAAAUAACCAAUGUAAAAAUUAAAUUGUGUUAGUAUCGUCUUCACUUUUACGUUUGUGUGGACUUAGUGUCAACUUAAAUUAGGGUCAAUGUCGUGAUAGGUGCUACGCGACAUAGCUAAAUUAAAUGUUUGUUGUAAUGGUUGCUUGUGUACAAUUUUUUUUUUUUGAAAGAAGUAAAAAGAAUGAAAACCAUGUGCAAUAUCCAGGAAUAGUGAUAUUUGUAACUUGUAAAAUAUAUUCAAAAUAAAUUUUAUUGGCAUUGAAAAUAAAUAAAUAACUAAACUACCACCAAUCAAAAUCAUGACGUUCUUGCAUCAUAAUUUAAUGAAUCUCAUUGAUGAAGAUCCAAUUGCGCAGGAAGAGAGUUGACAAUUAUCAUAACCUGACUGAAGAAAAUCCAAAUGAAUGUUCUUAAUCAAUUACCAGACGCCUUCUGUAACCAAGAGUUGACAGAAAUGUGCAUAUAUUAUGCCAUUUAAAGGAGAACCAUUUGUUAAAAUAAGGUUAGGGAGAAAAAGCUCAAUAUUGUGACCACUAGAUUUUCCCUGUAUUUUUGUCUUAACAUUCUAUGUGGCCCUAAACUGGAUAACAAAAGUCCUAAAUUCUAAUUUGCUAUGUUUCAGUAUUUAAUUGAGUGCAUGACAAAAAAGUAUUUGAUUAACAGUUUGCAAGUGUGUACAUAUAUUAGGAGCUAGUUCCUUUUAUAUGUACACUAAAAAAUAAAUAUAUACUGCUAAUUUAAUUUCUGUUCAAGAUUCUCAGGCUUGGCAACAUAGUUAAGGUAUUUUUAUUAAACUAGAGAUACUUAAUUUUGUCUGUUUGCUCGGGGAUAGAUUAUUUGGCCCUAGCUAGAUUCUUAACUUCUACUAACAUACAUUUGUUAUUGCAAAUAUCAGUUUAAUUACCCAAGACCAUGCAUACGUGCAAGAAAUAUAUAGCAAGCUUAAAUGGAAUAUGUUCUUGUUUAUAUCCCACUUUUAUGCAUGUAUUGUUCUUUAUUUGACCUCAAAUCAUAGUUAAUCAAAAGUCUCUCAUUUUGCACUAUGGUUAGAAGAAAAACUAAGGUUAAGGAUGAUCGGUUACGUUUAGAAGGUUGUGUGUUUGAUUUUCAUUGUUGAUGUGAUGGUUGUUGUAUUGGUAGACUAUAUGUGAAUACUUCAGUAAGUGUAACAUUUGAUUUCAAAAGUAUGCUUUAACUCGUAGUUGUGAUCAAAGUCGAACUCUCUUAAAUUUUUUAUUAUAAAAAAAGAAAGAAUGGUUUUUUCAAUUUUUUAAGAAGAUGUAUAGCAAAACUAUUCCUGGAUUAUUUAUUAGGAUUUAAGAAUUUAAAAUAAAAAAUAGAAGUAUUUAAUUCCCAAAAUGUUGUAUCUAACUAUUCUAUUCUAUUAUAAUAUAUUAAUUCUGAAGCGCGAAAUGCAGCAUUGCCACAUGUCAUUUACUUCAGUCACAUCACAUAUUUAGCUUUGUUGUCAUUUCAUAGAAAUUAGAGCUUUUUAUCAUACACAACUCUACAUGUAACUUCUAUUAUAAUUAAAUACAAAAAGUAAAUAUAAAUCUAUUAUAGUAAUUUAAUUUCUUAUUAAAAGUACAAACAAUACAUUAAUAUCUAAUUGAAUAUGAAAUUUGAAAAUAAUUACAAAACUAUAAUAAUAAUAAUAAUUAAUAUUAUUAUUAUUAUUAUUAUUGAUAUGCUAGUAUUAUAUUUUCUAAUCUUUCAACCAUAUUACAAAGUAAUUAUAUGCUCCCGCAUGCAUUGCCUGUGUCUUAAUUAUAAAUCUGAAGUUGAGAUGUGGAGGUGCUUCAUCAUAAAAAUUAGCUCUAAUUUCAUGCCACAUAAGAAAUUUUAAAUAGUUGGAGCUCUAUUUAUUUUUCAACUUUCAAAUGAUCUUUUUCAGUAGCAUUUUUAACUCCAUCAACAUCCAAUAAUGAGUUUCAAAUGAGAAAAAAGUUUGAGAUAUGACUGAAUAAAUAUAGUUGACUUUUCAUCUAACCUAUCUUUAAAUUAAUUUUUGCUCACUUUUUUUGGUACAUCGAAGAAUAAUUUACACACCUAUGAAGCCACUUUAAUCAAUUAUAAUAUAUAAAGUUAAACUGUAAGUUGCAAAUAUGACAUUCAUUACAAGAAAAACGAGAAUUAUUGCAGACAAAAAUCGUUGGUAAGCUCUAAAAUUCGUUAGUAAAGAAAAGUCACCGACUGCCAAAUAUUGAUCGUUAUUAAGCUCCCUAGUAAUACUUACCAACGAUUUUCAAAAGUCAUCAGUAACUUAGAGAUGGUUAUAGCUGUUGGUAAGUUACUAAUGACCUCAACCGUCGUUAAGUUAUCGACAACACAAAUAGUAAGUAAUAUGUCAAUUUGAAUGAAAAAAUAUCCAUUACUUGGAACAAAAGUGCUUCACUAGUAGAUAUUUUUUUUAAUAUAUUGCGUUCUUCGUGACAAUACAAUCAAGCCUAUUUAUAGUUUGAUAAAAAUUACCCACAUUAUUAGAUAAUAUUAUUUAAAUAUAAAACCUUAAUAUAAAUUUCCAUAUUUAGCCCAUUUUAAAUUAAUAAAAUAAUAGUAACUACUAAAUACAAAAUACAAAAAUAAAAUAUUGAAUAUUAUAUUUAUUUAACCAAAAUUAUAUUUAUUGAAAUUAUUCUAUAAAAAUAUAUUAUUAACAUGUAAUUUUUUUUUACAUAUUUAUAAAUAGGUUUAAAUAUGUUGGAGGUCCCCCUAAAAUAGGGGUCCUUUGGUUAAGGCCCCUACAAUUUUUUUUGGGUGGAAUAAACCCUUAAUGUGAAAAUAAUAUAUAGUAAUAAGCCCUUUCUGUGAGGUUCUGUUUAAUUUCUAAUGAUUCUGCAAACGGCGUUGAUGUGGAUUAUAUUUUGUGAAAAUUACUAGGAUUUUACCCGUGCGAUGCACGGAACCUGCUCAUUUUAUUUAUUUAAAUGGUUUGUUCUUAAUACAUCUUUGACUAUGAUAGAAAUUAUUAAAAAUAUUGGAGCAUCAGUUGAAUAUCAACCAAUAAACGAUUAUCAAAUAUUAAAGACGACUUAAUAUAUUCCCUUACGUGCAUUCUUCAAGAGCAUUAAGAAAAUAAUUCUCUGAUGUAUAAAAAAAUGAGCAUUUAGCAUAAUAAAACCCCCAUGAGUGGCAUCUUCAUUAACAUAAUAUAUUUAGAAAAUAAAAUUUCAUGUGAUAAAUUUAUGCAAAAGAGGAGUAAUUGUUAAAGAAAUUCUGGAAAUAAAUGUAGAACAUUGCAACCGCCAUAGUUUAAACGAUACAUAGGAGGUCCAGUAGCUCAAAUACAUCAAACUUAACAGCAAAAACUUGAAAUUUAACACUAAAAUUUUUUAUUCAAUUUUUUUUGGGUGUUUUUUUUUUAAUUCGUGUUAUUAAUUUAAAGAUAUUUUACAGAUUAAAAGAAAAGAAUUUAUUUUAGAUAUAAGAAAUCAUAAAUUUUUAAGUUUUUUUUGUACUAUAUGUUUAUUUUGUUUUUUGAGUUGCUAAUUUUUUUUUUAUCUUUUGUAUUCGUUUUUGUUUGUCAAAUGAAUUCGUUAAAAACCUGUGUUAUUUUUGUUAUGUUUAUUAAAAGAUAAGUUAUGAAUUAAGAUAAUAAAAUAAAUUUUAGAUAUAGGAAAACAAAAAUUUGUAAGUUUUUUUGCUUGAUUGAUGGUCAUGUCAAGUAUAACACUUUUUUGCAUCUGGAACAUUGAGAAUAAUGAUUGCCCUGAUGAUUUUUCUGAAAUAAAGAAAAUAAACUGUGAAAAGUAAUAUGAAGUCAUAAUAUGUAACCACUAAGUUUUCUAAAUGCAUAAAUAAUCUUUCAAAUUCUGACAUAAAGUAGGUUAAAGUGUGUUGAAUUCACCUCUUUAUUUAAAAUUGUGUAACUGGUAACCAACUAUUCAAAACAAUUUAAUAUCCACUUGCGUGUUUUUCUGAAAUUCUAUGGCAGUCAUUUGCUCUUACUUUUUAUAACAUAUUAAUGGAUAAUAAGAACCAAGGGAGAUAGUUUUGAAAAAUCUGGCAGGGUCUAAAUGCAUAAUAACAAUCUUUCAAAUUCUGUCUUAAAUUGGCUUGAAGUGUAUUGAAUUCACCUCUUCAACUGAAAUUAUGUAAUUGGUAAAUAACUAUCCAAAAUAAUUAAUUCGCCACUUGCAUGAGUUUACUGAUAGUAGUGUGAUCUAUACAUUCACAUUUCAUAUGGCCAGCGGUCACAACUUAGGCAUUUGUCUGCUGCAACGGUUCCUCUCAUCUGAACAGCCAUGCUUGCUAAGAGGAGUGUUUACUUGGAGAAGCUUUCGCAUGCAAAGUCCAUCUAACAUAUACAGUAUUUCCCGGGCUACGGUCAAAGAAGGGAUUUGAUAAUGUGCAUGUUGAGGAGUUUCAAUUAUGUCAUCUUUCUUUUCCUGCAGAAGAAAAAAUAGAAAGCUUAAACUACUAAAGGUAGGUUUGUAGUAAAAAGCUUAUUUAGUUUGCUAGAGAUUAUAUGUUCAAACUAUGCUUUAGUUGUAGCUAUUGAAAAAGAAAAGGUGAAAGAAAGUCACUAAACGGGAUAGAUCACAUUCUGUCAAUUGUGAAUAUUCACUGUAAUUAGCUUCUGAUUUGUAUAGUUCCUAAUCUUCAAAUUAUGGCAAGUGUAAGAGAAAAAGUGAUAGACCAAAUGUAUGAAACUUUGACAGAGAACUCUUCAUUUUUCCAAUUCAAAUAAUUAGAUUACAAAAACCCUUCAAGCGCUAUGUGAAGGGUCAGACUCGUAUCUUUGUGUGAUGGAAUUUAGAGGAAAAACAGGAAAAUUGUUAUAAAUAGAUAUAACAUAAACUAGACAUCACAACAAAAAAUAUUUCAAGUUAGAAGUGACUUAUCUACGAAAGCAAAUAAUACAAAGCUCAGUAGUUAAAAUUGAAAGAAGAAAAUACCCUACAACUCAAAAGCUUACUACCCAAGCACUCUGUUAUAGAUUACAACUAAUAGAAUUUACUUAACAAAAGUAUGUAAACAAUAGCAAUGACAUCAAAAUAUUAUAGCAAAGAGAAAGAAUAGCAAUGAUAGCAUAAUCUUGAUAAAAAUUUAUACAUUGUAUGUUACCUAGCAAUAAUAGCAACAACCAAGGAUCCCAAUUACCCCUCCAACCCACUGAUUCAUGCUGGCCAUUAAGCCAAAAGCAGAGAACCUGUAAGUGUAAACAGUGAAAAUAUGCUUGAUAGUGUGUAAGGAAAAGUUUGGUUUACAUUUUAUGAUUUUUCAGCUGGAUUCUUGACUUUUAUGUUUUCUGCAGCUUCACUCAGAGGAGCAAGGCAUGGGUUCUCCUACAAAUUCAAUAGGUUCAUUUUUCUCACUUAGACAAAGCAUUUCUUUUAUCUAUUUGUGUUUGUUCAUUUGUUCAGUGAUUAGUAUGGUCUAUAUUGUCGCGUCAAGUAAGAGGAAGAAAGGAGAAAUCCUUUUGCUUUUAAUGCUUGGUUGAAUUUAAUUUUCUGAUGCUCAACAUAUUUAGGCUACUCCUGAAGUCCUUAUGUUCUUGCUAUGCAGAGAUAGACUAUCCUGGUUAGACUGUCUAGUUCAAGAUGUUUCAACCAUUGCACCAUCUCCAACUGCAACUUCAUAUUUUCAGUCUUUUACCCCUCAUAAGUCUAUACAACCAAGAACUUAUGGGAUGCCGAGGCAUCUUUUGAGGGUAUUAGUACAGAGAUCAAAUAUCAUAGGAAGACAUGGUCUUCUGGGAAACUGGAUACCUGCCAGAUACAUUAUCAAUGCAUCAGUUGAACUGAAGACUGGCAAUGGUGUUGUUUGAUUCUCUCUGGAUAAGCCUGAUGGUGUUAUUUUACUAAGGAUGGCCAGACAAAAAAGACUAAAAAGGCUAAAGUUAAUGAACUCAUAUUCAAUCGUUUGAAGGCAAAGAAAAAGAUGAAUUCUCUAAAUCCAGAAGUUAGAAUUCGAUAUAAGCUUGAAAAGGUUGGAAUUUCAUGGUAAUUUGUACUUUGCUUCAGCUGCUUGGUUGUUAUUGAUGAUUUGCUUUUGUGAUUUUUCUUCCUUCUGGUCGGGGUUCAUACUUUCAUGAUUUGAUCACUUAGUUUUUCUUCAUGUUUCAGUUCUCUAUUAAAUGUAUAAGUAUUGUUCUGAUACGUCCUGCAUAUAUUGGCAUUGAAAUAAACAGAACACUGCCUUAUGUGGAUUUGUAUUUGAAACACCUCUGUUAAGUUUUACUCUGCAUUUGGGAAGCUUAUGUGAAAUCAUUUUUUCAUGAAGACAUUAAUAUUAAUAUUUCUCAGUUACCUAGCUUAUUAGACAUUAGUAUAACAUCACAGUAUACAUAAUAGAUAUUUUUCUGCUUUUAACUUUUAACAACUUGGCUUUGGCAUCUUCACCUCAGUUUACAUGAAUAAUUUAGUGCCUCAAAUAGGCUGGAAAGAGGCAUUUUUCCUUUCUUCCUCAAUAUUUCCAUUUCUUAAACUUGUUAAUUUACAGGCUAAGCGAAAGGAGGUAUGGUUGAUUGAAAAACUAAGGAAAUUUGAUAUCCCAAAAUCCCCAGCAGAAACAUUUGAUCCUGAAAUUUUAACUGAGGAGGAGAGACAUUACCUGAAGCAUAUUGAUUGAAAGUUCGAGUCUAUCUAAAUGACAUACUAAUGUCUAAUAAAGUCUACAGGAAGAUAAAUAACAUGGCCUGUUUGAUGAAAAGUAAGGUUUUGUGCACUACAACAAAGUACAAACCAAGCAUAUUGAUUGGAAGUUCGAGUCUAUCUAAAUGGACAGCCAAUCAUAGAACAUCCCAAGCCAAUAUGAAAUACACCAAACAACUGUAAGAUCAAGUUUUGAUCUAGUAGUACAACUCUAUGUUUUGAUGAUUACAAGUUAACCUUUUGAUAUGAACAAUUGUGGUACUCUAACGUGUUUUUCUGAGUGUGAUAUUUACAGGCUCUGACCUCAACUCAAUCUCACACAAAUCAGAAGCACUGUGUAUAAAGAGUGACCCAAGCAACGCUUUCGCAUUCACCAUGUUCAGUAUGAACAGUGGAAAAGCUUCAGAAGUUCUGAAGUUAUACAAACUCUGAUGUGGACUCAGUCGCUAGAAGCUCUGAAGAUCCAGAAGUUCUGAUAACCAAGAAACACUGAAGGUUCAGAUGUUCUGAUGGUGUAGAAGACUCUGAAGAUCCAGAAGCUGAAUAGUGGAAACUCUGAAGUCCAGAAGCAAGAAACUCUGAAGGCCAUGUUCUUCCCUCUGAGUUCAGAAUCAGAAGAUACAAUGGUCAGAGGAUCUGUGGUUUCCCUCUGACUCUGAUCAACCGGCUUCACAAGUUCCAAUAUGAAGCAUUCCCCUGAUCAGAAGUCUCCUAGGUUUAAAGGUCGCGUCGCUAUCCAAGUACAAAAGCUACUGUACCUUCCUGACGACCUACCUAACGUUCUCAGCCACAGCAGAAGCUGGAUUUUCCAGAACUGCCCUCCAACGGUAGCAUUUCCCAUGCAUCGCUCAACCCUAAUCCUUGGAGUAUAUAAAUGUUGGAUUUAUUAAUCCAGCGUCACCCUUAGGAUUCGAUGGGCUUAACAUCCCACCCCAUGGCGCUUAACAUUGCAGCCCCUUGAGGACUCUGUGCUAUAAGGAAAUAAAGUUGCACCCUCACUAACAGCAAUUGCUUUUGGCGUAGUGGUAAGCGCUUGAUCCUUCAAUUGGUAUCAGAGCGCAAGUUCUGAUUACCACACCUAACAGUGUUCAGUGAUCCGGGCCGGUGUGAAAAACAAUGGCUGCCACCACCAGUGAAACUCAAAGAGAUGGUUACAACGCAAAGCCUCCUAUGUUCGAUGGUCAAAGGUUCGAAUAUUGGAAAGAUAGACUGGAAAGUUUCUUUCUGGGUUUCGAUGCAGAUCUCUGGGAUAUUAUUGUGGAUGGCUAUGAGCGUCCAGUUGAUGCAGAUGGCAAGAAGAUCCCAAGGUCAGAGAUGACUGCAGAACAAAAGAAGCUGUACUCACAACAUCACAAAGCAAGAGCAAUUCUUCUAAGUGCUAUUUCCUAUGAGGAGUACCAGAAGAUUACCGAUCGUGAGUUUGCUAAAGGCAUUUUUGAUUCUCUGAAGAUGUCUCAUGAAGGAAACAAGAAAGUCAAAGAAUCAAAGGCAUUGUCUUUGAUCCAAAAGUAUGAAUCCUUCAUCAUGGAGCCAAAUGAGUCCAUUGAAGAAAUGUUCUCCAGAUUUCAAUUGCUUGUAGCUGGCAUACGACCUCUCAACAAGAGCUACACAACAAAAGAUCAUGUCAUAAGGGUCAUCAGGUGUCUUCCUGAAAGUUGGAUGCCUUUGGUGACUUCAAUAGAGCUCACGAGAGACGUUGAGAAUAUGAGUUUAGAAGAACUCAUCAGCAUUUUGAAAUGCCAUGAGCUGAAACGCUCAGAGAUGCAAGAUCUGAGGAAAAAGUCCAUAGCCUUGAAAUCCAAAUCUGAAAAGGCUAAGGUUGAGAAGUCAAAGGCUCUUCAAGCUGAAGAAGAAGAAUCUGAAGAAGCAUCAGAAGAUUCUGAUGAAGAUGAGCUGACUCUGAUCUCCAAGAGACUCAACCGCAUCUGGAAGCACAGGCAGAGCAAGUUCAAAGGCUCUGGAAAGGCAAAAGGCAAGUAUGAGUCCUCAGGCCAGAAGAAGUCUUCAAUCAAGGAAGUCACAUGUUUUGAGUGCAAAGAAUCUGGGCACUACAAAAGUGAUUGUCCAAAGUUGAAGAAAGACAAGAAGCCAAAGAAGCACUUCAAGACCAAGAAGAGUCUGAUGGUGACAUUCGAUGAAUCAGAGUCAGAGGAUGUUGACUCUGAUGGUGAAGUCCAAGGACUCAUGGCCAUUGUCAAAGACAAAGGAGCAGAGUCAAAGGAAGCUGUUGACUCUGACUCAGAAUCAGAAGGAGAUCCUAACUCAGACGAUGAAAAUGAGGUAUUCGCUUCCUUCUCUACCUCUGAACUGAAACAUGCUUUGUCUGAUAUCAUGGAUAAGUAUAACUCUUUAUUGUCUAAGCAUAAAAAGUUGAAAAAGAACUUAUCUGCUGUCUCUAAGACUCCUUCUGAACAUGAGAAAAUUAUUUCUGAUUUGAAAAAUGAAAAUCAUGCUUUGGUAAAUUCUAACUCUGUGCUUAAGAACCAGAUUGCUAAGUUAGAAGAAAUUGUUGCCUGUGAUGCCUCUGAUUGUAGAAAUGAAUCUAAGUAUGAAAAGUCUUUUCAAAGAUUCCUAGCUAAAAGCGUGGAUAGAAGCUUAAUGGCUUCAAUGAUCUAUGGCGUAAGCAGAAAUGGAAUGCAUGGCAUUGGCUAUUCUAAACCAAUUAGAAAUGAGCCUUCUGUGUCUAAAGCUAAAUCCUUGUAUGAAUGCUUUGUUCCCUCUGGUACCAUAUUGCCUGAUCCUGUACUUGCUAAAGUUGCUAAACAUCCUCUUAAAAAGGGAUCUUUCUCUAUGACUAAAUAUCAUGCAAAUAUUCCUUUAAAAUAUUAUGUUGAGACACCCAAGGUGAUCAGAACCUCUGGGGUAACUAACAAAAGAGGACCCAUAAAGUGGGUACCUAAGGACAAGAUCAUCUAUGUUGCAGAUAUCCUUGAUAGCUCCACUGAAACACCAAUCAUGGUAUCUGGACAGUGGAUGCUCGCGUCACAUGACGGGAGAAAAGCGUAUGUUCCGAGAGCUGAAACUUAAGCCUGGAGGCGAAGUUGGCUUCGGAGGAAAUGAAAAGGGUAAAAUUGUUGGUACUGGUACUAUUUGUGUAGAUAGUAGUCCAUGCAUUGAUAAUGUUUUAUUGGUAGACGGCUUAACACAUAACUUAUUGUCUAUAAGUCAAUUAGCUGACAAGGGUUAUGAUGUUAUAUUCAAUCAAAAGUCCUGCCGGGCUGUAAGUCAGAUCGAUGGCUCAGUUCUGUUUAACAGCAAGAGGAAGAACAACAUUUAUAAGAUCAGAUUAUCUGAGUUGGAGGCUCAGAAUGUGAAGUGCCUUCUGUCUGUUAAUGAAGAGCAGUGGGUAUGGCAUAUACGGUUAGGGCAUGCCAGUAUGAGAAAGAUUUCUCAGCUGAGCAAGCUAAACCUUGUCAGGGGCUUACCCAAUCUGAAGUUCGCUUCAGACGCUCUUUGUGAAGCAUGUCAGAAAGGCAAAUUCACAAAAGUCCCUUUCAAGGCAAAGAAUGUUGUCUCAACCUCAAGGCCGUUGGAACUUCUGCAUAUCGACCUUUUUGGACCAGUGAAAACUGAGUCUAUAGGUGGCAAGAGAUAUGGGAUGGUUAUCGUUGAUGACUAUAGCCGCUGGACAUGGGUAAAGUUUCUAACCCGCAAGGAUGAGUCUCAUGCUGUGUUCUCUACCUUCAUUGCUCAAGUGCAAAACGAGAAGGCUUGUAGGAUUGUGCGUGUCAGAAGUGACCAUGGUGGAGAGUUUGAGAAUGACAAGUUUGAGAGUCUGUUUGAUUCCUAUGGAAUUGCACAUGAUUUCUCUUGUCCCAGAACUCCUCAACAAAAUGGUGUUGUUGAGAGGAAGAACAGAACUCUUCAGGAGAUGGCUAGAACCAUGCUCCAAGAAACUGGCAUGGCUAAGCACUUUUGGGCAGAGGCAGUAAAUACAACAUGUUACAUUCAGAACAGAAUCUCUGUGAGACCAAUUCUGAAUAAGACUCCUUAUGAAUUGUGGAAGAACAUAAAACCCAACAUUUCUUAUUUUCAUCCUUUUGGCUGUGUUUGUUAUGUUCUCAAUACUAAGGAUAGAUUGCAUAAAUUUGAUGCUAAGUCUUCUAAGUGUCUAUUACUUGGUUAUUCUGAUAGAUCUAAAGGUUUUAGAUUUUAUAAUACUGAUGCUAAGACUAUUGAAGAAUCUAUUCAUGUUAGAUUUGAUGAUAAGCUUGACUCUGACCAGUCAAAGCUAGUUGAAAAGUUUGCAGAUUUAAGCAUUAAUGUUUCUGACAAAGGCAAAGCUCCAGAGGAAGUUGAGCCAGAGGAAGAUGAACCAGAGGAAGAAGCUGGUCCCUCUAACUCACAAACUCUGAAGAAGAGCAGAAUCACUGCAGCUCACCCUAAGGAAUUGAUUCUGGGCAACAAAGAUGAACCAGUCAGAACCAGAUCUGCCUUCAGACCCUCUGAAGAGACCUUGCUGAGUCUGAAAGGAUUGGUGUCCUUAAUUGAACCCAAGUCCAUAGAUGAAGCUCUUCAGGACAAGGAUUGGAUUCUGGCCAUGGAAGAAGAACUGAAUCAAUUCUCCAAGAACGAUGUUUGGAGCUUAGUGAAGAAGCCUGAGAGUGUCCAUGUUAUUGGAACGAAAUGGGUAUUCAGAAACAAGCUAAAUGAGAAAGGAGAAGUAGUCAGAAACAAGGCAAGGCUAGUUGCUCAAGGCUACAGCCAGCAGGAAGGAAUAGACUACACUGAAACAUUUGCUCCGGUAGCAAGACUGGAGGCAAUUAGACUGUUGAUCUCCUUCUCAGUAAAUCACAACAUAGUUCUACAUCAGAUGGACGUAAAGAGUGCCUUCCUAAAUGGUUAUAUCUCAGAGGAAGUCUAUGUUCAUCAACCCCCAGGUUUUGAAGAUGAAAAGAAACCAGACCAUGUGUUCAAAUUGAAGAAAUCACUCUACGGUCUGAAGCAAGCUCCUAGAGCAUGGUAUGAGAGACUUAGCUCAUUCCUUCUGGAGAAUGAGUUUGUAAGGGGUAAAGUAGAUACAACUCUUUUUUGCAAGACUUAUAAAGAUGAUAUCUUAAUUGUGCAAAUUUAUGUUGAUGAUAUUAUAUUUGGUUCUGCUAAUCAAUCUCUAUGCAAAGAAUUUUCUGAGAUGAUGCAGGCUGAAUUUGAGAUGAGUAUGAUGGGAGAAUUAAAGUACUUUCUGGGAAUACAAGUUGAUCAAACACCAGAAGGAACAUAUAUCCAUCAGAGCAAGUACACUAAAGAACUUCUGAAGAAGUUCAAUAUGCUGGAAUCUACAGUGGCCAAGACUCCAAUGCAUCCUACAUGCAUUUUGGAGAAAGAAGAUAAAAGUGGUAAAGUAUGUCAGAAGCUCUAUCGUGGAAUGAUAGGUUCACUUCUAUACUUAACUGCAUCUAGGCCAGACAUAUUAUUUAGUGUUCACUUAUGUGCUCGUUUCCAAUCAGAUCCAAGGGAAACCCACUUAACUGCUGUUAAGAGGAUCCUAAGGUAUCUGAAAGGCACCACUAACCUUGGCUUGAUGUAUAAGAAAACAUCAGAGUAUAAGCUUUCAGGUUAUUGUGAUGCUGAUUAUGCUGGAGAUAGAACAGAGAGAAAAAGUACUUCUGGAAAUUGUCAAUUUCUGGGAAGCAAUCUAGUCUCAUGGGCAAGCAAGAGGCAAUCAACCAUUGCACUAUCAACUGCAGAGGCAGAAUAUAUCUCAGCAGCAAUAUGCAGCACUCAGAUGCUCUGGAUGAAACAUCAGCUGGAGGAUUAUCAGAUCCUUGAGAGCAAUAUCCCAAUUUAUUGUGAUAACACUGCUGCAAUCUCGUUGAGCAAGAAUCCUAUCUUGCAUUCAAGGGCAAAGCACAUUGAGGUAAAGUAUCACUUCAUUAGAGAUUAUGUGCAGAAGGGCGUACUUCUUCUGAAGUUUGUUGAUACUGACCAUCAAUGGGCAGAUAUCUUUACAAAGCCCUUAGCAGAGGAUAGAUUUAAUUUUAUUCUGAAAAAUCUAAACAUGGACUUUUGUCCAGAGUGAAGAUGGAUCAGAACCUCUGACUAUGAUACUUCUUGAUCAGAAGAUGUCUAGUCCAGAAGGUAACUCAAUCAGAGUGUGUGUGCCCACUGGUACUGACUCUGAAGCUGAGACAACAACACGUGUGUCAGAAUUUCUGAUGCAUAAUUCCUUGUGCCCGUGUGACAGUCUGUUAUGAUUGCGUGUAGAUAUGCUUAUCUCCUGUGUGUGAUUGUGUAUUUUACUGUUACUAUCUAUCUUUAAUUUUCAACCGUUGAUCUUACAGUGCUUUUUGAAUCAACAACGGUUAUUUGAUAAAACCCACUAUACACACACGUUCUCGUUCACUUCCGGUUUUCACUCUCGCACUCUCUGCUUUUCAAAACCGCCUCUUUCUUGAUUUCUCUCUCGAUCUCUCUUCAUCCUUCAAACUUCAUCUUCUACCUCAAACCUUCAACCUCUUCAAAAUGGUGAGACAAACCAGAAGAUCUACUGCAGAUACACCUCAGUUCCCUCACAUGGAAGUUGGUUUGGCAACGGGUCAAAGGGGCUCUGAGAACCCGGCACAAGAACAAGUUCAAGCUCAAGAGCAGAUUGUUCCUAUUGCAGAACGGGGCUGUGCCGUUCACUGCGUAUUUGCUCCUGAGGAACUCCAAGUCCUGGCAGAAUGGAGAUUCAACCUCGACAACCUGGCUGCAAAUGGGUUUGAUCUUCGUCCUGAAGUCCAAGCUCAAGGUUGGGGAAACUAUUUCAAUCGACUUCGAGGACCGGUGUAUGAGAAAUUGGUAAAGGAAUUCUGGAAGCACGCAGACUGCGAUGACACUCAGGUGGUCUCUCACAUUCUUGGCAGGAAGAUCAUUAUCACUGAGAAGUCAUUCGUGAAUCUGCUAGGAGCAGAAACUGCUUAUGGGUAUCGGUUCCAACUGACGGAAUCCAAGCUGAAAUCCAUCACCAAAGACAAAGUCAACAAGGCCCUGUACACCACCUUCAAACCGGGCAAGACGAGUUACAAGGUGAUGGAUCUUCACCCCAAACUCAGAAUCUGGCACAAGAUCCUGCUCAACUGCAUCAAUCAGAGACCGAAGGGCAGUUCCCCAGAUUACAUCAACUUCAACCAGAAGGCGAUGCUGCUCUUCAUUCAAGACAAGGAGAAGAUCUGCAUUCCCUACUUCCUGUUCUCCUACUUAAAGGAAUGCAUCCGGAAGUCUCGCACCACCGCCUCCAUCAAGUCUGCAAUCAAAUACAUCCCUUUUGGGAGGCUGCUCUCAGACUUUCUCAUUGAAAGCCACUUGGUGCAAGAUUUGAUCGAUGCUGGUUGCACAGAGGAUUUGAGCACAAUUGUCAAUGAUGUCUUCACUGCAAACUCCUUGAAGAAGAUGGGCUUAAUCCAGAAGAAGAUUGCUCCUGCUCAUGAAGACACAUCGUCUGAGAUCAGAGGAAGAAGAAUGCCUCUGAAUGACUACCCUCUGUGGACUCAAGCGGACAAUCCUGACGCCAUCAGAUGCUAUGUUGAAGAUCUAAGGGCUCAAGGAUUCGAAAUUGACCUUGAUGAUUUCGUCAGCAGACUACCACCAGCUCCAGAGUUUCCUUCUCCUCCCAAGAGGAAAGCUCAGAGGAAGAUGGUUCUGGACGAAUCUUCUGAGGAAUCUGAUGUCCCUCUGGUCAAGAAGACGAAGAGAAAGCCUGAUGAUGGUGAUGAUGAUGAUAGUGAGGAUGGUCCUCCAAAGAAGAAGCAGAAGAAGGUCCGAAUCGUGGUGAAGCCUACUCGGGUGGAACCAGCUGCUGCAGUGGUCAGAAGGACUGAACCUCCUGCCAGAGUGACUCGAUCAUCAGCACAUUCAAGUAAGCCUGCACUUGCUUCUGAUGAUGAUUUGAAUUUAUUUGAUGCACUCCCUAUUUCUGCCUUGCUUCAACACUCCUCAAAUCCCCUCACUCCUAUUCCUGAAUCCCAGCCAGCCGAACAAACCACCUCUCCACCACAUUCCCCAAGAUCUUCCUUCUUUCAACCUUCUCCUACUGAAGCACCUCUCUGGAAUUUGCUUCAGAACCCAACCUCUAGGUCAGAAGAACCAACAUCUCUCCUUACCAUUCCGUACGACCCAUUAUCUUCUGAACCAAUCGUCCAAGACCAACCCGAGCCCAACCAAACAGAACCACAACCCAGAACGUCUGAUCACUCUGCUCUCAGAGCAUCAGCACGUCCUGCUGCCAGAACCACGGAUACAGACUCUUCAACAGCCUUCACACCUGUAUCCUUCCCAACCAAUGUUAUUGACUCUCCUCCCUCCAAUACCUCUGAAUCAAUUAGAAAAUUCAUGGAGGUUAGAAAAGAAAAGGUAUCUGCCUUGGAAGAGUAUUACCUUACCUGUCCAAGCCCUAGGAGAUAUCCUGGCCCUAGACCUGAACGUCUAGUUGACCCAGAUGAACCUAUCUUGGCCAAUCCUAUCCAAGAGGCAGACCCCUUAGUUCAACAAGCUCACCCUGUCCCUGACCAACAAGAGCCCAUUCAACCAGACCCUGAACCUGAACAACCAGUGUCUAACCAAUCCUCGGUUAGAUCACCUCACCCUCUGGUUGAAACUUCAGACCCUCACCUUGGAACCUCUGAACCCAAUGCUCCCAUGAUUAACAUUGGUUCUCCACAAGGUGCCUCUGAAGCCCAUAGCAGCAAUCACCCAGCCUCUCCUGAACCCAACCUCUCCAUAAUUCCCUAUACUCACCUUCAACCCACAUCUCUCUCUGAGUGCAUCAAUAUCUUCUAUCAUGAAGCCUCUUUGAGGCUCCGCAAUGUGCACGGUCAGACUGAUCUCAGUGAGAAUGCUGAAAAUGUGGCUGAUGAGUGGAACAAUCUGAGCACUUGGCUAGUGGCUCAAGUUCCAAUUAUGAUGCAGCUCCUGCAUGCAGAGGGCAGUCAGAGCAUUGAGGCUGCAAAGCAAAGGCUUGCUAGGAGGGUGGCUCUUCACGAACUAGAACAGAGAAAUAAGCUUCUUGAAGCUAUUGAAGAAGCCAAGAGAAAGAAAGAACAAGCAGACGAAGCUGCACGUGAAGCAGCAGCUCAGGCUGAACAAGCCAGACUUGAGGCAGAGCGUCUUGAAGCUGAGGCUGAGGCAGAGCGACUUGCACCAGUUGUGUUUACUCCUGCUGCUUCUGCUUCCAUUCCAGAACCUCAAGCUGCUCAGAAUGUUCCUUCCAGCUCUACUCAGACAAGCUCAUCCAGACUCGACAUCAUGGAACAACGUCUUGACACUCAUGAAUCCAUGCUGAUUGAGAUGAAGCAAAUGAUGAUGGAACUUCUGAGACGCACUGACAAACCUUAGUUUUUAGGAUCUCUUCUUUUUCUUCUUUUUCGUUAACUUUGUUUUCCUUUUGUUAAACUCUGUUUCUUUUUAUUUAUUUAUUCUCUUUUGUUCGUUUGUGAUUAUAUAUGCAUAUAUAUCUAUAUACUUAUGUCACAUAUGUUUGCAAAAGUCUUUUUUAUUCAUUGUUCUAUGUUUACAUCAUAUUUCUUUACAUCAUAUAAUCUAGAAUGGAGGAUCCCUCCUCAUUCUUCUGCACUCCUGGCGCUGCUCUGACCUAUCCUUCUCCAGACGCUCCAGUACAUGCUGGAUGUUGUUGAGUCUGACCUUUAGCUCAUCUUUCUCCAGAAUCUCUUCUGAAGUCCUGAGCUUCUUUUCCAAGAUUUCUUUUUCUUCCAGCAGCUUGAGUUCAAGCCGGCUGAGUUCUUGCACCUCCUCCACGAAGGCAAGAAAUUCCUUCAGGUCUCUCUCCAACUCUGGACGCAGGUCCUCUUCCAGCAGUGUCCGUGUCAGCUCCGCGAUGGUAGUUGCACCCUCUGGAUGCCUGAUGUUCAGGAACAAGUCCUCUUCAAAGGCCUUCUUCCUCAGCUCUUCUAGUGCUACGUUGUAUGAUGCCAUUUUUUUCUUACUGAAAAUUAUUCGAGAUGUGAAGCUUACCUUUCUCUCCAACGCUUUUUAUAGGCUUCACUUUCUCUCUGAAAGUUAAUGCUAUUACAGUUUCUCGAGGUUAAGUUCUUGGUAACUGACCCUUCUAUUUACUCACUUGACCGGUGGUAAACGUUCAUCCCUUGCAUUAACUCUUCUAUUUAUUUUCGCCUAACUCUGAUUCUUACAUCGUUUUCAUUUUCUUUAAACUUAGACCUUCUCUAAGGGGGAGUACCUUGUACUUCAAGCUAAGUUUUUCACACCCCAAGCUUUUUGCUUAUGACAAAAAGGGGGAGUAAACCCAGUUUUUGAUGUGUAAGAUGUGUUAGUGUGAUUUAUUUUUCUUUUGGAGAAUUUAAGAGUUCCACCUUCAUGACCAUAGAUGUGUCACUGGGCAAAUACAAGGAAUACAUUUCACUUCUUCUGAAGUGAAUCUAAGUUGACUCUGAUACCCAAGACUCUGAUACCUUGUCCAUGACUCUGAUCACUUAUGCGCUCUGAUUAUUCGUUUUUCAUCUAUGUCAUAAGCUUCUCACUCUGAACUCUUAUAUUUUUUAGCUCAGAAUCUAGACUUUACUAACGUUUUCAUCAAGUAUUAGAUUCAGGGGGAGCUAAGCUCAGAAUCAAGCAGUGACUUGAAUUCAGAAUGAGCAAGAUAAACUAUUCACAUCAGGAUAAGUAUUAUUCUAUAUCUCUAAACUCUGAGUGAAUUCAGUUUAAUGUUUAAGAAUUGUUCAUCAAAAAUCUUAGUUUUGUCAUCAUCAAAAAGGGGGAGAUUGUAAGAUCAAGUUUUGAUCUAGUAGUACAACUCUAUGUUUUGAUGAUUACAAGUUAACCUUUUGAUAUGAACAAUUGUGGUACUCUAACGUGUUUUUCUGAGUGUGCUAUUUACAGGCUCUGACCUCAACUCAAUCUCACACAAAUCAGAAGCACUGUGUAUAAAGAGUGACCCAAGCAACGCUUUCGCAUUCACCAUGUUCAGUAUGAACAGUGGAAAAGCUUCAGAAGUUCUGAAGCUAUACAAACUCUGAUGUGGACUCAGUCGCUAGAAGCUCUGAAGAUCCAGAAGUUCUGAUAACCAAGAAACACUGAAGGUUCAGAUGUUCUGAUGGUGUAGAAGACUCUGAAGAUCCAGAAGCUGAAUAGUGGAAACUCUGAAGUCCAGAAGCAAGAAACUCUGAAGGCCAUGUUCUUCCCUCUGAGUUCAGAAUCAGAAGAUACAAUGGUCAGAGGAUCUGUGCUUUCCCUCUGACUCUGAUCAACCGGCUUCACAAGUUCCAAUAUGAAGUAUUCCCCUGAUCNNNNNNNNNNNNNNNNNNNNNNNNNNNNNNNNNNNNNNNNNNNNNNNNNNNNNNNNNNNNNNNNNNNNNNNNNNNNNNNNNNNNNNNNNNNNNNNNNNNNNNNNNNNNNNNNNNNNNNNNNNNNNNNNNNNNNNNNNNNNNNNNNNNNNNNNNNNNNNNNNNNNNNNNNNNNNNNNNNNNNNNNNNNNNNNNNNNNNNNNNNNNNNNNNNNNNNNNNNNNNNNNNNNNNNNNNNNNNNNNNNNNNNNNNNNNNNNNNNNNNNNNNNNNNNNNNNNNNNNNNNNNNNNNNNNNNNNNNNNNNNNNNNNNNNNNNNNNNNNNNNNNNNNNNNNNNNNNNNNNNNNNNNNNNNNNNNNNNNNNNNNNNNNNNNNNNNNNNNNNNNNNNNNNNNNNNNNNNNNNNNNNNNNNNNNNNNNNNNNNNNNNNNNNNNNNNNNNNNNNNNNNNNNNNNNNNNNNNNNNNNNNNNNNNNNNNNNNNNNNNNNNNNNNNNNNNNNNNNNNNNNNNNNNNNNNNNNNNNNNNNNNNNNNNNNNNNNNNNNNNNNNNNNNNNNNNNNNNNNNNNNNNNNNNNNNNNNNNNNNNNNNNNNNNNNNNNNNNNNNNNNNNNNNNNNNNNNNNNNNNNNNNNNNNNNNNNNNNNNNNNNNNNNNNNNNNNNNNNNNNNNNNNNNNNNNNNNNNNNNNNNNNNNNNNNNNNNNNNNNNNNNNNNNNNNNNNNNNNNNNNNNNNNNNNNNNNNNNNNNNNNNNNNNNNNNNNNNNNNNNNNNNNNNNNNNNNNNNNNNNNNNNNNNNNNNNNNNNNNNNNNNNNNNNNNNNNNNNNNNNNNNNNNNNNNNNNNNNNNNNNNNNNNNNNNNNNNNNNNNNNNNNNNNNNNNNNNNNNNNNNNNNNNNNNNNNNNNNNNNNNNNNNNNNNNNNNNNNNNNNNNNNNNNNNNNNNNNNNNNNNNNNNNNNNNNNNNNNNNNNNNNNNNNNNNNNNNNNNNNNNNNNNNNNNNNNNNNNNNNCCUAGUUACCAACUAGUAUUUAUAGAGCUUAAAAUGGAACUACCAUUUUAAUCCUACGGUUACAAAUGAACUAGAAAAUAACUGCAUAAUCUACAACCAUUUAUUUGGCAUGAUUACAAAAUGAUAUAUAACUCCCAGCAGCUUCCAUUCUUCCAACUCAAAGUAGUGCCACGCCCCAUUACUUGAUAACCGCCAACUUGCUUGAAAUGGUGAAGUUCCCAUCUAACUUCCCUGUACGUGGCACAUGUCUUUGGAUAUGGUAAUUGCCUUGAAACAUUGAUGUUUCUGGUUGCCAUUUGGAUCAUAUAAAAGUAAGGUAAAGUUCUUGGCCAUUUAACACAAUAUUUAACAGAAAUAUAAGUCAUUUGAACUCUUAACAUAUAAUCUCGACAACAUGACCAGUACCAUAUUUCGACAUGGCCAGUACCAUAUUUCGACUAGGUGGCACAUGAUAUAUAUAAAUAUAAAUUUUGGUAUUAACAGAGGCCCCCCAAAAUGUUGUUUCUCGAAGGAAGUGAGAGGAAUAACAUUUUGAGUAAUAACACCAAAAUUUACUAACACUGGAUGGCUUACUUUGAUAGUUUAACCGUUUUAUUUAAAAACCAAAUUCAAUCCAUGCUGAGGCCUUUGAAUGGAUUCAACAUGACCACGUGAAUGAUCUAUUGCCAAAAAUAAACAGUAACGUAUCCAAACCUCUCAAAGAUCAAUUGGCAAUAUAUAUCAUUCAUGUACUCAUCCAAAUUAUGAGACCAAACUCACAAAACCUUGGUCGAAUAGAAAUUAGACAACCAUGUAGAAAUUGAAUAGAAUGAUACCACACAUCCACAUAUGCCAAAUCUGGUUAAUUGACAUUUUUUGUGGUUUCAAAAACCAAAUCUUUUUUGGUCUCAGAAACCAUUAAUUUGGUGAUCAAAAUUGCUUCACCCAAUUCCUUUCCGUUGAAGGGGUACUAGGAGCAUUACGUAUGGCAUUCUCAAACUUGAGAUGCCAAAAUUUGAAGCAUGAAUCACGUAUGACAUUUUCAAAUUUGAGAUGCCAAAAAUUGAAGCAUUAACAUCCAUAAAAACCAACUUUUUCAAACACACAACCCUGCUUCAAACUUGAAAUGACCCUCCUUCUAGCGCCAAUUUGUUUACACUGAUUUUUUGCAAAAUCACAUGUAAAUUAAUUAUUUCAAGGAUCAGAUCCUAUUUCAUGGGCUCUCCAAGUCCGACGGCUUACAGGCAAUUUAUGUGUGUUUUCAAGAGUGAAAAAAGUGAAGAAGUUGUCCGGUGACAACUUGAAAGAAACAACACUCCGGUGAGUAUUGCAAUAGAUGUAGAAACAAGUAGAAAUUUAAAAGAAGAUAAAAAAGAUUGCAAGGAAUCAAAAGGUAAUCAAAGAGAAAACAAAUAAGAACAAAACAAAUUCAUUACUGGAAUGGUAAAUGGUGGAAGGAAUUCGUCUACUGCACACUCGUUGAAGCCGUUUGCCAUAACCGUGGGCUUGAAGGCUUUUUUAGAGCUUUACAGUCAUUUAGGAAUCCAACCCUUUGUCCUAGUUACAAACUAGUAUUUAUAGAGCUUAAAAUGGAACUACCAUUUUAAUCCUACGGUUACAAAUGAACUAGAAAAUAACUGCAUAAUCUACAACCAUUUAUUUGGCAUGAUUACAAAAUGAUAUAUAACUCCCAGCAGCUUUCAUUCUUCCAACUCAAAGUAGUGCCACGCCCCAUUACUUGAUAACCGCCAACUUGCUUGAAAUGGUGAAGUUCCCAUCUAACUUCCCUGUACGUGGCACAUGUCUUUGGAUAUGGUAAUUGCCUUAAAACAUUGAUGUUUCUGGUUGCCAUUUGGAUCAUAUAAAAGUAAGGUAAAGUUCUUGGCCAUUUAACACAAUAUUUAACAGAAAUAUAAGCCAUUUGAACUCUUAACAUAUAAUCUCGACAACAUGACCAGUACCAUAUUUUGACAUGGCCAGUACCAUAUUUCGACUAGGUGGCACAUGAUAUAUAUAAAUAUAAAUUUUGGUAUUAACAAGUUGAUAUCUGAUCAGCAGUCUAAUUACUAGUCAUUGUUCGAUAAAAACCUAAAUCAAUGAUUAUUUUGGAUCUUUACACGUAAUGGAUAAUUCAAGUAAUGAAUUUAAAUUUUAGAGUCACAAUGAAAAGAACUUGUAAACAAAGGUAGCCUAAAUAUUUCCAUUUCGUGAGUGCCUUCGCAAUCACACCUUUUUUUUUUUCAUCAUUAACAUCGUUGGUAAAGUUUUUUUAUAAAGACGUCUAAGUCGACCAAUACAAAAAAUCAAUUAAAAUUCAACUAUAUAUCGAAAUAGAAAACUCCAAGCAUCUUCUAGAGUACCAAGUUAGAACAUUUCCAAAUGCUCGAAAGUUGAAAUUUAUCAAUCAUUCGCUUAUAAGAAUUAAAGUCCAAGAAUUCAAUUUGUUGUUGUUAAAAAUAAAAUAUAUAAAACAAGUUAUAUUUGCAUUGAAAAUAUACUUAUUUAAAAAAAAAAACUUAAAUUAUUCAAACUCUAUUUCAAGCAAGCUACCAAUAAAAUGAAUAUGUACAUAUUUAUUUUUGAAAAUGGUGAUUCACGUAACCUUUAAUUUUAAUAUUUCAAAAGUGAAAUUAGCAUUUCCAUUUUUUUCCACAAAAAUAAAUUUGAUAUCAAUUCAUUUAUUAUUUCCCAAUUAAUAACAACAUAUACAGAUGAAAAUUUGCCCAUAAAAAAGAAAAUGCACAAGAAAAAUGAAAAAUACACCCCUGUCUACUAAAUUAUAAUAUUAAUUAAUUUAUUUAAUAUGAAAUAAAUUGUUAUGCAUGUUUCUUUAUGAAACACAUAUAUAACGGUACAUGUUUGAUUCCCUUUAAAUUUUUUUUUUUUGAGUUCUAGUGUGAAUGACUCGUCAUUUUUAAGCGUGUAUCUUUCUUUAACACUUGAUUUGUUCAAAUGAUAAAUAUUUAUUUUUUCUCUGAUUCGAGUUUAAUAGAUAAAAAGCUCUUAUUAAAAAAGUUAACUAUAGUGCGAUAUGGAUGUUCUGAGUUAAACAAGAUAGAUUCAAAUAAGAUUAUCUCUUAUAAAGCAUACAUUAAAACUAUCUUAGUAAAAGGGUUUUGUACAAAAGCAUGGAAUAUAGACAAACCCUGAAUUUCUUAAUUCUUAUCCUUUGCUUUACACAAUAACUCAUUCCAUGAAAUAAUUCAAAUGCACUCAAUCUCUUCUAACUUCUCCUAUAUAUUUUCUCACCAUUCCAUUUCUCUCAGUUACUUUCUUCACCUAACCCUGCCACUCCCCUUUUUCACAUAUAAAUACACAAAAAUAUCAUCCGACAACACCCACAACAAGAGCCAAACCACAGUGCUUUAACGCCUUCUGGUUGGAAUCAAUUCAAUCAUGCCCAGAUUGAUUUUUCUCUCUACAAUUUAAUAUUCCAGGUAAACACUUCUCUUUGUGUCGAUGCAUCCAAUUGGUGAUGAUAACCCAUGUUUGUUUUUUUAAUGAUUUAGUUACAUUGUCUGAAUGUUUUGUCUCAAACCAUGAAAUGGGUCAUUGAGAGAUUUGGAUUUUGUACCUUUCAUUUGAUCACAUUGUUUGUUCAUCCACUGUAAAUAUAGUUAAUUUUUUUUGUUCUGUUUGCUGGGUUUGUCACAGUGGAAUGCGUGUAUGUUUGGAAUUUUUUCAGGUUUGGGAAGUAUUGAGUGGUAGGAAUUGUUAUUGGUGUGAUGGAUCAGGCAAGAAGUGGAGGAAGUGGUGAGAUGUUGGACCAUGUUGAUGAAGGGGUGGGUGAGAAUUUGAGCCAUUUGGGUGAAGGAGUUGCAAUUGAUGUAGGAGCUGGUGGUAGCUUGGGUGACAGAGCUAGUGUAAGCGGCGAAGAUGGGAUUUCAGAAGAGAUGUGCAGUGAUGAUCUCGGGUUGAAUAACAAGGAGGUAGAGGAAGGGCCUCAAGAAGUUAAGGGUCAGGACAUCGGGGAACCGCAGAAGAUCGGUGAUGAAUUGCGCGAGGUUGAUCAAGGAACUAGCUAUAAUUCGAGUGGUUUGGUUAAUCCGGAAGUACCUGAGACUGAGACCUUUGUUGUAUUAGAUCUUUCUGCUCAGAGUGAGGGUGUAAAUGGUGGUAAUAGGAAAUUGGAAGAAAAAGCGAAUGAAUCAGGGUUGCGUAAGUUAUCCGUUAAGGCGCCAAAAGGGGUGUCUGUGGCAGAUAAAAAUUCAUGUGUGAUUGAUAUAAACUGUGGCAGCUGCAAAGAGUUUUGUGGGAAUAAGGAAGGUGAAAUGAUUUGUAGGAUUUGCCAUUUGGCCUCUGAGCAACCAUUAGAAGCAACAGCUGCUGGCGGCGCUCCGAAUAGUGUUGGGAAUGGUACUGGUUUGAUUGUGCUUGGUUGUGCUUGUAAAGAUGAGCUAGGCAUUGCACACAGUCAUUGCGCUGAGGCAUGGUUCAAGAUUAAAGGAAACAGGUAAUUGUUUCUCUUGUUAUUAUAUUUUAUUCUAACUUUUGCGUUUAUGUUUGCAAUGUUGAUUAUUUCAUAAUGUUCUGUACUGACAUUUUGAAUUCACAUUGCCGUAUAAGGAAUCGUGUAGCCUACUUGGUUAGAGAAAACAUUUUCUGUUCUCAUUAAUUAUUCCAGAUGAUGGAUCAAGUCUUUGUUUGGUAUCUAACAUAUGAUUGCAUAUAUUUUUCAUGUCCAUGUUUAAUAAAAAAUGCACUUGGCCCUUUGAUUCUUUGAAUCUUCUGUUUCUCUGUUCAGCUGAAUGUAUGGGGUAUGAAUUAGGAAAAGCAAGUUUAUACUUUCAACUCCCCAGAAAGAUUUUUAUAUAACACUAUAUUUCCUACUCUUGUCCAUUUUCCUCCACCCCUUCCAAAGAAUGCUUGCCAUUGCCAACAAGAUUGUCCUUUCAACUGUUAUAAUUUCCUAGAUAAUUCUGAUUUCUGAAUAAAUAUUCCACUUAAUUUUGCUUGUAGAGAAGUAACUCUGAUUAUGGUACUAAUGCGACUACCGCUUGUGUGAACUGUCAAAUGUCAUGUAGACUUAUCUAAUUAGCAUUCCCUUAUAAUCUCUUUUGCCUGUCAUCUUCCGUUUGUUCAUGAACUAAUCCAUACAACUACAAGGGAAGCCAUACAAGGAUACCUAAUUAGUGGUGGAAUAUGGGAAAAUUCCUUUGGGGCAGUCGUAACUUGCAGGUGUAACAGAUAACACAAUGGACCAUUAUGCAUGAACUAAAUGGUGGAACACAGAAUAUUUUCUGUUUUUCAGUGGGGAGAUUGGGCCAUUGCUAAUUAAUGAAUACUAUGAGAACUGAGAAGCCCUCUCCUCUUGUCUUCAAUCUAGAGCUUUGGCAGGGUGUCAGCCACAGUUUUAAAUUUUGUUUUUAUUUUUCGUAAGAUUUAAAUUUUGAUGUGUGCCUAUUCUAAAUUUUAUUGUGCCUGGUGAAGGAUGAUCUGAAAUUACAUUCUUUUUUGAAACUUGUGUAUGUACAUGGCCCCUCUUAAUUUUUGUUUCAUACGUAAACUAGAUUUUUGCUUGAGUAAUCCUUUAGUUCCUUUUCUAUGUUAUUUGUCAACAUUUUAUUUACCUUUCUUGAUCACAGGGUAUGUGAAAUAUGUGGUCAGACUGCAAAAAAUGUUUCGGAUAUUACUGAUAAUAGAUUUAUGGAAGAGUGGAAUGCAAGUAGAUUCAUCGACGGCGAUGAUACCUCGUCCCGCAGGUGCGGUGGGUGCUGGCGCGGACAGCCCUUCUGUAACUUCUUGAUGGCGUGCCUGGUGAUCGCCUUUGUUCUGCCAUGGUUCUUUCGUGUAAAUAUGUUCUAGUGGAGGAGUCACAACCCUAUUCUUCCCUUCAAUCCUUUGUCUCUGCUUCUAUGAUGAGUGCAUCAUUGGUUCCUGAUUCAUAUUUUAUCUGAAGGAGUGGUAAUGCUUAACCAUGUCCAAGUUCAUAUUUCUCAGUGUAUGUAUCACCAAAAUGGCAAAGUAUUUUCUUAUUGCAUUCUUUGGAUUGGAAAGUGUGGAGUUCUGAUAUAUAUACUCAAACAGUACAUAAUUCACAUAAAACAAGCAAACAGAAAGAGAGCAUCUCCUAGCUGAUGAUUCUUUUAUCUUUUUCACAUUUUUUCUCUUUUUUAUUUUAUUUUGUUGACUUGUCUGCUAAAGUUCAAAGAGAAUCCAAUGUCAUGUGAUUGCCAUCAAUGUGGUUUAUAUUUCCUUCACUUUAUAACUUUGUUGUCAGAAAUAGCAAAUGUUCUAACCUACUCUAGCGAUAGUGAGGUUGGUUUUGUCCGCAUCUGAUUGUGGGUUAAAGUUGUUCAAUGUUGUUGCAAUGGUUCUAAAGAGAAAUUGAAAUGUGAAUACUUUAAUGUGAAUGUACUAUGUAGUGCGUGUAUAACUAGAGAAAUACUAGGUUACAGAGAGUUAUCUGUGAUUGCAACUUGAAUCACGUGCUGAUGGAGCUAAUAAGGGGGAAAAGCAAACUGUAAUUGCAUAAAAAUAAAAUAACAAGAAAAUGUAAAGUAAAAAGAUAUAUCAGUUGGUAGAAGCCUCUAACACUUCUGGUAAAAUGAUUUGUGGCCAACCCUCACUAGGAAAAAACUGCCGUAAUUGGCUAACUGGUAUUUUUAUUUAGUGUGAGUUUAGGUACCACUUGAGUUAAUGUGAAAUCAUUCGUCUCAAUUCAUAUGAAGAGUUCUAUUUACUUUUUGCAGUGAAUGUUAACAUCCCUUUACACUAACGCGGUCCGAAAUCCAAAUAUACUCUUAAUCAACAUGUCUAUAUUUGUUUUUUGUAAGAGACGAUUAUUUCUAGUGCAAAUUUUUUUAAUUUUUAUCACAAAUGGUCCACAAUGGUGUUGUUCCCCUUGCCAAGUGAGAAGAAUAAGUUAAUGAGCUGCGAGCCCAAUCACAAAAUUGGCCCAACUCAGCUAAACCUAAAUCUCCACAUUACUUAGUUUAUUAGUAUUAACUUGAUUUUAUUAGGCGUUAUAUAAUAUUAUUUUGACCAACUCAUCAACUUCCGUUGUAGUCUAGUUGGUUAGGAUACUCGGCUCUCACCCGAGAGACCCGGGUUCAAGUCCCGGCAACGGAACUUUUUUUAUCGAAUUUAUAAUAUAUUACAUAAAAUAUAGUCCAGGUUAUGUGAUGAUUAUGAAACUGGUUGCAUAUAUACUUUAAGCUGGGUUUUUAUUAUAUUUCCAUGUGGCAAUAUGCCUAAGGAAAAAUCUUUAAGUGGUGGAUAUCAUGAUGUUAAAAUAGGGCAUCAUUGAGCUUUUGCUUUGCAUUGGAUCCUUGUGUCAAGGUAAAGGAAGACAGACUAAUCAAACCAGUGUUUUGGUUUAAAUAUAUGUCUCAUGUCUGAACAUUCCCAUCUAAUUUGGAAACUUAAUCCUAGUAUAAGUUAUAUAUUUAAUUACAAGUUCAGACACACAGAUCAUAUCCAAGCAUCUGCAAUAUAAUAAGCAUGUGCAUUAUACUUGAUGAGUACUACAAUACAAUCAUAAAUUAUUAUUCUCUACUCAACAAAUCAUAUCAACCACAUCACAGCUUGGCUUUUGGCCUCUCCUAGCCAAGUCAAACCAAAACUUGGUGCUCAAGCUGUGUCAACAAAUGAUGGCAUCACUAUAUGUGUUAUUCAUAUAUGCAGUGAAACCAGAAAUAAUUAUACCAUAUAAUAUAUAGCUGCUUAGCUUCACAAUGAAACAAGGGUCAAACAUUGAAGAGAUACAAGGUAACUUAUAGUUCAAAAAAUAAAAUUGGAUUCAACCGAGUCAAUUAUAAGGCAUACUCAUAAAGAAAAUGUUACUUUUACGCACACUUUUUUAGGACAUACACAUUAGUGACGGUUUUUAACCUCCGUUAAAUAUUGUUACAGAGGUUAAAAACUUUCACUAAUAUGUAUGUUUCUUAUAUAUCCACCGUAAAAUAUAUUUACACAUAUAACUAUAUACAAGUCAUAACUCAUACGUUGUUAAGAGAUUAGAUCGAUGUUCAACUAACCAAAUUUGGAAUAAUUUGAUAUAUAAAUUAACAAUUUGGCUUGGGCCAAGCUUAGGUUUAGCUAGUGCAUAACAAAAAAAAACCAGGAGAAUUGGGUUGGAUUUUUUUUAAAAAAAAUUAGAGCGAUUUUUAAUGGCCACAUUUUACAUUAGUGGCAGUUUUGCCAAAUUGCUGUAAUUACCUAUGCCAUUAGUAUAAAAUUAUCACAUUCUGCGCUCACCAUUGCGCCACCUUAGAAAAUCGCACUAAUCAAUUUUCAUCAAUUCAAAAGACGCACGUCGUGUUCACCUGCUAUAGCAACAAUCAAACUGUGGUGAGACAUAUCUCUUCUCAUUCCAGGACCUCGGACAAUACAUUAAUACAAAAGGCAAUACCUUAUGAUUAUAUGAACUCGGCUCACAUCAUCUCGGUUGCAUCUCGAAGCUUUCAAGCAUCUUAAUGCAUGCCUUAGAUACUCAGGGGAUCUAAUGUAUUUUGACUCAUUAUCACCAACAUCUCACACACAUGUGAAGAAAAAAUGUAAAUGAAUGCAAUAUCUUAUAAUUUCAUAUAAAAUCUUUUAUAUCUUUACGUAUGUCACUAAAAUUAAAUGUUGAAACUUGAAUGAGAAUCACUAGUAAAUUUCAUCUAUGGAAUCAUGGAGAUGCUCUAAUUCAUUGAGUCAAUAUAGCGGCGGAAUCAACGAAAAAGCAUGAGAAAUGAAUGCUUAAAGCACACGUUAAUUACAUCUUGCUGGAUACCACAUGAACUCCACCUUUCAUCUCCAUAUAUAGAAGCAAAAUCUAUAAAGUGCCAAAGCCAAUUACAACCCCAAGAAGUAAAAAUUGCUCAAGCCUAGCAUUCCAUAUAUAUAACUUGUUGUGUUACACAAACAAUCGAUUAAAAUAGUAAAAAUAAAUAUAAAAAGUAAAAAAUUGAACAGCUCAUUUAUCAACAUUGACUCAUAUUGUAAGUACAAUACACAUCUUCUCAGAAGAUUAUGUGUUUGAUUUUCGCUGCUGAUGUGAGAGCUCUAUUGAUAAAUGAUAUAUAAAUAUCUUUAUAAGCAACUUGUGAUCCUAAAAACAUGUUAUGUUCUACAGUGACCGGAGUCGAAACGCCUGAACUUUUCCCUCCUCAAUGCCAAAAAAAAAUUAUAUGCUGAUUUCCCCCCAUCACCUAUUUUUAUUACUUGCUUUUCAUAUUUCCCCCCAAAAGAAUAAACUUCUUCUUUUUUUGCAAUCACCUUCCUCUGUAACAAUUGUAUAGUAAAAAUGAAUCAAACAACCACCAACUCAAAAUCACCAAUCUGUCCUAAUCUAAAUUCUACUCUUCAGUGACAGCACUUGCAACACAAGAUCAUGAACACAAUCAGAAACACAAUGGAAGACAGAGUAAUCGCCACACCAAGAACGACCUUGUUCGGCCCAUGAUGUUUCUCUUUCUUGUGGCUGCUGCUGCCGCCAUCAUCGCCACCGUCACUGUAAUCCAAAUCACUGCUAUCAUCUUCAGAAUCCUUCGCCGGCGGAGGAGACACCGGCAUUCCGUACUUAUCACAAGGAGCAACAUCAAGCUUCAAUUUCGAAGACAGAACAGAGUGGUUAUAGCACAAGUUGCUGUUCCCACCCACCUUAAACGUUUCCAAUCCCUUGAUGAAAGUUGAAUUGAAUGGUACAACACCUCGAAGAUUGUUGUUAGCUAGAUUCAAGUGUUUCAGGUUCUUCAUUUCUGAAAUGAACUUCGGAACAGUUCCGUUGAGCUGGUUUGAGCUCAGAUCCAUGUGAACCAAAUCGGGCAUAGCAGAAAUUGAAUCAGGGAUCGGCCCAGAGAAUGAAUUUGAAGCCAGUGAGAGAGUUUUCAAUGAAAUCAAGUCUCCGAUUGAAGUGGGUAUCUCUCCUUUGAGGCCAUUGGAAGAGAGAUUCAAGCUUUCAAGGCUAUCGAGUAAUGUAAUGGAAGAGGGUAUGUUUCCUUGGAGCUUGUUACCGGAAAAAUCGAUCUGGGUAAGGCUGGAAUGGAUGAACUUUGGAAGAUUACCAGAGAGAUUGGCGUGGGAGAUUGUUAAGGUUUUGAGCUUAGUCAUGUGGCCAAGUAUAACGUAAGGACCAGAGGCUUUGAGGGGCACGUUUGAGACGGUGAGAUCAGUGAGAUUUUCAAGGCGAGAGAGCCAGAUUCCGGUGAGUUUGCGGAGGCUGCUAAUACAAGUGAAGGAUCGGAGGGAGGAGGUGAGUUCAGGAGGGAAGUGGAUUGGAGAAAUGGGGCAGUUGAGGAAUUGAAUGGAUUGGAGAGUGGAGAGGGAUUUGAGGGCGUUGUAGGAGAGAGAGGUGGAGGUUGAGCAGUUGGAGAGGCGGAGGGAGAUGAGGUGGCGGAAGGGUUUGGAGGAAUCGCAUAGUGUGGCGUUUUGGGAGCAGGGGUCCUUGGAAGUGGGGAUGUGGAGUGAUUUCAGAGCAUUGAGCUGAUCUGGGUCAAGAGUGGAAGGUGAAGAUAAAGGAGAUGAUGGUGAAGGUUUUGGUGAUGGUGAUAGUGAUGGUGCUGGUUUUGGUGAGGGUGAUGGUGGAAGAGGUGGAGAAGCUGAGAUGAUAAUGGAGGGGAAGAGAAAGAGGAGAAUGAGAAGGACUAAUGGUGGUGGUAGUUUCAUGGCUUGAAGGAAGAGUGAAUGGAAACAGAGAAAAGCAGAAAGGUUGGGAUCAGAAAAAGUGUUAGAGACAAGGAUGCAAGCAAAACAAGGGUUGGAAUUUGGAAGAGUAAUGUGAGAUGUUGAGUGAGCACAAAGAUUGGUGGGGAAAGUGUAAAGUAGAGGACAUGGAUUGGAGGGGAGACUUGAGAUCAGAGAGAGUGAGAGGAACCUAAACACAGUCUGUUGACAGUUGGAGACUACUUUGUUUAUUCCUUUUGAAUUGAUUUGGAGAUAAUGUUGGCAAUUUACUUGAUAGUGCCUGUUUGUCAUUUUGUUUCAAAUCAUGAUCCCUACCUAAUGGUCUUUCCCUUAUUCAUGUUGUUAGAAUGCUAAGUGGCUAACAAGUAACAGCAACAUUUAAAUUAUAAAUAGUAUUAUACGUAUACAACCAAAUAGUGCAUACAUUUUGAAUAAAUCAUUUUACUUUUUAUUCAUUUUUUCUAAUCGUAUCACAUUCAUUAUAUAUCAUAUUUAUUACUUAUAUGUGAAUUUGACUCUUCUAAAGUGAGCGGAGUCAAAUGAUCUACAAUUUUAUAUAUUAUCUCUUUCCAACGUUCUAAACUCAAAUGUACAAAAACAUUAUUGUUAAAUUGAAUGAAACCCAAUUAAAAAACCAUUAUUGUUAAAUUAUAGUAUCUGAGAUUUGAAAUAUCAUUUUGAAACUAACAUAGACUUUUUGAAAGCUAAGUUUUGGGAGCCAAGAACAUAAGUCAUAGAAUUAAAACACAUUAAUCUUAUAUUCACACCUAUUUCACCUACACACAUAGAAAAAAAAAAUAUGAUGUAUGAAAAUAGGAGAUGUGGAAAUGGAAUAAAAAUAAAUACGCGUGAAGUGAAUAUAUAAAAGUUGAAUAAAAUAUCUAUUUUUUACUUGAUAUAGAAUACAUGGAAGGAAAAUUUCACACGUUCAAAGGCCAAUGCUGUCAUGAUGAUCAAAAUAGCAACUAAAAAGAAUUAACAACCGCCUGCAUUCAUUUUCUGAAUGGACAGAAAAUCACUACUUUUCAAAUUGAUAUACUUAGGCCAAUGCUUUAUCCUAUAAUCAGAAAAUUUAUCCAAAUCUUGCAAAUAUUUCCAAUCUUAGUUCAAAAUGGCUUCACCUUCACAGCUCAGCAAAGGACUAAUCCUUAUGACUUGCACAAACUGAGGAUCAAAUCAUCACCCCAUGUAUCUUUUUACAUAUUUUCAGAAACUCUUUGGUAAAUAAUCUUUGUAGUGACUUAACAAUCUAUAGCAACACAUGCCUCAGCAAUGGUUUCACUGUCAACUUUGUUCACAAAUGGAUCUAUCUUGACCCAAAUCAUUGAGAAGACAGAGGCCAGCAACACUGACCAGAGAAUAACAAUGGUGGGAGUUCUGUUUUGGCGACCCAUGAGACCCUUGAGGAAUGGAUAGAGGUGAAAAAUCACCCAGAAGGCAAAGAACACCUUCCCAAAGAGUGGUCCCCAUGACUCAUAUCCUCCAUUCAGUGCAUCAGAGAAUCCAGCAACAACACCAACCAUGUUAACAACGAUGAGGGUUGUUGGAGGAAUCAAGAGAGUUGUCCACUUCACAAUGUAAAGAUCACCAAACUCGCCGUCCUCAGCGGCCUUGGCCGUGACGGUGAAGUUAGUAUCAACACCAGCCAACAUCUUGAGCAAUCCUUGGAAGACUGCAAACAAAUGUGCUGAGACACCUCCAAUCACCCAGAACUGCUCGUUACGCCACAAAUCCUCGAUGCUAACACCGCUCCAGCGAAGCUCAAGCACACUAGUCAUUAUAAUGGAGAGGAAAAGUCCAAGGAAGAGAACACUUGCAAGGUUGGAAAGCUGUAUUAAAUUGUAAACAAUAACAUCAUCAAAGGCAUCACUAUAAACUGUUAUACUGAUCUGUUUCUAUAACUAGUUUAAUUUGGUUGUGUGAUUACAAAUAAUUUAUAUUUCGUUGAACAAUUGGAGGAUAAUCAUAAUCCAAGUGCAUGUUUGGAAGCUAUCCUAUAAUGGAUUUUGAAGCCAGAAUCAAUUAUGCGGAGAAGCUUCUAUGAGUGGAACAAUAAUAAAGGUGAGGAAAUUACCACUGGUAUAAUAAAUUUUCCUGUGAGAAGGCAAAUGGCUGGCAAUGUACAAUAAGCAAUCAGAGGAAGAGAUGUGAAAGGAUAGACUAUGGUGUUUAUAUAAGCCAUUCUCUGCAGACAUUUGAGAUGGCCUCCAGCAACUCCAUACCAGAGGGGACAAUGUCUGCUUAGGAAAAUUUCAAUUGAUCCAAGCGCCCAUCGAAGGACUUGGUGCAACCGAUCGGACAAGUUGAUAGGUGCUGAUCCUUUGAAUGCAGGCCUCAAAGGCAUGCAGUAAAUUGAUCUCCAUCCUCGAGAGUGCAUCUUGAACCCAGUUAAGAUAUCCUCAGUGACUGAACCAUAAAUCCAGCCCAUCUGAAAAAAAAAAGAUGUUUUAAUUAGUCAAUAAUGCUAUAGACUAAGCAAAAGAAAAAGUUAAACAUAAUAAGUCUUGCUUGAAAUUCUGCCUAUGCUGUGUCAUAGCCAGUCCUAUGCCCGGAUAAAUGAGGAAGGUUGUGUUAGACCUGCAGCAGCCGAUGUAAAACAACUGUAUCCUUAACAUGUAUCAAGUGAUCGAUAUAGCCGACCUUACUUUUUGUGAUAAGACAUUUCUUACAUGUUAAGUGUAAUAACUAGUAAGUCUUGCUUGAGUCAAAUUUCAAGUGGAAUAAGCACGCAAACAGAAAUAUCACUGUAAAAGAGAAGGAAAGCAAGAAUCUGAUGAUGGACUUUGUAAAAGAACAUUAACAUUCAAGCCAAUCCUCUUUUCCCCAUUUAGUCUUCUCUUCAUAUCCACAGCUAAUUACAUGAACAGCCUCCUUGAUCAGCAUUGCAGGAUCUGCUGAUUCAGGAACCCCUCCCUUCUCCAUUAGUGUAGAUUCAAUUAGAACAGUUGACAAGCCAAAAGUUUUUUCCAAGCUCAUCUGUGAAAUCAGCAUUGACCUCUCAUGUUCAUCAUAAUCUGCAAGAAGAAAAUAAACCAGAAAAAUAUUAUACAAAAAAGACUUUGUUAUAUGCUUCUCUUUCACAGAUUGAAAAAUAAAUAAAUUAUACUUACUGUCAAUCUCACUGAGAUUAUAAGUGGCAGCGUUAAGUUCAUCCCUCUUUGCAUCUCUGUAAGCCAGCGAGACAUCUUCAGUGGACUUCUUUGAGCGGCCACCACAACAGCACGAUGAAGAUCCCGGUAAGUUGUGCAUAGAAGGUGGGCUAUAGCCAUAAAGUGCAUGUCUAUUGAAAACACAUCCAGUCCCCACAUAUACUGGUCCUUGAAUGCCAUCAAGUCCUUUCAUGUUAACCUGAAUGAAUAUCAUAAAUAGACCGUUAAAUUGGCAUGACGAUUGGAAACUGCACAGUUGUAUCCAGAAGUUACUGCAUUGCAUGCAGGAAAAUGUUUGAUCAAUAUACUUAAAUCAUUAUAUUACUAUUGUUAACAAUGAGACAACAUGGACACAAAAAGAUGAAGGAAUUGGACUCUUGAUCACAAAACAAGAAAAUAAAUUGGUUUUUUGUUUUUGACUAGGUAGAGUAUCUUUGCAAUAUUUGCUUGACGAGAUACAUUUUUUACCACAUAAAAAAUGAACUUUAUAUUGACAUAUGGUAAAUCNNNNNNNNNNNNNNNNNNNNNNNNNNNNNNNNNNNNNNNNNNNNNNNNNNNNNNNNNNNNNNNNNNNNNNNNNNNNNNNNNNNNNNNNNNNNNNNNNNNNNNNNNNNNNNNNNNNNNNNNNNNNNNNNNNNNNNNNNNNNNNNNNNNNNNNNNNNNNNNNNNNNNNNNNNNNNNNNNNNNNNNNNNNNNNNNNNNNNNNNNNNNNNNNNNNNNNNNNNNNNNNNNNNNNNNNNNNNNNNNNNNNNNNNNNNNNNNNNNNNNNNNNNNNNNNNNNNNNNNNNNNNNNNNNNNNNNNNNNNNNNNNNNNNNNNNNNNNNNNNNNNNNNNNNNNNNNNNNNNNNNNNNNNNNNNNNNNNNNNNNNNNNNNNNNNNNNNNNNNNNNNNNNNNNNNNNNNNNNNNNNNNNNNNNNNNNNNNNNNNNNNNNNNNNNNNNNNNNNNNNNNNNNNNNNNNNNNNNNNNNNNNNNNNNNNNNNNNNNNNNNNNNNNNNNNNNNNNNNNNNNNNNNNNNNNNNNNNNNNNNNNNNNNNNNNNNNNNNNNNNNNNNNNNNNNNNNNNNNNNNNNNNNNNNNNNNNNNNNNNNNNNNNNNNNNNNNNNNNNNNNNNNNNNNNNNNNNNNNNNNNNNNNNNNNNNNNNNNNNNNNNNNNNNNNNNNNNNNNNNNNNNNNNNNNNNNNNNNNNNNNNNNNNNNNNNNNNNNNNNNNNNNNNNNNNNNNNNNNNNNNNNNNNNNNNNNNNNNNNNNNNNNNNNNNNNNNNNNNNNNNNNNNNNNNNNNNNNNNNNNNNNNNNNNNNNNNNNNNNNNNNNNNNNNNNNNNNNNNNNNNNNNNNNNNNNNNNNNNNNNNNNNNNNNNNNNNNNNNNNNNNNNNNNNNNNNNNNNNNNNNNNNNNNNNNNNNNNNNNNNNNNNNNNNNNNNNNNNNNNNNNNNNNNNNNNNNNNNNNNNNNNNNNNNNNNNNNNNNNNNNNNNNNNNNNNNNNNNNNNNNNNNNNNNNNNNNNNNNNNGUUUCUGGUUGCCAUUUGGAUCAUAUAAAAGUAAGGUAAAGUUCUUGGCCAUUUAACACAAUAUUUAACAGAAAUAUAAGCCAUUUGAACUCUUAACAUAUAAUCUCGACAACAUGACCAGUACCAUAUUUUGACAUGGCCAGUACCAUAUUUCGACUAGGUGGCACAUGAUAUAUAUAAAUAUAAAUUUUGGUAUUAACAAGUUGAUAUCUGAUCAGCAGUCUAAUUACUAGUCAUUGUUCGAUAAAAACCUAAAUCAAUGAUUAUUUUGGAUCUUUACACGUAAUGGAUAAUUCAAGUAAUGAAUUUAAAUUUUAGAGUCACAAUGAAAAGAACUUGUAAACAAAGGUAGCCUAAAUAUUUCCAUUUCGUGAGUGCCUUCGCAAUCACACCUUUUUUUUUUUCAUCAUUAACAUCGUUGGUAAAGUUUUUUUAUAAAGACGUCUAAGUCGACCAAUACAAAAAAUCAAUUAAAAUUCAACUAUAUAUCGAAAUAGAAAACUCCAAGCAUCUUCUAGAGUACCAAGUUAGAACAUUUCCAAAUGCUCGAAAGUUGAAAUUUAUCAAUCAUUCGCUUAUAAGAAUUAAAGUCCAAGAAUUCAAUUUGUUGUUGUUAAAAAUAAAAUAUAUAAAACAAGUUAUAUUUGCAUUGAAAAUAUACUUAUUUAAAAAAAAAAACUUAAAUUAUUCAAACUCUAUUUCAAGCAAGCUACCAAUAAAAUGAAUAUGUACAUAUUUAUUUUUGAAAAUGGUGAUUCACGUAACCUUUAAUUUUAAUAUUUCAAAAGUGAAAUUAGCAUUUCCAUUUUUUUCCACAAAAAUAAAUUUGAUAUCAAUUCAUUUAUUAUUUCCCAAUUAAUAACAACAUAUACAGAUGAAAAUUUGCCCAUAAAAAAGAAAAUGCACAAGAAAAAUGAAAAAUACACCCCUGUCUACUAAAUUAUAAUAUUAAUUAAUUUAUUUAAUAUGAAAUAAAUUGUUAUGCAUGUUUCUUUAUGAAACACAUAUAUAACGGUACAUGUUUGAUUCCCUUUAAAUUUUUUUUUUUUGAGUUCUAGUGUGAAUGACUCGUCAUUUUUAAGCGUGUAUCUUUCUUUAACACUUGAUUUGUUCAAAUGAUAAAUAUUUAUUUUUUCUCUGAUUCGAGUUUAAUAGAUAAAAAGCUCUUAUUAAAAAAGUUAACUAUAGUGCGAUAUGGAUGUUCUGAGUUAAACAAGAUAGAUUCAAAUAAGAUUAUCUCUUAUAAAGCAUACAUUAAAACUAUCUUAGUAAAAGGGUUUUGUACAAAAGCAUGGAAUAUAGACAAACCCUGAAUUUCUUAAUUCUUAUCCUUUGCUUUACACAAUAACUCAUUCCAUGAAAUAAUUCAAAUGCACUCAAUCUCUUCUAACUUCUCCUAUAUAUUUUCUCACCAUUCCAUUUCUCUCAGUUACUUUCUUCACCUAACCCUGCCACUCCCCUUUUUCACAUAUAAAUACACAAAAAUAUCAUCCGACAACACCCACAACAAGAGCCAAACCACAGUGCUUUAACGCCUUCUGGUUGGAAUCAAUUCAAUCAUGCCCAGAUUGAUUUUUCUCUCUACAAUUUAAUAUUCCAGGUAAACACUUCUCUUUGUGUCGAUGCAUCCAAUUGGUGAUGAUAACCCAUGUUUGUUUUUUUAAUGAUUUAGUUACAUUGUCUGAAUGUUUUGUCUCAAACCAUGAAAUGGGUCAUUGAGAGAUUUGGAUUUUGUACCUUUCAUUUGAUCACAUUGUUUGUUCAUCCACUGUAAAUAUAGUUAAUUUUUUUUGUUCUGUUUGCUGGGUUUGUCACAGUGGAAUGCGUGUAUGUUUGGAAUUUUUUCAGGUUUGGGAAGUAUUGAGUGGUAGGAAUUGUUAUUGGUGUGAUGGAUCAGGCAAGAAGUGGAGGAAGUGGUGAGAUGUUGGACCAUGUUGAUGAAGGGGUGGGUGAGAAUUUGAGCCAUUUGGGUGAAGGAGUUGCAAUUGAUGUAGGAGCUGGUGGUAGCUUGGGUGACAGAGCUAGUGUAAGCGGCGAAGAUGGGAUUUCAGAAGAGAUGUGCAGUGAUGAUCUCGGGUUGAAUAACAAGGAGGUAGAGGAAGGGCCUCAAGAAGUUAAGGGUCAGGACAUCGGGGAACCGCAGAAGAUCGGUGAUGAAUUGCGCGAGGUUGAUCAAGGAACUAGCUAUAAUUCGAGUGGUUUGGUUAAUCCGGAAGUACCUGAGACUGAGACCUUUGUUGUAUUAGAUCUUUCUGCUCAGAGUGAGGGUGUAAAUGGUGGUAAUAGGAAAUUGGAAGAAAAAGCGAAUGAAUCAGGGUUGCGUAAGUUAUCCGUUAAGGCGCCAAAAGGGGUGUCUGUGGCAGAUAAAAAUUCAUGUGUGAUUGAUAUAAACUGUGGCAGCUGCAAAGAGUUUUGUGGGAAUAAGGAAGGUGAAAUGAUUUGUAGGAUUUGCCAUUUGGCCUCUGAGCAACCAUUAGAAGCAACAGCUGCUGGCGGCGCUCCGAAUAGUGUUGGGAAUGGUACUGGUUUGAUUGUGCUUGGUUGUGCUUGUAAAGAUGAGCUAGGCAUUGCACACAGUCAUUGCGCUGAGGCAUGGUUCAAGAUUAAAGGAAACAGGUAAUUGUUUCUCUUGUUAUUAUAUUUUAUUCUAACUUUUGCGUUUAUGUUUGCAAUGUUGAUUAUUUCAUAAUGUUCUGUACUGACAUUUUGAAUUCACAUUGCCGUAUAAGGAAUCGUGUAGCCUACUUGGUUAGAGAAAACAUUUUCUGUUCUCAUUAAUUAUUCCAGAUGAUGGAUCAAGUCUUUGUUUGGUAUCUAACAUAUGAUUGCAUAUAUUUUUCAUGUCCAUGUUUAAUAAAAAAUGCACUUGGCCCUUUGAUUCUUUGAAUCUUCUGUUUCUCUGUUCAGCUGAAUGUAUGGGGUAUGAAUUAGGAAAAGCAAGUUUAUACUUUCAACUCCCCAGAAAGAUUUUUAUAUAACACUAUAUUUCCUACUCUUGUCCAUUUUCCUCCACCCCUUCCAAAGAAUGCUUGCCAUUGCCAACAAGAUUGUCCUUUCAACUGUUAUAAUUUCCUAGAUAAUUCUGAUUUCUGAAUAAAUAUUCCACUUAAUUUUGCUUGUAGAGAAGUAACUCUGAUUAUGGUACUAAUGCGACUACCGCUUGUGUGAACUGUCAAAUGUCAUGUAGACUUAUCUAAUUAGCAUUCCCUUAUAAUCUCUUUUGCCUGUCAUCUUCCGUUUGUUCAUGAACUAAUCCAUACAACUACAAGGGAAGCCAUACAAGGAUACCUAAUUAGUGGUGGAAUAUGGGAAAAUUCCUUUGGGGCAGUCGUAACUUGCAGGUGUAACAGAUAACACAAUGGACCAUUAUGCAUGAACUAAAUGGUGGAACACAGAAUAUUUUCUGUUUUUCAGUGGGGAGAUUGGGCCAUUGCUAAUUAAUGAAUACUAUGAGAACUGAGAAGCCCUCUCCUCUUGUCUUCAAUCUAGAGCUUUGGCAGGGUGUCAGCCACAGUUUUAAAUUUUGUUUUUAUUUUUCGUAAGAUUUAAAUUUUGAUGUGUGCCUAUUCUAAAUUUUAUUGUGCCUGGUGAAGGAUGAUCUGAAAUUACAUUCUUUUUUGAAACUUGUGUAUGUACAUGGCCCCUCUUAAUUUUUGUUUCAUACGUAAACUAGAUUUUUGCUUGAGUAAUCCUUUAGUUCCUUUUCUAUGUUAUUUGUCAACAUUUUAUUUACCUUUCUUGAUCACAGGGUAUGUGAAAUAUGUGGUCAGACUGCAAAAAAUGUUUCGGAUAUUACUGAUAAUAGAUUUAUGGAAGAGUGGAAUGCAAGUAGAUUCAUCGACGGCGAUGAUACCUCGUCCCGCAGGUGCGGUGGGUGCUGGCGCGGACAGCCCUUCUGUAACUUCUUGAUGGCGUGCCUGGUGAUCGCCUUUGUUCUGCCAUGGUUCUUUCGUGUAAAUAUGUUCUAGUGGAGGAGUCACAACCCUAUUCUUCCCUUCAAUCCUUUGUCUCUGCUUCUAUGAUGAGUGCAUCAUUGGUUCCUGAUUCAUAUUUUAUCUGAAGGAGUGGUAAUGCUUAACCAUGUCCAAGUUCAUAUUUCUCAGUGUAUGUAUCACCAAAAUGGCAAAGUAUUUUCUUAUUGCAUUCUUUGGAUUGGAAAGUGUGGAGUUCUGAUAUAUAUACUCAAACAGUACAUAAUUCACAUAAAACAAGCAAACAGAAAGAGAGCAUCUCCUAGCUGAUGAUUCUUUUAUCUUUUUCACAUUUUUUCUCUUUUUUAUUUUAUUUUGUUGACUUGUCUGCUAAAGUUCAAAGAGAAUCCAAUGUCAUGUGAUUGCCAUCAAUGUGGUUUAUAUUUCCUUCACUUUAUAACUUUGUUGUCAGAAAUAGCAAAUGUUCUAACCUACUCUAGCGAUAGUGAGGUUGGUUUUGUCCGCAUCUGAUUGUGGGUUAAAGUUGUUCAAUGUUGUUGCAAUGGUUCUAAAGAGAAAUUGAAAUGUGAAUACUUUAAUGUGAAUGUACUAUGUAGUGCGUGUAUAACUAGAGAAAUACUAGGUUACAGAGAGUUAUCUGUGAUUGCAACUUGAAUCACGUGCUGAUGGAGCUAAUAAGGGGGAAAAGCAAACUGUAAUUGCAUAAAAAUAAAAUAACAAGAAAAUGUAAAGUAAAAAGAUAUAUCAGUUGGUAGAAGCCUCUAACACUUCUGGUAAAAUGAUUUGUGGCCAACCCUCACUAGGAAAAAACUGCCGUAAUUGGCUAACUGGUAUUUUUAUUUAGUGUGAGUUUAGGUACCACUUGAGUUAAUGUGAAAUCAUUCGUCUCAAUUCAUAUGAAGAGUUCUAUUUACUUUUUGCAGUGAAUGUUAACAUCCCUUUACACUAACGCGGUCCGAAAUCCAAAUAUACUCUUAAUCAACAUGUCUAUAUUUGUUUUUUGUAAGAGACGAUUAUUUCUAGUGCAAAUUUUUUUAAUUUUUAUCACAAAUGGUCCACAAUGGUGUUGUUCCCCUUGCCAAGUGAGAAGAAUAAGUUAAUGAGCUGCGAGCCCAAUCACAAAAUUGGCCCAACUCAGCUAAACCUAAAUCUCCACAUUACUUAGUUUAUUAGUAUUAACUUGAUUUUAUUAGGCGUUAUAUAAUAUUAUUUUGACCAACUCAUCAACUUCCGUUGUAGUCUAGUUGGUUAGGAUACUCGGCUCUCACCCGAGAGACCCGGGUUCAAGUCCCGGCAACGGAACUUUUUUUAUCGAAUUUAUAAUAUAUUACAUAAAAUAUAGUCCAGGUUAUGUGAUGAUUAUGAAACUGGUUGCAUAUAUACUUUAAGCUGGGUUUUUAUUAUAUUUCCAUGUGGCAAUAUGCCUAAGGAAAAAUCUUUAAGUGGUGGAUAUCAUGAUGUUAAAAUAGGGCAUCAUUGAGCUUUUGCUUUGCAUUGGAUCCUUGUGUCAAGGUAAAGGAAGACAGACUAAUCAAACCAGUGUUUUGGUUUAAAUAUAUGUCUCAUGUCUGAACAUUCCCAUCUAAUUUGGAAACUUAAUCCUAGUAUAAGUUAUAUAUUUAAUUACAAGUUCAGACACACAGAUCAUAUCCAAGCAUCUGCAAUAUAAUAAGCAUGUGCAUUAUACUUGAUGAGUACUACAAUACAAUCAUAAAUUAUUAUUCUCUACUCAACAAAUCAUAUCAACCACAUCACAGCUUGGCUUUUGGCCUCUCCUAGCCAAGUCAAACCAAAACUUGGUGCUCAAGCUGUGUCAACAAAUGAUGGCAUCACUAUAUGUGUUAUUCAUAUAUGCAGUGAAACCAGAAAUAAUUAUACCAUAUAAUAUAUAGCUGCUUAGCUUCACAAUGAAACAAGGGUCAAACAUUGAAGAGAUACAAGGUAACUUAUAGUUCAAAAAAUAAAAUUGGAUUCAACCGAGUCAAUUAUAAGGCAUACUCAUAAAGAAAAUGUUACUUUUACGCACACUUUUUUAGGACAUACACAUUAGUGACGGUUUUUAACCUCCGUUAAAUAUUGUUACAGAGGUUAAAAACUUUCACUAAUAUGUAUGUUUCUUAUAUAUCCACCGUAAAAUAUAUUUACACAUAUAACUAUAUACAAGUCAUAACUCAUACGUUGUUAAGAGAUUAGAUCGAUGUUCAACUAACCAAAUUUGGAAUAAUUUGAUAUAUAAAUUAACAAUUUGGCUUGGGCCAAGCUUAGGUUUAGCUAGUGCAUAACAAAAAAAAACCAGGAGAAUUGGGUUGGAUUUUUUUUAAAAAAAAUUAGAGCGAUUUUUAAUGGCCACAUUUUACAUUAGUGGCAGUUUUGCCAAAUUGCUGUAAUUACCUAUGCCAUUAGUAUAAAAUUAUCACAUUCUGCGCUCACCAUUGCGCCACCUUAGAAAAUCGCACUAAUCAAUUUUCAUCAAUUCAAAAGACGCACGUCGUGUUCACCUGCUAUAGCAACAAUCAAACUGUGGUGAGACAUAUCUCUUCUCAUUCCAGGACCUCGGACAAUACAUUAAUACAAAAGGCAAUACCUUAUGAUUAUAUGAACUCGGCUCACAUCAUCUCGGUUGCAUCUCGAAGCUUUCAAGCAUCUUAAUGCAUGCCUUAGAUACUCAGGGGAUCUAAUGUAUUUUGACUCAUUAUCACCAACAUCUCACACACAUGUGAAGAAAAAAUGUAAAUGAAUGCAAUAUCUUAUAAUUUCAUAUAAAAUCUUUUAUAUCUUUACGUAUGUCACUAAAAUUAAAUGUUGAAACUUGAAUGAGAAUCACUAGUAAAUUUCAUCUAUGGAAUCAUGGAGAUGCUCUAAUUCAUUGAGUCAAUAUAGCGGCGGAAUCAACGAAAAAGCAUGAGAAAUGAAUGCUUAAAGCACACGUUAAUUACAUCUUGCUGGAUACCACAUGAACUCCACCUUUCAUCUCCAUAUAUAGAAGCAAAAUCUAUAAAGUGCCAAAGCCAAUUACAACCCCAAGAAGUAAAAAUUGCUCAAGCCUAGCAUUCCAUAUAUAUAACUUGUUGUGUUACACAAACAAUCGAUUAAAAUAGUAAAAAUAAAUAUAAAAAGUAAAAAAUUGAACAGCUCAUUUAUCAACAUUGACUCAUAUUGUAAGUACAAUACACAUCUUCUCAGAAGAUUAUGUGUUUGAUUUUCGCUGCUGAUGUGAGAGCUCUAUUGAUAAAUGAUAUAUAAAUAUCUUUAUAAGCAACUUGUGAUCCUAAAAACAUGUUAUGUUCUACAGUGACCGGAGUCGAAACGCCUGAACUUUUCCCUCCUCAAUGCCAAAAAAAAAUUAUAUGCUGAUUUCCCCCCAUCACCUAUUUUUAUUACUUGCUUUUCAUAUUUCCCCCCAAAAGAAUAAACUUCUUCUUUUUUUGCAAUCACCUUCCUCUGUAACAAUUGUAUAGUAAAAAUGAAUCAAACAACCACCAACUCAAAAUCACCAAUCUGUCCUAAUCUAAAUUCUACUCUUCAGUGACAGCACUUGCAACACAAGAUCAUGAACACAAUCAGAAACACAAUGGAAGACAGAGUAAUCGCCACACCAAGAACGACCUUGUUCGGCCCAUGAUGUUUCUCUUUCUUGUGGCUGGGGGGGGCGGCCCCCCCCCCACCCCCCCCCCCACACACAACCAAAACAACAAACCAAAAAAACAACAAAAUCCCAUAACAUCGCCACCGUCACUGUAAUCCAAAUCACUGCUAUCAUCUUCAGAAUCCUUCGCCGGCGGAGGAGACACCGGCAUUCCGUACUUAUCACAAGGAGCAACAUCAAGCUUCAAUUUCGAAGACAGAACAGAGUGGUUAUAGCACAAGUUGCUGUUCCCACCCACCUUAAACGUUUCCAAUCCCUUGAUGAAAGUUGAAUUGAAUGGUACAACACCUCGAAGAUUGUUGUUAGCUAGAUUCAAGUGUUUCAGGUUCUUCAUUUCUGAAAUGAACUUCGGAACAGUUCCGUUGAGCUGGUUUGAGCUCAGAUCCAUGUGAACCAAAUCGGGCAUAGCAGAAAUUGAAUCAGGGAUCGGCCCAGAGAAUGAAUUUGAAGCCAGUGAGAGAGUUUUCAAUGAAAUCAAGUCUCCGAUUGAAGUGGGUAUCUCUCCUUUGAGGCCAUUGGAAGAGAGAUUCAAGCUUUCAAGGCUAUCGAGUAAUGUAAUGGAAGAGGGUAUGUUUCCUUGGAGCUUGUUACCGGAAAAAUCGAUCUGGGUAAGGCUGGAAUGGAUGAACUUUGGAAGAUUACCAGAGAGAUUGGCGUGGGAGAUUGUUAAGGUUUUGAGCUUAGUCAUGUGGCCAAGUAUAACGUAAGGACCAGAGGCUUUGAGGGGCACGUUUGAGACGGUGAGAUCAGUGAGAUUUUCAAGGCGAGAGAGCCAGAUUCCGGUGAGUUUGCGGAGGCUGCUAAUACAAGUGAAGGAUCGGAGGGAGGAGGUGAGUUCAGGAGGGAAGUGGAUUGGAGAAAUGGGGCAGUUGAGGAAUUGAAUGGAUUGGAGAGUGGAGAGGGAUUUGAGGGCGUUGUAGGAGAGAGAGGUGGAGGUUGAGCAGUUGGAGAGGCGGAGGGAGAUGAGGUGGCGGAAGGGUUUGGAGGAAUCGCAUAGUGUGGCGUUUUGGGAGCAGGGGUCCUUGGAAGUGGGGAUGUGGAGUGAUUUCAGAGCAUUGAGCUGAUCUGGGUCAAGAGUGGAAGGUGGAGAUAAAGGAGAUGAUGGUGAAGGUUUUGGUGAUGGUGAUAGUGAUGGUGCUGGUUUUGGUGAGGGUGAUGGUGGAAGAGGUGGAGAAGCUGAGAUGAUAAUGGAGGGGAAGAGAAAGAGGAGAAUGAGAAGGACUAAUGGUGGUGGUAGUUUCAUGGCUUGAAGGAAGAGUGAAUGGAAACAGAGAAAAGCAGAAAGGUUGGGAUCAGAAAAAGUGUUAGAGACAAGGAUGCAAGCAAAACAAGGGUUGGAAUUUGGAAGAGUAAUGUGAGAUGUUGAGUGAGCACAAAGAUUGGUGGGGAAAGUGUAAAGUAGAGGACAUGGAUUGGAGGGGAGACUUGAGAUCAGAGAGAGUGAGAGGAACCUAAACACAGUCUGUUGACAGUUGGAGACUACUUUGUUUAUUCCUUUUGAAUUGAUUUGGAGAUAAUGUUGGCAAUUUACUUGAUAGUGCCUGUUUGUCAUUUUGUUUCAAAUCAUGAUCCC
Molecule: long non-coding RNA, 90479 nt
Filed under: Lotus japonicus
Lineage: Eukaryota; Viridiplantae; Streptophyta; Magnoliopsida; Fabales; Fabaceae
Description: long non-coding RNA (LJAP_LNC001918)
Rfam family: tRNA (bases 73060-73132)
Source: RNAcentral